UGUGCUUGGCCUGGUUACGAAAGACCACGUAUCCAAACAAGCCUCUAGAUAUCUAUAACCAUCUUUCCCCGCCAUGGAUAACAUUGAGUUCGAGCUUCGUCUCGUAGCCGAACGAAUCCACGCUGAAAGCUUUUGAUCAAAGUUGAAGCUUUUCUGAUGUAUUCUGUAUUUCUGUGAGUACCCAAUUGGAGAGUAACUUGUGUCAGAAAUGGCGAUGAAUUCAAUUCGCCAUCUUUAUCCAGCAGCCGCCACGACGACGACUACUGCGGUGGAUUCGUUGGGAAGCUCCUUCUGUAAGCUCCACGGAGCCACUUCCCUCCGAUUCUUAAGGUACAGUCCAUCAAUUUCACUCGGUGAUGUCAGGAGAUUCGGUUUCUGUUGUACAAGGAAGGUUAAACUAUGUAGUGGUAGCGGUAGGGAUGAGAAUUGGAACAGGACCCAGAAGCAGAAUCAGUUUAAAUCUGUGCUGAAUCAUCGGAAAGGAGAGAGAUUUUCUGAUUUAGGGGUAACGAGUGGUGAGAAUGGUGAUGGUGGAAGUAGUACAAUGGAGAGGAUUGUGGAGAAAUUGAAAAAGUUUGGGUUUGUUGACGAUGAUCAGUUUCAAGAUGAAGAGACUGAACAAGAGAGGAGGUUUGUGGAGGAGGAAGAAGGGAAUGUGAGGAAUACGAGAGGUGGAUUCUCGGAGGAGUCACCGUUUGGUGCUUAUGGAGGUGAUGGAGAAGUUAAGUUUCCUUGGGAAAAAGUAAGUUCUAAGGAGAAGGAGAAGGAGAAGGAGGAGCUAGUAAACGGAGUGUGGACAGCUAAGAAGGAGAGUAGAUACUCUCUUGCGGAGAUGACUCUUCCGCAAGCAGAGCUGAAUCGGUUGAGGAAUCUGAUGUUUAGAACCAAGAGCAAGAUGAGGGUUAAGGGUGCAGGUGUUACUCAGGCUGUGGUUGAUGCAAUUCAGGAGAAGUGGAAGAGCUCAGAGAUUGUGAGGCUUAAGAUCGAAGGUACAAAUGCGCUCAACAUGAGACGGAUGCAUGAACUUUUGGAGGUAUUUAGUCUGCAUUAUACUCUUUAGAUGUGUUUGCAAAAUCUUGAUGUCUUUUCUUCUUCACUGUGGCAGAGAAAAACUGGUGGUUUGGUGAUUUGGAGGUCAGGGACUUCCAUCGCCUUGUACAAAUACAAAAACGACACUUGCAGGGAUGCAUCAGCAACAAUGAACAAGCAAAUUUACCGAAGAGCAGAGACGUCGCCCUCUUCCUUACCCACAAGUAGAGUGGAUCAUAGUGUUGAACAAGUGCAUCAUCCUCAGCUAGAGAAGGAGGCAACAAAUGUGGGAAAUGAAGACAGGACAUCUCAUCAAGAAGUAGAAUAUGAAGACGAAAUAAAUGAAUUGUUAGAGGGUCUUGGUCCUCGGUACACGGACUGGCAGGGAGGUUAUCCAUUACCUGUUGAUGCUGAUAUGCUUCCAGGGAUCGUACCUGGUUACGAACCUCCUUUCAGGGUUCUUCCUUAUGGAGUGAGAUCAACUCUGGGACAAAAGGAGGCAACCUCUUUAAGGAGACUUGGCAAAGUUCUUCCUCCACACUUUGCUUUGGGUAUUUGAUUUUCCUUUUUAACUCUUUUUUUUGUAGUUCCUGAUAAGGUCUUUGAAGAGUGAGAUUUUCUUUGGAUCUAUAGGUCGAAGUAGACAGCUGCAAGGGUUGGCAACAGCCAUGGUUAAGUUAUGGGAGAAGAGUUUGAUUGCUAAGGUUGCCCUUAAACGUGGUGUACAAUUGACUACCAGUGAGAGAAUGGCUGAGGACAUCAAGGUAAUAAGGUUUCACAGCUGAGUAACAUGCAUCUAUAGAAAAUGCAGAAUGUUUGAUAUCGUGAUCCGUGGUGACUGCAGAGAUUGACGGGAGGUAUGCUGCUCUCUAGGAACAAAGACUUUCUUGUUUUUUACAGAGGGAAGAGUUUUUUGUCACCAGAAGUAGCAGAAGCACUGGUGGAGAAGGAGAGACUUGCAAGGACUUUCCAAGACGAAGAGGAACAGGCACGUCUAAGAGCGUCAUCGGGUCUGGUUGUCCCACGUGUUAAGGCUAAUCAAAACCACCUUGUUUCUACCGGUACUCUUGGAGAAACUCUUGAUGCAGCUAGUAAGUGGGGAAGGAAUCUGGACGACGAUGAUCACGUGGAAGAAGUGAAACAAGAGGCUGAGAAACUGAGGUCUGCAAAUCUUGUCAGGAAGUUGGAAAGAAAACUUGCUUUUGUGAGUUCCUGCUGCCUUGAGUCUUUACUUCCUUCCUGUCAAUUCGCAUUUUGUCUUAAAAGAUUGCUUCUUGAACUAGUUUGUUAACCUCUUAUAGGCUGAGAAAAGGUUGAUGAAAGCUGAACGGGCAUUAGCUAAGGUAGAGGAAUCUCUGAAGCCAUCAGAACACAGAACAGACACUGAGGGCAUAACUGAGGAAGAGAGAUUUAUGUUCCAGAAGCUCGGAUUAAGGAUGAAAGCUUUCUUACUUCUUGGUAAAAUUUAUUGUAUCAAUCUGUAGGAUGAUGACUUAUGUCUUCUCUGGGAUGUGGCCUCGUCUGAGAAACUUGAAUUUGAUUGCUUCAGGUCGAAGAGGGGUGUUUGAUGGUACUGUGGAAAACAUGCACUUGCACUGGAAAUACAGGGAGCUAGUAAAAAUUCUUGUGAAGGCUAAAACUUUUGAGGGUGCGCAGAAAGUGGCAUUGGCCCUUGAAGCCGAGAGUGGAGGAAUCCUGGUUUCUGUUGACAAGGUUUCCAAAGGCUAUGCCAUUAUCGUGUAUAGAGGAAAAGACUAUAAGCGUCCUUCCGAGUUAAGGCCUAAGAACCUCUUGACAAAGAGAAAAGCUUUGGCACGUUCUGUUGAGCUCCAAAGACGCCAGGUUCGUGAUAACAAACAUUUGCCAUUAAUUUUCUAAUCAAACGAUCAACCAAUAAUGGGUAACACUUAGUUUGGUUUCUUAUCAUCCAACAGGCUAUUAUAAAACAUAUUGCGGUGGUACAGGCGAGAACAGAGGAGUUGAGAGCUGAAAUCGUAUGGAUCUACAUUUGCUGACUCAACGAAAACGUUUUUUUCUUUUUGGUUCUGCAAUGAACUAACAUGAGACUCUGAAUCCAUUCUGGCAGGAACAAGUGGAACUUGUAAAAGACAAGGGAGCUCAAGUGUUAUACAAUAAGCUUGAAAUGGCUUAUUCUUCUAGCGACGAGGAGACCGAAGAGACAGAUGUAUGAUGUGCUUACCUUAUACUUGUCUGAAUUUCACCACUAUGACACAUUCUGUGGUGCUCUUCAAUUGUUGUAGGGAGAAGGAGAUGACAUCUAUUUAGAUACAUACGAUGAGGAUGGUGAAGAAGGUGGGGUUCAGGCCAAGGGUUCACUAUCUGAUGUUGAAUUUGAUUCAGAAGAUGAAGACUGGGAUUCAGAUGAAUUAGAAACUGAGUUUGAUGAUGAUUCUGCAUCCUCCGCUACACCAUUUGAUGCUGAGUCGACAUCCUCCACAACACCAGAAGCAACCUUUGUAGAUCAACAGAAAGAGGAACGUCAUCUGCAAUCAUAAGAACCACGAGCUAGUAUGCACUGUGUUGUGAGUUGAUGCAGGAGAUAAGUUUUGACAUUAUCUAUCUUCUGUGUACUCUCUGUUGAUCAAUGCAGUGAGAGGUAUACUAAAAGUGUAUCACAUGCAAAGAUUGUAAGCUUUUAGGAGCUUUGUAGAUUUAUAUUAUUUGGAAGAUACAUGCAUAUCUAACUCUCCAUUGUAGUAAGAUAGGUCUCAAACAAUUUAGAAUCCGCAGCUUAAUGCUACUACUAUACAUGGUUCACCAUCAAAACCACAUUCUCUUCUCAUCGGAAAGAAAAAUACAUCUGCCUUGGUUAUAUGUAAACGUUUCUCUUUUUUCUGUCAAGGGAAGAUAAUAAGAAUACGACCGAGGUUUUUCACCUACGAGCAAGUCUCUGCCCAGCGCCGGCCAGUAAAGCCUUACCAAUGACCCCAGUGUGCAGGCCACAAGCCAAGGCGACACCUCCUACAACUACCCAUUUCCAGUCCAUUCUCAAAUUGUCCCGCUGUCUCCUUGCAUAGCCCAUUGCUCUGCUUCUGUCUUCAUCUCCUGUGGAUGAUUCUGUAGAAUCCAUGUUCAGUGUUGUGGUGAUCCUUGCCAUUUGAGCGAUCCGAGAUAGACUAGAGUCUGAUUUUCUGGCGGUUUGGUAGGCUCGUAAACCGGAGUUUAGCUUCUUGACUGCUCCCCACAUGCCAUGACGGACGCCUAACUUUGCUACGUCUUUUGGGAUUCCCAUGUCUUCGUAAUGGACUAGAGAUACUUCACAAGCCGAUGGCUGUCCAUCUCCUUUUCUGGAUUCAACUGCAUUUUUUUUGUAUUUGUUUUAACAUUCAAAUUACAUGCCAGCUUAAAAAUAAUCAAAAGGCAUACCUGCUCUGAUAACCCAACUUGAGAAAUAAAGCUCAACGCGCCUCGGCUUAUCACGCUUGGGUAGAGCUGGAUAAGGAACUCCCUACAAUAUCAACAAAAGUGUGAUUUGUCUUUCUUUGAACAAUGUUUGACAACACUGAAAAUCUAAUAAGAGAUAAAUGGGUUAAUGAGGCAUGAAAAUUACCUUUGUCACACAAUAAUACUUAUUUCCAGACUCCCAUAUUCUCCGACCAAUGAUAUACUCUCGGUCACUACAGAAAAAGGGAAACUGCAUGCAAACUAAUAAAUUAAUAAAGACAAGAAACAAAUGGGCUUGGAAUUGGAUUAUGAAAGAAGAGUAAAGAAUCAUUAAGCUGCAGAGACCUUUUUUCGCCAGUGAACAAUCAUAGUUCCUGUGCGAGUGUCGUCGUCCAAAGUUUUGAAGUUGGCAAGCAUGAAAUCCCAUUUAGGUCGAAACUCAUCAUCCCAGAAGAAAUCCCUAACAAUAUCUGGACUUGCAUCCUCAAAUAUGGUUCGACUCCGAUAAACAACAGGACCUGUCUGGCAAACAACAACACAACCUUUCAGGCUAACAACACGGUUAAACCCACAGUGCUAUUAUAUCUAGCAAAAGCCCAAAAGUCACUUUGGAGUAGUAAAUGAAGCAUUGCAUCAAAUCGGAGACAAAAAGGAUAGUAUCAUUCAACUUGAUCUUACCCAAAGAAAAACAUCUCCCCUCAUGCGAACCGAACCCAUAAUGAUUCGUAACAAGAAAACUAUCUGUCCCCAAGAAACUAAACUAACUGGAAAUCAUUCAAAUCUCUCUAAAAAGAUUUCAUUUUUUUUCUCAGUGACUUGGCUUGUUCCUUGGGUACAAAGCAAGCAAGAGUCAGAAUUAGGGUUACCUCGGGCUCAUGACGCCAAGCUUGGUAACUCAUAUUAGGAGUGGUCUUGUCCAUCAUGGAUUGCCAUUCCCUGGUCGCAUUUCCAACUUCAAGCAGCUGUAACAGAUGCUCUAAAUCAUUCUCUGUCACAAUCUCCUGCUCUCCCACCGUCGCGCUAGCUCUGCAAAUCAAUGACCCAUUUCUCUAAGAUUCUAACCAAAAAUCAUCAACUAAUCCAAAAUCGUUAUUUUAACAUCAAAAGAUGGAUACUACACAUAUGAGAUACCUCUUUCCUACUAAUAUUUGGAAGUAGACGUUACGUUUUUGAACACAUAACUCUUAACUCUAUAAAUUCAGUAAAACCCAAAACUUGUUUAAUCAAAACAGAACAGAGAAACAACACAUGUUGUGUAAUAAACUGACCUGGAAACUUCAUCACUUUGAAGACUCUCCUCUACACUAGCCUGCGAUGAAGCUGAACCACUGGUAGAUUUGUUGGCUUUUGUGUCAAGCCUUGAGCAAAGGGUACGGCAAACGGAGAAAGCCGAGAGAGCUGUGAAAGCGAGCCAAAGCCGCCGCGCGCCGAACCCAGGCGGCGCAGUCCAUAGAAACCGAAGCUUGGAACGGAACCCUAGAUAGAUCAACCCUGUCCAUCUCGGACGCCAAGACCAUCCGAUCAAUAGACCGAUCAUUACGGCGAGCCAAAUCGGUACUGCGCAGAGUAUGAUGUCGACGAAUGUCUCUGUAAGAGAGGGCUUCUUCAGGAAAUGCAUUAGAUCGGAUAACAUCUCAUCCAUGGCGUUUCUUGAUUGGAGAAUCUUUGUUCCGAUCUGAAGAAUCUUCCUGAGACAAAUGUUAGUUUCCCCAAGGAAAACCAAUACUAUUCGAAUUUCAUGAGAAUCGAAGACGAAGAAGAAGCAAUUUUCUUUUGAGUAAUUUAUUAAGUUUUAAGAAGAUUUUGAUUGUUUUGGUGUGUCGACAAGACGUUGGCGGGUGACAGAACGAUAAGAAACAGCAGUGUGAGAGAUGACAAAUACACUUCCCACGCGUCAACAAUUCUUGUUCGUUACCCGAGAAACAAAUAAUAUCCUCAAUUAUUGACAUUUUGUGAAACACGUUUUGUCAACACGCUGGGCCGGUGCCUAGUCAGUCGAAGCUCGUGUUCAAUUAAAAAAAAAGUCAGUAGAAAGCUCAUCAGGUUAAAGGCCGGUAGGUUUUAAAAUAAUUUUGGAUCAUUAAAACAUCUGCAACAAUGAAUCUCGCAUUUUGAGGGUGGGUAAUCCUCGUAAUAAAAGUUUGAGCGUGGGCAACAAAAAUUAUCAAAUAUAUAUUUAAAAUCAUUUUAUAUAUUACAUUUUAAUCUUAAAUCUUCGUAAUAAUUAAUUAUAAAAACUAAAUUUUAUUAAUAGAUAAUAAAUACAUAUUAAAAUACAAAACAUAAUUUCUAAUUCAUAUAUAUACUUUUGUUUAACCAAAUAACAAAUUCUUUAGUUUUAUUUAAAAAGUGUGUUAGUAUUUUUUUUUUUGAACAACGUUUCAUUGAUAAUUAUAACGUAUAUGGCCAAUAUAUACAAGAAGUUUAUUAACCAAAAAGAAGGAACUGAAAAACUUAAAACAUCAGCUUGUUCAUCAAAAAUAUGAUGUGAUAAAGCAUCGGCUGCCCUAUUUCUUACACGAUUGACCGAGGCCAAAGAACAAGCAGGUAGCCGAGUCAUCCAAUAUCGAAGAUCAUGAAGGACGUUAUCCAGUUGAGCAUGAUUCAGAACCACUUGAUUCACCACCCGGUCAAGUUCAAUACAAUCACCUUUAAACCAAAUUUUUUUCAUACCCCGAAUCCACACCUGUUGCAUCGCAAAUAAUAGGCCCAAAGCUUCUCCUUGCAACGCAUUGGAUAAAUUAUUUGCCCGAGUCAUUCCAGCAAGAAUGAACGAUCACUGAUCAUCUCUAAUGAUCCAUCCUAAUCUAGCAGUGCCAUUCUCAUUUCUGAAGCUACAAUCAAAAUUACAUUUUAGCCAACCUGGGGUAGCAGGCAACCAUGAGGAUGGUUUAGUAGAGGUUUCCAUUGUAGAUUUCUUUCUAACAUACACAGAAUCCCAUUCAGCAUUCGCUUCUGAUGCUCGAUAAAUAUCCUCCAUAGGGUGAACAUUUCUUUGAGCAUAGAGGGACUCAUUUCUAGAUUUCAAAAUAUACCACAAUACUCAAAACAAAAACUUUGCAAUCCUACUUGGAGUUUCAGCAUCGUUCAUAAUAUCAAACAAGGCAGAUAUAUUAACUUCAAGAUUUUGAGAUUGAAUAUUUAGUACCGGCAAACCUGAACAUCUCCAUGUUGCUUGUAUGUGAGAGCAGGAAAACAGAACAUGAUUGGUUGUCUCUUCUUCCAUACAGCAUCUCUGACAAACUGGAUCAGUAUUAACUUCACGAGAGCAAAGCUGAACAUAAGUAGGAAGAGCUCCCGAAAUAGCUUUCCAAAGAAACUGCUAAAUCUUGGAGAGAAUUUCUAAUUUCCAUAUAUGAGCCUUUAGAACCAGAGAUCCCUCGGGAGAGAUGAUAGGAUUUUCAUCCAUAAAAUCAUGGAUAACUGUCCAGUAACCUGAUUUUACCGUAUAUUCCAAGUUUGUCGUAUAUGACCAAACAUAUUGAUCUUUUUUUUGUUUUUUUGAAACAUACCAAACAUAUUGAUCUGAUAAAUUAAACCUCAAAUCAACAUCUUCAUGCUGAAAUAAUGCAUUCAACUUAUCCACAUUCCAUGUUGUUGUAGAAUGAUUUAUAAUUUCCGAAACUAUCAUGUUAGGAUGAGAACAAGGAGAUAUCAAUCUGCGUGGAGGAACACCUGGAAGCCAAAAAUCUUCCCAAACCCGUAUGUUUCUCCCAUCCCCUACUUGCAAGACCAAACCUUUCUUUAGAAGGUUUUAUCCUCUUCUUGUAUAGACUUCUAUCCAUACGAGGAACUAGUUGAACUUGUCGACUGUAAUAAUAUCGACGAGUUAUAGUAUCUUCCUUUAUAAAUUCUUGCUAUGGAUUGAGGGUUUUGGACUAUUUUCCAUGCCUACUUAGCUAAUAAAGCCAAGUUGAAAGCUCUCAAAUCACGGAAUCCCAUACCACCUUCCUUCUUUGGUAAACAUAUUCUUUUCUAAGAAAUCUAUGAUACCUUCUUUUUACCGUCACUAUGACCCCACUAGAAUCCAGAUAGAAGAGAGUUAACUUCAUUGCAAACUGUUUUUUAGAGAAAAUUGUUAUCAAAAUUGUUAAAUUAAGUAUACAUAAAAAAACUUCAAAGCAUUGACACCUUCACGCGCAAACUUAUCGUGUUCUCCACCACGCGCAAAGACAUUACCGUCUUUAAACAAUAACACCUUCUCUAACCACCUAAUUACGAAUAAUUUCUCGUCAUCCACCUAGUUGCCAUAUCCUUCUUGUAUAUUGAACAUAAUAAUUCAUAACUAAAUUAUAACUUUAUAGUUUAAAGUUAUGUUUUAUGAUUGAUAAAUUGAUUAAUUCAUUUUUAUAAAUUAAUAAUUUAAAGUAUAAAAUUAGUUUAUUUGUAAAUGAUUGGUUUAUGUAUAUAUUGAGUGGUUAUAUUUUAAUUUAUGGAUUAUAAUUUAAUUACAUAUUUAUAUUUAAAGGUUUAGUGUUUGUGUAUCAAAAAGAUCAUACAGUUAGUAAUUUUGCAAAACCUAGCUUCUUACGAUAAGAUAUGGAAUAAAUAUGUAUGAUCAAUUGAAUUAAAUUGAAAAUUCAGUGGAAAUGUUUAUUUAAUUAUUGUUAGAAGCUUGUACGACGUUUAACAUGGAAACAGAAGAUAUGAAGAAAAAAAAAGAAUGUGGUACACAGCGAAUAGAAUCCCUUUAUAUAUAGAAAAAGGAAUCAAAUGAGAUGGCAAAGACGAGGCCUUGAACACAAGUGCCUUCCAUUGGCCUUGAUCAUCGCCACCACUCCUGCAGUCACUCCUGCCCACAAAGCUGACGCCAGAUACUGCUGCGUGUUUCUUCCCGCUGUUGUUUAUAUCAUUCAAAAUCAACUCCAACCCCAUAAGUCAUAUAAAAUUAAAAGCCUUUCUUUACCUUGAUGAAUAGUGAAAGAUGUCACUGUCACACCACCUAUCAACAAUGCUGAUGCUACUGGCAGAAACUGUUUUAUUCUCACCCAGCAAACAAAACAUAACAUAAACGAAAUCAGAUCAGUAUCUUUCCAUUUUUAACAGACUGUUUUGAGUUCAUUUCAGGAGGAACAUACAGACGGUUGUGAUCCUCCAAUAGGCUGGAGCUGUGAAGGGCUGUUUGUGCCCACUGUGUAGCGACCACUUAUGAGAUCCAAAGCAUCCUGCAACCAAUUGAAAAAUCUCUAUUUCUCAUCUUUUACAUAAAAACAUCGAAUCUAAUCUUUGUAAAAAAGACACUACUUGCCUGCCUCACACCAUCCUGGAAAUUAUUCAGAUAAUAUCUCGACAUAGCACUGAUGCCAUCUUUGAUUGCUCCAGAUACAGUUUGUUUCCCGUACCUGCCAUGUAACUAUUAACAUCCUCUUUCUAAAUUAAUAUGAUAAAAGAAUCUUAAGGCGGACAUUUUCUCACCUGACGAGGUCGCCCUUAAGAGCAUAUGUCCCGGCGUAUUGCAAGCUAAUCUCGUCCCCUUGCUCAGCCCAAACUAUCAGAAAAGCCAAAAGGAUUUUAUCUUUUUGAGGAAAAGGCAGAAAAUAUCAUACAGCUAAGACAAGUUGCAAGUGAGUGACAUUCACUUACUUGUUCUGAACUUUGUGUAAUCAUCUUCAAACAUGGAUACACACUCUGCGGAAUCAAGCACUCCGAUCCUUUGAAGUUGUAGAUUCAAAGACUUUUGGGCCAUGUAAUUCUUUUCACAUGAAAAAGUUUUUGAAUGCAAUCAGAAGCAGUUCAGUGACAAUGUUAUUUUUAGCAAACACAGAUGAAGUCGGAUAUGCAAGUAGUGAUUUUCUCCCCCAAAUAAAUUAGUAGCUUGACCAAUACUUGUACCAAUCAAGAUGGCUGGUGGAAAUGAAAGAAAAACGAGAGUAAGAAAUCAAAUUGAACAAACCUGGGUAACAUUUGUGCGGUCAAGACAGUCGAUGCAGUUAGAUCUGAUAACUCCUUUCUGCUCUUCUAGGAUGUUCCCUUCUGCGUCUACAAGGAAGUAUCUGCUCAGCUUGGAUUAGUGGCAGCUGAAACAAAAAAAAUAUCUCUGCACAUAGCUAGCAUCUACCUAACUUUAACCAAACAAACAAACAAAUCUGAUCUGACUGCUAUGCAAAUAUUAACUCAGUGUCUAGAACUGAACUAAAAGAAUAAUAAGUUGUUUGCUUACCCUUGCUUUUCAAAUUCAUCCCCAAUCUGUUCAUAAAGUACCCCCAAGUUGUCGAAGUUUGUAGUUCCACAGAUGUGAUGGAAGUCAAAGGCGACAUAUCUGUGUCAAAACAACCUCAUUAGCUAAUACUACCUCUAAUUCAACUUUGAUGUAAGAACAGAUUAAAUAAAGAGAAAGGUGAAAGACAUCCAAACAAACGAAUAAAUUAUUACGAAGUGUCAGGAAACGGAAAAAGAAUUUUACCUCACGUUUGGAAGCCUCGCCAUUUCGGUGGCGUAUGCUUUGCUUAAUUCACCUUCAGCUCCAUGCUAUUUGUAGACAAGGAAAGUAAGCAAGUGAAUAUUGCGUAGCAGCAACCACAAAAUAACUGAAGCUAAAAUGUCAAAAUGCAUUAUGUUCUUAUCUGCAAUGAGGAGCAAGGAAAUGUACCUGAUCUGUUAGGUUAACUACCAUAAUUUCUCCAUAUCUUUGGCUAAGAUCAUGGAAGUGGCGCUGCACGACCUUCGGCUGGAUGCAGAAAAUAACUUAAUCAAGGUUGAGGGAUGGACAGUGAAUUAAAAAUAUGUAACAUUCAUAAUCAUAAGAAAUUACCGUGUCUUCAUGCUUAUUUAUCUUAAGCUGUGGCUUAUAGCUCAAAUCAACGAUUUGCUCCCAUAGAAGUGGAAUUGAACCUCUAACCUAGCAAGUUAAAGCAUGACGGUUACAACCCACAAAAAUGAAAGGAAACCUUUAAACUGAGAAAUCUUAUAUAAACUAAGAUAUCUUAUAUAAGAAUAAUAAUGAAACAGUGAAUUUCGAGCAUAUCCAAAACCUUAAAACAGUAACCACUCAGUUGAAAUGAGCAUUUUAUAGCAACAAAGGAAUGUAAUUCCACAGAUAUUACAGCCAGUACAGUAACAAGAAAAGAUCAUUUUGACAGUACACAACACAUGAAAGAGCUCCUAACAAAGGGUAUACCUGCAAUAAAGAGAACUUGAAACCAUUAAUCUCCACUAUUUGUUCAGAUUCCACAAAAUUAGCAGUGUCUCCCUCAAGAUUUGCUCCUCUUCUCCACAUACGUGUACCUGGAAAUGCCAAUUCCACCAUGAGUAUCAAACAGGCAUUUAACUGAAUUUUCCAACAGCACUAGUCACAAAACUAAUAAACACACCUAGACGACGUGUACAGCGCCUCGAAAUUAACGAUAUCACGGAAGGAGUAUUCUUGAGCUGUAGCUCAGCAACUUGGUAGCUUAAGCGUUGGUUAAUUUUUAAACAAACACGUUGGGAGACACAACAUUACGUAUACAUAUAUAUAAACAGUCCAAGAAGAAUCGAAACAGAAGAUAAAGAAAGGAUAUUUCCUUGAAGCAGAGGGGUAAUAAAACCAUCCAGCUACCACAAAAAGAGAAGAUUAGAUCUGUGAAGUUUUGACAUGGAAUGAGAAUAUUCAACUUAGAAUGCGACAACUUACUUUGCAUUCAAUCAGUUCCUCCAAAAGAUGCCAGUUCCAAACAUAACGAGGGUCAGCCUGAGACGCAAGUUAACCUUCAGCCUAACUUUUACUAGACCAACUAAAAUCAGACAAGAAUAUAGUAAUAGAAAAAGAAAAAAAAAAUACAAGUUGCAGAAUGAUCAGAAGAACAACCAACCUGCUUCCACAUGGGCUUACUCGUCCAACCAACAGCUAGCUUGCACCGUCUUUGCAAGCUGUAACAUUGGAUGAAUGUAUCAAAUAUAUAUAUAUUCGUAAGUCUAGAGAAUGACACACUAUUUAGCCAAAGAUAACCAAAACUUACUUGACAGUUAGAUCUGUCUCAUAUGAAAAAUACAAUCCUGGGGUAGUCUCAAGUGCCUGUAACAGAGUCCUGAAAUACGCUUCGUCCUUUUUCUGCACAAGCCACCAAAAGCAUUCCAGACAACUUAAAGAAAAAAACUCCAAAAAUAGAAACUUUACAGAAGAAAAAAAACCUACUUCUUGAGCUGUAGCAAACCUCAAAUUCCCAUUGCAAGGAAGGAACUUCAUAGCUGUAACUCGAAAAAUGGGAAGACCGAGGAAAGUCCCAGCUUCCUCCCGAGAUGUUAUAACGAGCAAGUACGUUCCUAAACUCCCAUUGAGCAGUAGCCAAACACAGUGAAGGUUCCAAUUUAACAGAAACCAAAAUAAUAAAAUAUAGAAAGGUAGAAACUUUCACCUGCUAAGAGCCUAAUAGUUCCUGCUACACCAAAGAUUGUAGACACUUUGGUAGCAUUACCAGAACUAGUGUUGUCUGCCAUUAGUACACAAAUAGUAACAUCAACACACACAACAAACAGCUCGCGAAAUGAAUUACAGAUUCCUCUCCGAAAUCAAAACAGGAAAACGGACAUAGAGAGAGAGAGAGAGAGAGAGAGAGAGAGGUGAGAAGGUGAUACCGUCGAGAGGUUUGAUGUUGCCGUCGCGGCGAUCGACGGAGAAGCCUUCAUGAGGCGAAUCGACGGGUUUGACAACGUACUUAUCGGGAAACUCCAGAAGCUCGAGUUGAUCGUAGAGCUUGAAUCUACUUGAAGAUGGAGCGAUCUCCAUUUGCGUGAUUACGAGGAUUAUUCGAAAAUAAGAUUGAAUUGAUUGAUGUCUGGAGUUUGAUGGUUGGUUACGGCUUACGGGAUCAGGGAAAAGAAUGUCAAAGAUGGUUCUAUUAUUUUUCUUCAACGUUGACUACUGACACGUGUCUAUUUUCGAAACUAAUUGGCUUUUCUUACCGAAUGGGCCGGGCCUUAAACCUGUUUUGUUGAUCACGCAACCAAAAAAAGCGCUAAAUCAACUCUUUCACUUUGCGCUUCAUCAGGUAUUCAAUGAUAAUUGAGAAUUUUAAUUGUACAAAUCAGAAACAAUUAUAAUAAUUGGAUGAAUCAAAUAAGACUACUCUAUGAAUUGAGAUGAUUCAUUUGAGAUUAUCAAAUCACAUAUAAUUUGGAUGCAUGCAAGCAAACAAACAUAAUUAAAGUUUAUAAUUAUUCAGAAAAAUAAAAUUUACAUAUUUCCUUUAAAAACAAUAUUACCUUUUCCUCGUUAAAAUGUAAAACAUAUUUUCACUACAAAUGUAAAAUUAAAAAAAAAAAUUUCUUCACAAUUGUAAAAUAUAUUUAUUUCAAAAAUUAUAAAAUCCUAUAUUUUGCUAAAAUCAUAUCAUAUUGUUGUCUUAUACACCUCAAAAUCAAAUCCUAAGCAUCAUACAUUUUUAAGUUCCAAAAACCAUAUAAAUUAUAUGAAUAUCUGACAAUCCAUUUUUUUAAUCAAAAUCCAUUUCUUAUUUAAAUGGGAACAAAACUUGGAUUCACCCCCUGUGGUGAAUUCUCUAAUUCACCUCUAGUCUUAACACCAAUCAAAUUGACAGGUAGGAUUAGUAAAAAAGGAAAUAAAACUUAAAAAAAAAAUAGGUAAAAAAAAAUUAGUCGCCGCUGUUAGCAAGGAAUAGAACGUGAUCUUUGUGUUAUCUCUUAGGUUUUGAGCUUCAAAUCCACAUGGCUCUGGUUGAAGAUAUGCAAACAUCAUAAUAACAAACAUGGCUCUGGUUGAAGAUAUUUAACAGAAACAAAUUCUUUAUUUUCUAUGGGAGUAAAAUCAAACCAUAUGUUGAAAGUAUAAUUCUUGUAAAAUUUGUAGAAGAAAAAGCGGAUCCAUUAAGAUGGCCAAUGAAGAACAAUAUAACUAUGGCAAUGCAUUGGAUAGUUUUAGGCUGCAGCCCGGGAGAUUCCUCAUGUGUCAUUGUAGAGGAUGAGAUCAAUGCUACAAUAGUACGGCCUCUCCCUUAUGGGGUCAAGCUCCAUGCCAUCGUUGAGUGUGACAUGUUGAUGGAGUUUGUGAAGGAUUUUAAAGGCACUGCUCAGAUUCUUGAGAAAGGUUAUGUCACUGAUAUUCAAGACAAUAGGAAAGACGUGGUUGUGGAACACUCGAGACAGCUUUGCAGUUCUCAAAGUGUGGAAUUAAACCAGGAAACCUUGGGUUUGGUGGGAUUAUAUCUCUGAUUUACAGGUCAGAUGUCCCACGAAGAAGAAGAAAUACAACAAAGAACUUGCAAAUCUAUAUUUUAAGAAUACAUUAAAAGUCUGUUGCUGUGACCUUACUACAUCAAAGAUCACGACACUUGCAUCAGUGAGUUCUCAUGAACUUGCAAGUCUAUAUUCUAAGAAUACAUUACAAAUAGCGUUUUUAUUUAAACAAGUUGUAGUGUCUGAUUUCCAAUUGCCAUCGGUUUCUUUUGUUGAAUUUUAGGCAAGACUGGUUCACAAGUAAAGUCAUCUUCUUCCUCCCUGGGGCCUGCAAGUUUGAAUCCCAUACCAUCAUCUUCAUCUCCACCAUCAGCGCUCUUUCUAGUCAUAAGGCAACAUGGCUUGAUUUGAUUUGGAGAAGAUGAAAUCGAAAUUUGAUUUGAAAGCAUAGAACUGGAGACUCAGCUUUCUAUCUUCUCUGGGCUAUAAACAAGAAGACGUCGAUGGACGGCGUAACAAAACACACGUUAUUUUCUUUGUUAACGGAGACUUUUUUUUUUACCUAUUUUUUUUCUUUUAAGUUUUAUUUCCUUUUUUAUUAAUCCUACAUGUCAAUUUGAUUGGUGUUAAGACUAGAGGUGAAUUAGAGAGUUCACCGUGAAUUAGAGAGUUCACCGUGAAUUAGAGAGUUCACCACAGGGGGUGAAACCAUUUGUUCUUUAAAUGGUACUUUAUACAAGGUGAUUACCAUACGCCCAAUAGAAUCACCCCACGUGGUAACACAACAACCUAGUCCGACAAAAGUUGUGACGUAGACUCUCUUAUCGUCGUCGGUCACUUACAACCACUGAUUUCCCCAAACAGCAUACUGUCCGAAAAUUCACACCCCUCCCAUCUCCGGCUAACAGCCACCAGAGACGAUUCUCUCCGCCGCUUCUAUGACUUCCAUUCUCAACACCGUCUCAUCCAUCCUCGCCUCCAGAGUUUCCUCCGUCGACCGAGUUGGAGCACUCUCUCUCCAAAACCCGGUCUCCGUCGAGUUCACUUGCCGGCGUUCCGCUUGGUCGACGUUGGACUCCAACUCUUCUGGUACAUUACGUUACCGUACUUUGAUGCUGAACACGUUCUUCUACUUCUAACUGGGUUUGUUACGUUCGUAGGGAAGAGAUUUGUUGUGCGUGCGGCGGAGACUGAUACAGAUAAAGGUUUAAAACUUUUGCUUGUUCUUCAAGUCAUUCGUUUGAACACAAGCUUAUUUAACUAGGGUUUUGAAAUGAAUCUCCACUGCAGCUAAAUCUCAGGUGCCUGACAAGGCACCAGCAGCCGGUGGUUCAAGCAUUAACCAGCUUCUUGGUAUCAAAGGAGCUGCUCAAGAGACUGUGAGUUUCUUCAUCUUCUCCAAAAUUUUUUAUUUUUUUCUCCAAUGGAAGAAGAUUCACUUGUUUCUUUCUUUGUGUUCAGAAUAAAUGGAAGAUUCGUCUUCAGCUUACAAAGCCAGUCACUUGGCCUCCAUUAGUCUGGGGAGUGGUCUGUGGUGCUGCUGCUUCAGGUAACAUAUAUAUAUGAACCUCCUUUUGAGAUGAAUUCAACACUGUCAUGGUGCUUCUUUACAAUCUUCUUGACGUCUUCGGUCUUCACCAAAUAUCUUUUUACUUGUGUUCUCUAGUGUACCAUGACUAAAAUCUUCGGUUGCUGGCAGGGAACUUUCAUUGGACUCCAGAGGACGUUGCUAAGUCGAUUCUUUGCAUGAUGAUGUCUGGCCCAUGUCUUACUGGCUAUACACAGGUCUGGUUUCAACACAACAAGAAGCAGAGUUGUUUCUUAUGCUAGUUCAUUUAUCUUAGUGCCAUAUAUAGUCUAAGAAGUGUCGAUUUCCAGACAAUCAACGACUGGUAUGAUCGAGAGAUUGAUGCUAUUAAUGAGCCAUAUCGCCCAAUUCCAUCCGGAGCAAUAUCAGAGCAAGAGGUACGUGAUACAGAACAUUUAGAUUUUUUUAACCAUUAGUUUGUUUGUUUGGUACUAAUUUUCUCCUUAAAUGCAGGUUAUUACACAAGUCUGGGUGCUAUUACUGGGAGGUCUUGGAAUUGCUGGAGUCUUAGACGUGUGGGUAAGUUGGUGGUUUUUGAUGUAACCAGUACAGUUAAAAGCUUACAUCAGAAUUGCUAAACCUUUCCUUUUUCAGGCAGGGCAUACCACUCCCACUUUGUUCUAUCUUGCUUUGGGAGGGUCCUUGUUGUCUUAUAUAUACUCUGCUCCACCUCUUAAGGUAAGCUAUUUAUAUACACUCCAAUGCUGUUUUGGAGUUUAGCACUUAUCAAUACAUCUACUUGCAGCUAAAACAAAAUGGAUGGGUUGGAAACUUUGCGCUUGGAGCAAGCUAUAUCAGUUUGCCAUGGUAACAUAGAUAUAUUGUGCAUAUCAUUCAUUAUCUGCUGUGCUUUCAUCUCAUUGAUCUGUUCUUUUAUUGUUCACUUAAUUGAUAGGUGGGCUGGACAAGCAUUGUUUGGCACUCUUACGCCAGACGUUGUUGUUCUUACACUCUUGUACAGCAUAGCUGGGGUACUACUCUUCCUGCAAACUUUUAUGAUGUUUAUUUUAUUAUAUUUUUUAACAUUCUGGUUUCACAUCAUGUACUUGCAGUUGGGAAUAGCGAUUGUUAAUGACUUCAAAAGUGUUGAAGGAGACAGAGCAAUGGGACUUCAGUCUCUCCCAGUGGCUUUUGGCACUGAGGCUGCAAAAUGGAUAUGCGUUAGUGCUAUAGACGUUACUCAGCUCUCCGUUGCCGGUAUGUAGAGUUUUGUUCAUUGCUUGAUCUUAUGAACUAGAUGAUCAUUUGUGAGAUGUCUAUUUUGGUUGCAGGAUAUCUAUUAGCAUCUGGCAAACCUUACUAUGCGUUGGCGCUGCUUGCUUUGAUUAUUCCCCAGAUUGUGUUUCAGGUAAGGACAUAAAACAUAUUCAUCAGCUACAUUCUUGUCACUCGUCUGGUUUAUAACACUCUUCUUCAAAGUGCAGUUUAAAUACUUUCUCAAGGAUCCUGUCAAAUACGACGUCAAGUACCAGGUAAAGUCAUCCAUGUGCAGAGUGUAAUUAAUGAAACUGGGAUUGGUAACACGUGGAGUUUUUCUUGUUUUGAAAUAUCUAAAAAAAAAACUCAAGGCUGAUAGGUCCUUUUUAACGAGAAUACACUGGCUUUGAAUACAGGCAAGUGCACAGCCAUUUUUGGUGCUCGGUAUAUUCGUGACGGCUUUGGCAUCAAGUCACUGAACGAGCUGUGUUGUGAUGGGAGUUUGCGCCAUUGCGGACCACAAAUCUGGGCAGGUUGUAGCAUCGUCUAGCCUAAGAUUUUGAAAACAAUAUGUAUUUAAUAUGUGCAUGUACCGUCGCUAGAAGUUAUUUCUGUUGUAUCAAGUUAGCCAUAUUGGGUGAAAUUGGAAAAAUCGUUUCUUAUGCCCCGUUUCUGUUUAAAUGUCUUCUCAUCUCUCUUAAAGGACUCGUGGUGUUGAACGUCAUGAAUUUACUGGGUAGAGUACGUUCGGUCUUGUUACUUCACGUCUGCUUUUACACGUUUUCUAUCGACUGUUAUUUGUUUCAAAGCACAACUUAUGUGCAAUCUCUUUAGCAAAAAAAAAAAAAAAACUUGUGCAAUCUCAAAUAUAUCUCGUUGCAUGUUAUUGCCUCAUUCGUGGUAAUAAGUAGCAAUGACCGAAACAACAAGUGUCAAGACAUAUAUAUUAUUUGAUUGUACCCUCACCAAAACUUCAAAAAACUUCCAGAGCGGUACAACACUGCCGUUAGUACAAGCCAUGCGUAGUUAUAUGACACAUGAAAAUAAGACUAGCUAGGGACGCUACAUUAACCCUAGAUUAAAACAACAAAAGACCUCGCUGCAACUUACGGAACCUAGAGGCUACUUAUUCAGACUAUAUAAUACAAAACGUUGCAGCGGACACUAGUAGAUAGUUUGCAAGCUAGUAUCACUUGUUGGUGAACUUGGACUCAUCGAUUUCAAUCCCUUCUUCCUCCGCACGCUCUCCACCAGACUUGUCCAUGGUACUGAGUCCUCCUUUACGUCCCAUCUCCUUGUAACCCUCGUGCCCCAGCUGCUCCUUCCUAGUCUCUCCUCCCUUGUGUCCCAUCUCCUGAUAACCUUCGUGCCCCAGCUGCUCCUUCCUCGUCUCUCCUCCUUUGUGUCCCAUCUCCUGAUAACCUUCGUGCCCCAGCUGCUCCUUCCUCGUCUCUCCUCCUUUGUGUCCCAUCUCCUGAUAACCUUCGUGCCCCAGCUGCUCCUUCCUCGUCUCUCCUCCUUUGUGUCCCAUCUCCUGAUAACCCUCGUGCCCCAGCUGCUCCUUCCUCGUCUCUCCUCCUUUGUGUCCAAUCUCCUGAUAACCCUCGUGCCCCAGCUGCUCCCUCCUCGUCUGCCCUCCCUUGCUCCUUCCUGAGUAACGUGUAUACAUUUCAUUAUUAAAGCACGGAGACUACUUCAUAUUCACGUAGAACAUUUUAUAAACCAUCUUAUAUUCUAAGAUAUGCAAGUGCUUUAAUGGGUCUUUCUUCUCAGCAAAAAUAAUAAGAUUACAGCGUGUAUACUAUUUCAUAAAAUCAUUCUGAGAUCAGAACAAACAAUAGUUUAUAUAUAUGCAGGUCCAAAGGGUUUAUUAGUAGCUUUUAUAAUCUAAUACUUGGAACCUCAAGAAAAAGAAAAGAGCGGCAAAAUUUUAAACCGAAGUACAUAUAUAAUACCUUCAGCUAGACGCUCUUGAGCUUCGACACUUUUGCCACCGGUGCCACCUGGGACGACGGUCUCUCCUUGCCUGGCCUUCUCAUCAAGCUCUUCUCGGCUUUGUUGCUUUGACGCCAUUUUGAAUGAGAAAAAGAAACACGAUAUGUAACUAAGGUUUUUAAGCUCUUGUUUGGUUUUAUGCUCCGACACAGAUACGGACGACGUAAUAAUAUUCCUAUAAAUAGAAACAUUGUGGUUACAAAAGGAAAGGUGAGGUGAUGUCACGUGGAAGAGAAGACGCGGCGAAACCUGAGAGAGUUGGCUGUGUGGAGAUGACACGUUGAUGCUUACUCAGUCAACUUACUACAGUUAUUAACGAGCUGCUUGACACGACUUCAGUUUUAGUACGCAGCUUAAUCCAUUUCUCUGUUUCUCUCCAAGACAUCAAAGGAACUCAAAAAUGUUAUGAGAAACAUAUAUAACUAUAAAGUUGUAUUUAACAUGAUUACCAAAAGAAAAAAAACUAUUAAAGUUGUAUAGAGUAGCUGUCAUUACUCACUCAACUUGCUACAGUUAUCAACGAGCUGCUUGACACGACUUCGGUUUAGUAGUAGCUUAAUCCAAUUUCUUUUUUUUUUUGGUGCAAAUGUUAAGACUUAAUUAAAAAAAAAACCUAAUCCAAUUUCUGUUUCUCCAAGACAUCGAAGGACAACAAAGUGUUACAACACACAUAUCUAAAUUAUAAAGUUGAAGGCAUGGAGCUUAUCUAUCACUGUCAUUCAGAAAAAACACUGGAAAUUUUUCAAUAUUUUCGCUAUUCUUUUUAACGCAUAUCGAUUUAUACUUAAUUAACAUACACAUUGCAAUUUAGCUGAUUGUCAUUUUAUUCUAUAAAAAUAAUGUAGAAUAGAUAAUUUAAAUACAUACAUAAAUAAAAUAAAUAUUAUAUUAAUUUAUAUAACUAAAAUUGUUUUAAAGUUAUUUACUGCAAUUUUAACAAAAAGGAAAGGAAUAAAUUUAUUCUAUUUUUUUAUAACAUUCAUUUUUCUGCUGAAUUUAUUCUAUCAAUUUGUUCAUAGUUUACUAACAUCCGCGUUAUAAAAGAUGACUGAAGAUUCUAUCAUUGCAACAAUUUCUUUUUUAAACAAUAACAACAAAUUUAUCUAUAAAAACCAUAUACAGUAAAUCUAUACUAUUAUUUACGAAGUAAAUUUUUGCAUUCGAAUUCUCACGUUAAAAGUUAGAGCAGUUAAUAUCAUUUAUAUCCUUAAUGAAUAAUUAUAUAAAUUAGUCAAAAAAGAAAAACGAAUUUCAAAUCUAUCUGAUUAAAAACGUGAUUAAAAUUAAUAAUACAUCGUUUAUACCCUUAAUGAAUAAAUUAUAUAAAUUAGUCGAAAAUAAAAACGAAUUUAAAAUAUAUCUGAUUAAAUAUGUGAUCAAAAAUUAAUAAUAAUAAGAAUUAUCUAAAAUAUAAAUAAUUUUAAAAAAAUUUCGAUUAAUACUAUUAUAUUUAUAUAUUAUAUUAGAUAAUUGAUUAUAAAUAAAUAUAAUAAAAUUUUCAAAAAUAAAAAUAUGUUUUAAAACAUAAGAUAAUUCUUAGAUAUAUUCUGUUGUUAUCUGAAAAUAAUAUUUUAUUAUAAAAUUUAUAGUUAGAUAUAAAACAAUUUAUAAUUAAAUGCUAAUCAAAUAAAUAAAUAUAUUUUCUAAAAUAUAUGUGAAUGUUUUUAAAAUUAAGCACAACAAUAAGCAUAUAUAUAUUUUGAUAAAAACUAAUGAAUAUAUAUUAAUAAUAUUUUAUUUAUAUGUUAUAUUUGAUAAUUGACUAUAAGUAAAUAUAAUAAAAUUCUCAAAAAUAAAAUAUAUUUUUAAAAUAUAAGAUAAUUCUUAAAUAUGUUGUGUUUUAUCUGAAAUUAUAUUUUUUUAUUAUAAAAUAUAAAGUUUAAUAUUUGAUUUAUUUUUUUAAAAACAUAAUUAAUAAUUUAUUAUGUUGGUUUUGAUUUAAUAGUUAUAAACAUAUAAAUAUCUAUAAAAACACUAUGUCCGCAUGUGCGGGCAUAAUCCCUAGUUAAUAAUUGUUUUGGUAACUUAAAAGAGUUGGUGAAUGCUAAAGAUGGGCCAGCGAACGUAUAUGUUACUGAAACAGCCACCGUUUAGCCCAUGAUGGAGUGAAAUGAAAAACGCAUGGCCACAAAUGGAAACGUAAACAAAACAAAACAAGAGUUUUCUUUUAUGUUAAACGGUGUCGUUAAGAAGAGACGACACAUAGCGAAAACCCUAGUGUCUUUAUUUGAGCCAACGUCGUCUCGCUUCUCACCCACAAUAGCUCUCCACACCCUUUUACGAAUUCCUUAAACCCCUGCGAGUAUCCACCUUCGAGAGAUGAGUUCGGACGAUGAGAGAGACGAGAAGGAGCUGGAUCUUGCCUCUCCUGAAGUCGUCACCAAGUACAAGAGCGCCGCUGAGAUCGUUAACAGUAAUAAUCCCCCGUUCACGAUUUCGAUUAGGUUCUGUAUUCAUUGCUUGUAUUCAUUUGUUUGGGUUUGGAAUUUGCAGAGGCGUUGCAGGUUGUUUUGGCUGAGUGCAAGCCAAAAGCUAAGAUUGUUGAUAUCUGCGAGAAAGGAGACGCCUUUAUCAAAGAGUUAGUUAUUGUUUUUAGGUCCUUGUGCUCUGCAAUAAAGUUUACGUUGCUCAUAUGUUUGUUUGUUUUCUGUAUAAAAAAGGCAAACAGGGAGCAUGUACAAGAACGCCAAGAAGAAGAUUGAUAGAGGUGUCGCUUUCCCGACGUGCGUUUCUGUCAACAACACCGUUGGUCAUUUCUCACCGCUUGCAAGUGAUGAGACCCUCUUGGAAGAGGGUGAUAUGCUGAAAAUGUAAGAGACUUAAGUUUGUCUGUGUUUUAGAUAUUUCUGUGUGAUUAAUCGUGUUUUGUCUUUUCUCCAUUGCAGUGAUAUGGGAUGUCAUAUUGAUGGGUUCAUUGCCCUUGUUGCCCACACACAUGUUCUUCAUGAUGGACCCGUUACUGGACGCAAAGCUGAUGUUCUUGCAGCUGCUAACACUGCUGCUGAAGUUGCUUUGAGGCUCGUUCGUCCUGGGAAGAAGGUAACCUGUUUUUUUUUAAUUGUGCUACUGUAACUGUUACAUUUGGCUCUUAAUGAUUUAUUAGGCUAUGGAUUAUUAUCCGUAUGAUGCUUUUUGUCAUAGUUACUCGGAUGGGAAGUUUAUAAUUCUCAUUUCUAGUUGAGUCCUCUGUAGACAAAAUUGUUAGUGAGAACAACUUUGCUGAACAGGUCUUAUCGGUUUUCUGAUUCUGGAUAAGUUACUACGAUCAAGACAAUUAAAAUUGUGUUUAUUUUUCUUGUGGCAGAACCAUGCUGUCACUGAAGCUAUUCAGAAGGUGGCUGAAGCCUAUGACUGCAAAAUUGUGGAAGGAGUUAUUUCCCACCAGAUGAAACAGAAUGUGAUAGAUGGAAGCAAGUGUUUCCUAAGUGUAUCCACUCCAGAAACAAGGGUUGACGAUGCUGAGUUUCUAGAGAAUGAAGUCUAUGCCAUUGAUAUUGUGGCAAGCACUGGUGAUGGCAAGGUAAAAUUGCUUUUCUUCAUUUGCAAAACUUCGUCAAAUUGCCAUUGUUUCUUAUACUCUUUCAAUUUUGCAGCCGAAGCUUUUAGACGAGAAGCAGACAACUGUUUACAAGAAGGAUGCGGAUGUUAACUAUCAGUUGAAGAUGAAGGCCUCCAGAUUCAUAUUCAGCGAGAUUAAAGAAAACUUCCCCCAUAUGCCAUUCACUGCAAGGUGUCUUUUGUACCUUCUGAAGCACUUAAUUACAUAUUAUCUCAGCUGCUAACGUUACCUGAGAAUACAGGUCACUGGAGGAGAAAAGGGCACGACUUGGACUUGUGGAGUGUGUGAACCAUGGCCAUUUGCUACCAUAUCCUGUACUUUACGAGAAGCCUGGUAAGGAUUAUGAAUCCUUUAGCCUCUUUUAGAUUGAUUUUGAGAGUGAGACUCAUGAUAUAUUUAUUUGGUUCAUGAACAGGGGAUUUUGUUGCUCAAAUCAAAUUCACAGUUUUGCUGAUGCCAAAUGGAUCGGAUAGGAUCACUUCACAUUCACUUCAGGAGCUUCAACCUACGAAGACCGUUGAUGACCCUGAGAUCAAAGGGUGGUUAGCCUUGGCUAUCAAGAAGAAGAAGGGUGGUGGAAAGAAGAAGAAAGGUAUGAAAUUUAGAAAAUUAUGUUUGUAGACUUUUAUUUACCAUGAAACUCAAUCCACAUUUGUUGAGAAAAGAAUCUAUAAUGACUUGUGAUUCUUUUUGCAGCCAAGAAGGCUGGAGAGAAAGGGGAAACCUCAACGGAGGCUGAGCCAAUGGAAACAAGCAGCAAUGCUCAAGAAUGAGAAGGAGAUGUCUCUUUUGUUUUCUUUUAAAGAUUUUUUUUUUUGGAACUUUGAGGUACUGCUUUAUUUGUAUGUUUGGGGUUUCAGAGAAUCUCUGCUUAGAAGUAAAAAAGAACAAAAAGUUACUUAUUAACUUGAUUUCUCUUUUUUUUGCACAAACCCUUUCUUAAUCAUUGGUUCUGUCGUAUUGUUCUGCUCGGCUUUGCUCAUGAAUCAAAGAUGAUCUUGGAUAGUAAUAAGUUCAUCUUAUUAUCGUGAAACUUGUGUACCUCAGGUCUCUCAUGAAGUUUAGCGGAAAGAUAUAUAAUAAAGAAAUGAAGUUAAACUAGAUAUACAUUGUUAAUUGAGAAAAUAACCAGACAUUUUUCUAUCUUGGAAUGUCGAUAUGAACUUUUUAGCUUAUGAAAUCUGAAUACACAUGGUUUGCUCGAAAUGUAGUUUUUAUGUCUUUGAAGGGUGUAAAAUGGAUGCUCCAAUAGUUUGCAUUCAUAUAUUUGAUGGACCAAUAGUUUUUUUUUUAAAUACUUAAAUCCAAGUUAACAUGCAGCUAAAUCCAAAGAUUGAUUCCAAUCCAUAUAUAAGAAAACGAUAUAUAAUUUAGUAGUAGUAGCAGAGCCGACCCUGGGCUAAAGCCCAUAAAACAAGAGCUUUAGGCACCAAAUUUCAUAAAAGUUUUAUCGGCACCAAAUUUCAUAAGUUCACAUUUUAUCUUGAGAGAAUUACAUUCAGAGACAGUUUAUGAGUUUAUUUUACAUUAUGGAGCAGUUUGUGCUAUUAGGGUAGUUUUUCUUAACCAAUCUCACUUUUUAGUUAUAAACUAACUAAAUAAGCUUAUAACUAAAUGAUAUCACCUUAACUAAUUUAAUAUCUGACUUUUGUAGGAUUUAUUCAUGGUUCUUCAUAGCAAACAAAAGGAAGUGGAUCCCAUGUAUCAUCUUUUUCAUUUCUUCCUAUUGAGUUCCUUAUUUCUUUUUGCAAAAUGAAUAUUGUUUUUUCUAAAAUUUUUUUGAAGAAAAUAUGUUUAUAAUCAGUGGUUUUAUUAUUCAAUCUAUUUUUUGAGAUAUGUCAAGCUAUAUUUUUGAUGGAACAAAUCGUUCAACAAAUUAGAAACCAAAAAAAUCACUUUAGUUUGAACUUUUAAGAUUAAAGCCAUGAAUUAGGAUUGAAAGCUAUCACAUCUGGGUAAAAAUACACAAAAAAACAAGUUGAGAAUGUAAAGAAUUGUGGAAAAUAGGCGAGAUAGGCGGAGAUUAGGGUUUCUGGUCGACAAUGGCUAAGGAAGAAGAUGAGGUUAUUUUCGUAAUUUUGCAACAUUAAUGAAAAAAUGUCGUGUGUACAUUACAUUCAAACUGUACAUGUGUACACCUAGUUUUGUAUUAUACAACAGAGUGAUUGUGUACACAUUUUUGGCUUUUUUGUAGCCUUUCUAUCUAAAUAACUAAGCCUCUGCGACUUCAUGAACUCAAGAUAAUGUUAACACAAUGUACAUUUGAAUUUUUUUAUCUUCUUCCCAUGUACACACAGGGUCGGGCAUCUUUGAUAUAUGACUGAACCCAAAUAUCAUCCUUCACACCUUGUUUAAGAGCGUCUAAUUAGUAUGUGUGUUUUCAUGCUAGUUUCAUGUGUACAUCAACUUCAUAAUGUACAUAUGUAUAUUAACUUUAAAGUGUACAUGUGUACAUUAACAUCUAACUGAACAUGUGUCCGUUUACAUAUGUUCUUUAAACUACAUGUGUACAUUUACAUAUGUUCUUUAAACUCUUAAAUUCAACCAAAUUUCACCAUACUUUCAUACAAGAAUAAAUGUAUCUAACAAACUAUAAAGUGUACAUGUGAAUUCUUGCUCAUAUAUCUAAAAAAUUAUCCGGUUUCUACGUAUUAUUGUACAAGUUUAUUGAUGUAUAUAUGGAUAAUAAUACACGGGUUCGACUCGUACUCUCUUUUCUUCCUUUUUUUGAUAAUAAUGUCCUUUUUGAUAAUACUAACAAUUUAAUAUGAUUUAUUCAUAGAAAUAGAGACGGGUAGUUACUUAAUCUGCAGAAGAAGAUCCUAGCCCCCUCUUCAUUCUCUAUGGGUGUGAUUGGUAGUGGCUGUGAGUGCUCUCUACGGCCUCAUUUCUUUUUAGAGCACUAAAUCUACACCAAUCUUAAUUUAUAUUUUUUUUAAAGCUCACAGUCAUUUUAUAAAAUCCACAGCACUUCUUUGAAUUUAUGUCUUUACAAUUUCUCUGCAGAGACAAAAACCUACAGCCCAAAUAUAAAGACUUUUAAAAAUUAAAAAUCUAAAGCCAAAACAAUAAAAAUCACAACAAUAUUUCUACAAUCAAAAAAUGAAAUCACAGCACUUACCAAUCAACCCCUAUAUUAAAUUGUAUGACAUUAGAUUAGAGCUGGGUUGCGGGUCAAACCCGUCCCGCUUCACCCGCUAGAAGAAAAUAUGAAAUUCGCACCCAUCCCAUUUAAACCCACGGGUGAUCCGCUAGACCCACAGAUAGUAUUAUUAAUAAUAAAAAUUAUUAAUUUAAAUAUUUUUUAUUAAAAAUAACAAUAAAAUUUAAUAUUUUAAAUAUUUUUAUUAAAAAUAACAAUAACUUUUAAUUUUUUAAAUAUUUUUUAUUAAAAAUAUUAAAUAUUUUGUUAGUAAAUCUAGCCAAAAAUGAUAAACCUUAACAAUAAAAGGAAUGGAUAUUAAAGAAUUUAAAAACGUAUAUUCUGUUUUCAAUACGUUCAAAUCACGAUUUAGUUAAGAUUUCUAUUUAACCUACACACUCGAAACAAAAAAUAUAUAUAAUCUCAUUCCUGUUAUGUGAAAGUGCAUCAUUGUUCAAAUCACGAUUUAGUUAAGAUUUCUAUCUAACCUACACACUCGAAACAAAAAAUAUAUAUAAUCUCAUUCCUGUUAUGUGAAAGUGCAUCAUUAUUCACAGAACAAACUAAGCAUGUCUAAGGCCCUGAUUGGCAGAGCAUAAGCAUUAGCAGUAGCUGUAUGCUUUUGCUAAACUGUUUAAUAGGAUGGUUGGUAGAGCAGUAUGAAUAUGCUAUUUAAAAUUAUUAUAAAAAUUAAUAUAUAAUAUAUUUUAUUUUUAAUUAAUAUAUUAAUAUAUUAUUUUUAAUGAAUAUAUAUAUAUAUAUAUAUAUAUAAAUAUAUUAACAUAUAAAAUUAAAAAGAUAUAAAAUUAAUUUAUUUUAUUUAAUAAUCUAAAAAUUAUGCUUAUAUCGAAAAAUAUUAUUUUAAAUAAAUUUUAUAAUUAAAAUAUCUAUUUAAAAUUAAUAUUUCUUAUUUAUAAUAUAAUUUAAUUCAUAUAAUUUAAUUAUAUUUUUAAUGUGAAAUACUAUUUUUUAAAGUAUUUUUAUUGUAAAUUAAUUUCAGAAAUCAAUUUUUUAUUUCCUGGAUAUAAAAAUAAUUUUAUGAUAUUAUUAAAUAAAAUAAAUGAUGUAAUUAUAUAUUUUUCUUAAUUUGAUAAAUUAUAUAUGCAAAUGCUUUUCUAAAAGCUUCAUAUAAGAGCAUUGGUCAGAGAGCAUUUGGAAAGCAUUAACAUUUAGUUAAUGCUUUUCUAAAUGAUUUUCUAACAAUUAUUGAUUGGAUCAUGUAGAGUAUAAUGCUAAUCCUCUACUAAUCAAUGCAUAAGUAUCAUAGACUAGAGGUGUGAUGUGGAAGUCCGUUUAAUUAAAUAACAUUGCAUUCUAUUUUAGACAAUUAUCUCAAAUAGAAAAAUGAUCAAAAUAACUUUUUUUUUGUUUUGAAAAUUUUAAUUUUAAAUUUUUAUUUUUAAAAUUUGAAAUCCUAUUCUCAAAAUGCAAUCGCCUUAACUAAAUCUAAGUUUAAAUUAGUUAACCGUAGAGUAUAAAUAUUUUUUUACUCUUUAACAAAAUUAAAUUUGUUUUUAAUCCAAAAAGUAGGUCUCAUAGAUGGAUUUUCUCAAAUAUUAAGGAUAUAUAAAAGCUAGCCGUUAUGACUCGUAACAACUAUAUGGUGAAUUCUAACUCUCAGAGAUUUGAGUUUUUUGGCUUAAGUUAUCAAAACACACAUGGACAUUUGGACAAGUCUCUAAAACCACAGAAUAGUUAUUAGUUUUAUAUGUAUUGAAUUAAUCUUGCAAAAUGUUCGUGACUUACAUUUCGAGACUUACAUUUUUACCAAAAAAAAAAAAAUGUUCGAGAUUGGCAUGCCAUCCCCUGGAAUAUAUGCAUGGAAUCCGAGAUAACAAAAAUAUCAAUAUGUUUUAAUGGUCACGUGUAUUGCAGUAUAUGGGUUACCAGUGUACCACCGACACAGCAAGUUACGAGGUACAUGCAUGGCUCUGCUUGUCUAGAACAGUGGACGUAUCGUGUGUCUUUCAAGAUUCGCUUUGAAUAACAUAAAAGUUUAGUUAAUUAGCUUAGAGGCUAAGAUAUAUUCUCCUUUUCUUAUCAAAGAUAUAUUAUCUCUUUCUUUUUGGAUAACCAUAUUGUCUUCCUUUCUUUUUGGUCGGUUUUGGAUGUCGAUAUAUCUAAAUGUUUGUUCUUUUUUCAUGGAAUUAAUACAACAAUAUAGUUUAUUUAUCACUGAUUUGGCUGAAUAAAGGGACUAGUUUUACUUUACCACAUGUAGAAUGGUACCGUCUCAAGGAAAAGAAUGGAACCAAUGGUAAGCAAAGAAACAAAAGAAAAUAUGAAAGAGGGCGUUCCAGAAGCAGAUAAUCUCUUAAGUAACGAAGAUAAAACAAAAGAAGAAGAAGAGGAGGAGGGAGGUAAUGGUGGGAUUUUGAACAAUCUGAUAUCCAACUUGAUGGGUGCAACAACAACAGCAGUAGAUGAAAAAUCUGGUGAAAAUACUCAGAAAUCUGAAUGUGAAGAUGAAGAUGAGAAGAAGAAAGAGGGUUCAGGAGCUGGAAUCUUAGAAAAGAUCAUUUUUCAUCUGCCAGGUACGCUUUUGUUCAAAAACGGGCUUACACAGUUUAAGCUAUUGUACUAAAAUUUGUGAGACGUCUCAGUUUUAGUAGUAUAGUAGUGUUGUCUCCCGUGCUUCGCACGGAUUAGUUUUAUUGUGAUCAUCACAAAACCCUAAUUAUAUAUAACUAAUGUUUAUAUUAGUCACAUAUUUUAAAAUCUCGAUAGCACAUUUGGUACAUGGAUUUAAAAGUAAUUCAAAUAAAGCAGCACUAAACAGUUUCUUUGAUUUUAUUUUGAGAAAUUAAUACAUUAUGUAUGUUUGAAAGCUUGUUUUAUAAAUAUAAGAUACGCAUAAAAAUAUGGUAUAGAAUAUCAUAUUUGAUACAUUGACUUUUUUGUAAAUAAUACUUCUUAAAAAUAUAAAUCUCUUCACUGUUACCAUAAUAAACAUAAAAUAUGAAUUUAUUGACGAAAAUAAACUCAAAUGAAACAAUGAAAUUAUGAUAAUUAAAAUUUAAUUGAACAUAUUUUGAUAUCUGAAAUUGAAAAUAAAGAUUAAAUCCUAAUAUAACAAUUAAAGACUCAAUGAAAAUUAAUUAUGUCAAAAUAGAAACUAAUCACUCUCUUUUCCCUAAUUCCUUUUUUAUCAAUUAUAUUUCAUUAAAGCUUGAAUACCAUCUCUUUUUAAUAUAAAACACCUGGACAAAGUUGAGCUUCAUCUAGUUAAACAGAUUUUUAGAUAUCAUAAUUUUAAAAUGUAAAUAUGUUUACUUUUCUCUACAUAGUUUUUGAUAAUGAGAAUGACUUCAUGCUUUUGAUAGUAAUACUCUGUGAAACAAAGCUAUGAUCUUCCACAUCCCUUAUAUAUUAAUUGAGAAACAUUACAACCAUUAAGUGUAGCCACGUGUCAUCAUCAGAAUGAAAUUCAGAUUCCUUAGAAAAUAUGUUGGUCCAAUUAAGUAUAUAUUAUACUUUUCAUUAAACUAAUCAUGUGUACAAUUACUAUUUUAUUUUCUUUCCUUAAAUAAAAGUUACAGAAUAUGACUAAUAUAUAUAUAUGACAAUUAAUGAUUCUAAUAAUAAAGAUUUGAUAAAAAUUCAUAUCUCAUCCAUCGUUUUUGUUUAAUUUUAUAUUACUAAAAUAAUUAAAACAAUCAAAUUAGCUAUAAAGUUAAAAUAUAGAUUUUUUUCGUAUAUGUUAUAUUUUGAAAUUUUAAAAAGACAAAAUUACUAAAACUGUUAAAAUUAUUAUGUUAAAAAUCAAUGAUCAAUGGUUUAACGUUCCUUAUAUAUUAAUAGAUAAACAUUUAAAAAAUUUAGAACAUGUAGUUUGUACCAAUUAAAAAAGUGUCAUGCUGAGUUUUCACGUAAUUGGAAUGUUAAUUUGUUUACGUGACGGCUUGAAAAUCAAUUGAGAAUUUUGUUAGUCUAAAAUUAAAUUGUUAGAGAAUGAUAUAUUAUAUAGUAUGUUCAUUAUGGACUAUUCAUUUAUUAAAUUGAAAUUUAUUAUAUAUUAUUUCCUUAAAUAAAACCUAUGAUUAUGAUAUAUAUAUAUAUAUAGUAAUGAAUGAUUUUAAAUAAUGAAGAUUUGCUAAUAAUAUGUAUAUUUUCUAUCAUUUUGUUUAAUUCUUUAUUAUUAAAAAUAAAUUACACAAUUACAUUAAUCAUAUAUUAAAAAUUAGAUUUUUUUUUUGUAUAUGUUGUAUUUUGAAUUUUUCAAAACGAGUAUAAAUGACUAAACUGUUAAAAUUCUAACAUAAAAUUUGUGAUCAAUGUUUAAAUUUUUUCUAUAAUAAGAUACAAUGAUAAUAAAAUCAUAUAAAUAAAUAAUUUUAUUUUAAUAGUGUUUAUGCUAAUAUAUAUUUACUUCAUAUCGUUUACAUUUAAUUAUAUAUCAUAUACGAUAGAUAAGAUUGAUUGUUUUGAUUUAUUUAUCCUAAAAUGAUGGGGAAUAAACAAGAGUGGCCAUUUGAUUUAUAUGUGCAAGCCAAUUUAUUACAUAAUAGUAACUGAUUUCUUAGUUAUUUAAUAUAUAGUUAUUAUUUUAUUAUUUCAUAUAGAACUCGAAUAUAGAACUUGAAGACUCAAAUAAGAAUUGCUCUCUUAUUAUAACUUGUGAAACUCUCUCAAAACACAAGCUCUCAAAUCUCUAAUCUUCUUAAGUGAUAUCACAACUCAAUAUCUACUUAUAUAGAGAUUAUAUUUUCCUAAUCCUAAUAGAUAAACAUAUCUUUAGAUAACUCCUAAACUUAUUAUGUUUUCUAUUUCCAUGGCUCGGUAGGAUUAGGUCUCCUUACUUCUCUCUCAAGCUUCUUUAUCCUUCAAGCUUAUUCCAACAUUUCAUAAUAUGCAGAAAAAAAUAAAAUAAGUAAUAAAUAUAAAAUAUUUAUUCUGCACAAGACUCAGAUCUUAACCUAAGCAUGUAUCUCUUUAAUAAUUUUAAAUCAUAAUCAUUUCUAAAUAAGAAAUGAUAAUAAACUCAAAAAUCAAUAUUUAUAUCAAGCAAUAACCAAAAUGACACAAAAAUGAGAAAAAUAUCGAAGAUAGAUAUAAUUGACACGUGAACGUAAACCUCUCAUAACCAUAAUUAACUUUUAAAUUGCUGAAUCAUGAUAUAAAACCGAGCUGACAUAGUUUCAUUGUAACCAAAUAGUAGGCAUGAGAUUCUCGAGCCUAAACGUUAGGUUUUUAUGCGAUAAAUAAUUUUUGACUUAAAAUAUUUUUAAAAAUGGGAUCAGUUCAUAAGUAAACAAAUUAUGUAAUUAACAAAAAAAUUUAAAAAAUUGUUUAAGGGUCAAAAAUAUUAAUUCGAUCAAUAAUAUAAAUUUUAUUUUUCAUAUGAUAUUUCUUAAAUAAUUUUCAUAUAAAUUUACCCUGCACAAGGUGCAGGUCUUAUCAUGAAACAUUAAGCUGAAAAAGAAGUGUAUAUUUUCAACUUGAAUCAUGUAGAAGGAAUUGUGAAAAAGUAAUUUCAGCAAAAAGAAGAAUGAACGUUUAAAAGAUUUCUGCCACACUCAAACCAAACUAAAACAACAAAGAAGAUGAAACAAUCGAAAGAAAAAAGAGAAGCAAUAAAAAGGAAAACAAAAACAGUUUAUUAUAUGUUAUAUAUAGGAGAUAGAGCAGUUAGACAUAGGGUGUUAGAUUUUUUUUUUCCUUUUUGAACGUGUAACCGUCGAAGUAGUUUCUUUAGAGAAAAUAUGAUCUUUGCCAGUUACAUGAAUAUCUGAAAUGAAAAAAGUCUGAUAAUUUGUUUUUGAUUUUUAACAAUUACACAUGUAAAAAUUUUGUUGGUCAUGUGACUUGUGUUUUAGUAUAUAAGAGAUAUGUUUGUUAAACAAUUUAGAUAUCUAAACUGUUUGAUUUGUGGAAAGUAAUCACCAUUUUGUCUCUUUGUUCCCAUAAUUAGUUAGAUAGAUGCUUCCAUGAAAUACAGAUUUUUUAUUUGUUAUCAGAGGAAUUCUAAUCUUUAAACUCAUAGUCGUCCACAGAUUUGAAAUCAUUUUUUAGAUAUUCCUGAUUUAAAGAAUAAUCCUUAAUACUAAAAAAAAAAUGAUUUGAAUCUGGAGUAUAAAAGAAACCAACCCCUUCCACCAACACCUUGAUUGAAGUCCGGAUAUCUAAAGCCAAAUCUUUCUAAGAGCAUCUCCAAAAAACACUCUAUAACUUCAAAUUUGAAGUUUUUUGCUCUCCAAAAAGGAACUUCAAAACUUCAAAUUUGAAGUUUCAUAUUUUUAUUUACAUUUUGGUUCUUACAAUCACACAUCACAUUUAUGAUUCAUAAAUAUUUUAUUGUUUACUAUUUUAAUCCUUAAAAAAUUAUAUCUCAUAUAUAUUUUAAUUUUUGUUUACAGAUUUUAAAUUUUACACAUAAAAUUAAAUAUAACUUUAAAAUAUUUUAAAUUAGAUUUAGACAACAAUAAUAUACAAAAGAAACUUAACAAAUUUUUUUUUUAAUUACAUGAAAACAUAACUAUUACACAAAUUUAAAUAUUAUAACAAUACUAAUAGUCAUGUAAGUUUGAUCCGGAACCUUUAAAAUUUUUAAAUAUUGUCUAAUUUUUUUUGUGUAACUGAAGAUGGUUGUUGUUGUUGUUUUUGAUGCCUUUUUGUACAAUUCUUUAUUGUUUAUAUCGAAUAUAUUCACGAGUAUUAAUAUCAUCAAAAAUAAAUUAGUCUUUUAGCAAUAUUUUAUGUUUCUCUUUUACUUUCUUGUUCCGAUCUUAUGUAUUUACAAGUAUCAAUAUCAUCCAAAUUCAACAACUUUUAGCUCGUAAUCUACAAAGUAAAAAUGAGGAGAGCCUUCGAAAUGCACUAAUAGAUCGUAUAUGCAUUACGAAAAUUAUUUUAUGGAAUAAUAUGGUAUUUUGUUUGAAGUUUAAUAUUAAUUAAGUUAUUCUUAUUAAAUUUUGAUAGAAUAUUUUAUUAAUUAAUAUUGUUGUAAUAUGUUUAUAUGUGUGUUAGUUAUUUACAAAAGUUUUAUGAAUUCAAAUUAGUUAUAACUGAUAUAAAGUCCAUAUUAUAAAAUACAAAUAGUUUUGAAGUUGAGUUUGAAGUUUUGCUUUUGGAGAAGAACACCUUUAAACUUCAAAUAUAGAGUUUUGGAAGCUUCAAAAUAUAAUUCCUUUUUGGAAAUGCUCUAAAAUAACUUGUUUUGGGGUUUGUAAAGCAUUUAAGUAGACAAUUGUUAAUUAGUUUUAAAUUUUUAACUAUUUUUUUUGUAAAUGCAGAAGAUGCAGUUCCAACGACAGAGGAAGCAUCCAUUCUGAUCCACUCUGUGAUUGACUGAAGAAGACUUAAACCACAAAUCAUUUUCAUCGUUGUUGUUGUUGUUUAUGUGACUUGUGAUCUUGUUAUUUCUUUUCACAAAACUCUUUGUUUUCCUAUCGGAAUCUUUUCAAGGCUAACGUUGAAGCCAUCAUGGUUUUUUCUAUUUUCUUAGCUCAUAUUUUAAAAAAAUAAAAAAGUCUGUAGUUAGAUAUGUUUAUGUUCUUGAUGCCUUUUCUCACGAACACAACAAUACACCUAAGGGCAUCUCCAACUCUACUUUGUUUUUCACUCUAAAAUAGAAUUUUAGAGUAAAAAUGUUUCAAUUGUACUAUAUUAAACAGGUUUACUCCAAAUAUAGAAUAAAUUUUUUUUUUUGUUCAUCACUCUAUUUUCUAGAGUAAAAAAUAGAGUAAGCUAUUAGAAAUGAUCUACCUAAAUACCUACGGUUUAACAUCUUCGAGGUUGCAGCUCUAGAAAUUCAUAGAUAAAUAUAAAAAAUCUACCCAAGGAAAGGGGUUAGACUAUGAAUCACUGGAUAACAGAUUCGAUAGAUUUCGCAUACAAUGAAAGAGGAAACAUAUGGUUCUUUAGUUACAAAAAAAAAACAUAUUGUUUUGACCAUUUGGACAAGAAGCUUACAACGAAAACAAAACGAGUUCUUCAACUAUUAAACAAAUUAUGUUAUACAUUUCCCAUUCAAUAGUUAUGUUCAAUAAUUUUUGAGAAUAAUUUUUCUAUUUAGUAAAACUUGAGUUAAUGAAAUGGGUAAGCAAAAAUUAAGUAUUACUAUGUUCUAUAAAAAAAUAUAGGUAAAUUCAUAUAACAAUUCAUUUUGAUUCGUUAUUAUUUAUUAUGAGAAAACAUAUGUUCUAUAAGUAGUGGUGGAGCCAGAAUUUAUUUUUAUUUGGGUAAAAAUUUAAAUAUUAGUAUAUUUAUAAUAUUAAAUUUAUUAAUAUUUUAAUAGUAAAAUAAAUUCUAAAAUAUGAGUUUUAAAACCAUUGAUGAAAAAAUACCAUUGUAAAAUAUAUUUUAUAAUUUGUUAUUAUUUUUUUUAUAAAAUUAGCAAAUGUAAAAAGUGUAAAAAUAUUAUUUUAGUCAUUGUAUUUUGAUUAUUUAGUUAUAUGUUUAUCAAACAAACAAUAUUAUACUAAAUAUGAUGAAUUGUGUAAAAUUAUAUUAAAUUUUUGUUGUAAUAUAAAAAAUGUUAGUAUAUCACUUCAAAACAAUUAACUCUGCAAACAAAUAAUUUGAUAAAUUUAAUUGCUGCAAUCUAUUUGAAGAGUAGAAUUAAAAUUUCAUAAGUUUUCUACGUACAAAGCAAAAUGUAUUAGUCCAAAGUCUUUUAGAUACUGUAAAAUAUCAUAUUGGCUGUAUGUAUCACAUUCAUUAAUUAAUGUAUAAAAAUAAAAUUAUAAAAAUAAUCUCAUUUUUUUACAUCUAAAAAUAAUCUCAUUAAACAAAGAAAAUUAGUAAAUUUACUUGAAUACACAAAACUCAGUUAAGAAAAAAGAAAACCGACCAAAGAGAAAAUGUACUGGGGGCAAGUAAGAUUUUUGAUAUGGGAGCAAAAACUAUUUUACUCUAUAAUAUGUAUUAAAUUAAAAAAAAAUAUUGGGGGGCAAACUGCCUCCCCUCUCAACGUACGUGCCAAACGUUGAAUAGAUUUUUCUAAUUAGUGAUAAAUGUAUUGUUCCUAACUCUUUAUAUAUUAGUUAAUAUCUCACUAAAACGAUGUGGGAUACUUUAUUUCUAAUACAUACUAUAUCAACAUGGUUAAAAGCUUUUGUAUCAUAUUCAAUAAGAAAUUAAACUUGAGGUUGAUACUUUUCAUUCAUACAUAGCAAAAGCCUGAACCUUUUUCUCUCGUAAGAGUAGCAAAUUUAUGAAGCAUUAAGCUUCUUUAGUUUCAGUGGAUUUUUGUUGCCUAAUUGCACAAAAAUUUAGUGGUUCAUUCAUCUUAAUCUCUACCUAUCUGUAAAUUUAGUGUGACGUAGGAAAAAUAUAUUUGUAGAUUCUUCGAGAUAUGAUCAUGUGGUUAGAUUGAUGUUUUGAUACUUGCCACCCAAGUGUCACGUCCCAACUUUUGAAGAAAUAAUGGGCCGAGACCGAGAGGUUUCAGACCGACCAUACUUAAUAUUUUUCUUAAGUGUUAAGCUUGUAAAAUAUCUAAGUAAGGAUAAUAUAAAAUAAUGAUGGAAGUGUGUAGAAUAUUUUAGAAUAAAGUAGCUUAAGGGUGAAGUACUUCAUAGGAAGGAAAAGAUCUGAGCCGUUAGAUCGGUUUGAUCUCCACCAUCCGCUGAGGAGGUGAUUUUAUAUAAAUAGGGGGUGAAGCCUCAUCCGUAAAAUCAUUCACCAUGUUAUAAAACAAAUACUUCCAAAAGCUCUGACUUCUCCCUAAUAAUUUUCGCUAAAAUCAGGUUUUCUUAUCCGUAGAAUACACUUUCUACACUGCAUAGAACCAAAACAGAAAUCCCAUUAGAAGAUUCUAUUUCAUGUAGCCGUUUGAGUAGUGUAUAGAUUUUGUAUUCUUAGAAUGUUAGAAUACUUCAUAAAAGUAGAAACUGCAUUCGUAGAAAAAGUAAAUAAUUUUACAAUUAGUAGAAUUCGUAUUUCUCAUAUUUGAAAGUUUAAUUAAAAAUUGAUUGCUUGUUCUAAAAAAAUUAGAUGAACUUGUUUAGUCUGGAAUUUAAUUUCUACUAACCCAUUUUCCGUAGAAGACACAAUAUACUUUUAGUAGAACAUAUUUAAAAUUUCAAUUUACCAAGUUUUUCAAAAAAAAAAACCAGUUUGUGUAUAUGAGUGUUUUAUCAAUUUUUUGUAUUUUUUAUAAUUUUUAAUUUAUUUCAUUAUUUUUUAGAAAUAGAAAAGAUAAAAAGGAAAAAAAAUGGACAAAAUUGUUUUUAUAGCAAAGAGAAAACCAUGCUGUUUUUUGUUCCGAUUUGACAAUUUUCUCCAAAAAGUUUAACCUCUAAUUGUCAACUCACGUUUUGACAAAAAGUUAAUAUAGUUUUGAUUUCGUAGAAUUUAGAGAAAUUUCAUUAUCAAAAGAAAAUUUAUUUUCUGUUUGAAAAACAAAAAAAAUGUUGUCGAUGGGUAUGAAAAAAAGGAUUAUGAAUGUAUAUAUCUCAUUGUGGGAAGUCAAAGAUUUGCUUCUUUAUAAUAUCCUCCAUUUUUAGCCAAAAUCUUUUUACAUAUAUUCUAUGUUGUAGUCAAAUAAAAAUAUAAAGAAAAUCUCAAAUUCCAUUUCAGUCUUUUCAUUCUUGUGUUUUUAGCCAAAAUCCUUUUAUAAUAUUAUCUAAAGAAACUCUUGUGUUUUUUAUUCAAGAUGGAAGGAGAAUCCUCUAAUGGCCCUCUCAUGCUUGGUGGAGUUUCUGAAGUGGCCUCGACAUCUGGUCAACUUGGUGAUGGUGCUGACAAGGAUGAAAGAUACGCUUUAAAUAUACAAGAUGCAGAGAGUAUGAAAUCUAGGCAACGGCCAAGAAGAAGAAAGAGGAGCUCAAGUUUGAAAAUAGUAGAAGUUGAGCUCAUCUUUCUUCUUGGCUGUUGCAUAGAUUUCAUACUCUCUGCAUCUUGAAUCUUUCGUCCUUCUCAACAUCAUCACCAAGUUGAUCAGAUGUCGAGGCCACUUCAGAAACUCCACCAAGCUUGAGAGGAUCAUUAGAUGGAUUUUUCUUCCAUUUUUAAUAAAAACACACAAGAAUUUCUUUAGAAUAAUAUAUAAAAAGAUUUUGGCUAAAACACACAAGAAUGAAAAAAACUGAAAUGGAAUUUGAGAUUUUGUUUAUAUUUUUAUUUGACUACAACGUAGAAUAUAUGUAAAACGAUUUUGGCUAAAAAUGGAGGGUAUUAUAUAGAAACAAAUCUUUGACUUCCCACAAAGAGAUAUAUACAUUCAUAAUCCUUUUUUUGCAUACCCAACAGCAACAUUUUUUUAUUUUUCAAGCGAAAAAUAAAAUUUCUUUUAAAAAUGAUUUCUCUAAAUUUUACCAAAUCAAAACUACAUUAACUUUUCGUUAAAACAUGAGUUAACAAUUUGAGUUUAAAUUUUUUACUACAUUUUGAUCAAAUAUCUUCAGAGUCUUCCACCAGAAACAAAACUAUAUUGUAUUGCGGAUGUAUCCUGGAAGUCACCAACUGAAAAGAGUUUGAAAAGGAUGGUCCUUAACAAGCAAAGAAGGCUAAUAAUAAAUAUUAAUCUAUUUAUAAUUAAAAUUAAAUAAUUUUUUAAAAAUUUUCUAUUUAAAAAUAAUAUUUUAAAAAAAAAAAAUCUUUUUUUUUAUAGUUUUUGCGGGUUAUCGGAUACCCGCACUGAAUUUUGGCUGACGCGCACCCGCCCCGCAUAAAAAUCACUCAAUCCGCACCCGCAUCCGUGAACCAAAUUUUUAAAAUCACUCGAUCAGCAUCCACCACGCAGCGGAUCAAAUGGAACGGGGCCGCGGAUAAUGAUUCAUAUUCCCAGCACUACACUAGAUAAAUAAAUUUAAUUAAACAAAAUGUUUUUUUUGGCAAAUAACAAACCUAUGUAUUUUUUUUUGGUAGGAAACCUAUGUAUUAGUAACAACUAACAAACAUUUAUUUUCUUGACGUCUUUUGUGUAUUUCUAGCGUUGAUCUUUGCUAUAAUAGCUGAAGAAGUUAUAACAAUUAACUCAAAUGAUCAAUUCUUCAUAUUCCAAGUUUGUUUUAAUUGAUAUCCAUCGGAAUAGCUGCAUAUGUCAUGUAAGUUUUCAUUUUUUUUUUAUAUUUGUUGGUUUCUAUUGCUUAAAAAAAUGAAAUUUUAAUAAACAAAAAAUUAUUUUGGGAUUUCAACAAUCGAUGCUGACAAAUAACUUUUGAAAAAAAACUUCAUAAAUAAGGUUUUCAUAUUUUUCUUUUAAAAAUAAAUAAAUAUUAAUAUGAUUUAAUGCUAUUUUAUUAAAUAACAAAAAAUAAAGCAAAAAUUAAUAUAUUGAAGGGGCAUAUUUUUUAAGUCUAUAGGCACCUGGUAAGUCCGGACCGGCACUGAGUAGGAGUAUGCUAUAAAAGCAGUAUAUAGAAGUAGUAUAUAAAAGCAGUAUGCUGCAAAAACUAUAUGCUUUUGCUAAACUGUUUAAUAAGAUGAUUGGUAUAACAGUAUGAAUAUGCUAUUUUAAAUUAUUAAAAAAAUUAAUCUAUAAUCUAUAAUAUAUUUAUUUUAAUGAAUAUAUUUCGAAUAUAUAUAUAUAUAUAUAUAUAUUAACAUAUAAAAUUAAAAGAUAUANNNNNNNNNNNNNNNNNNNNNNNNNNNNNNNNNNNNNNNNNNNNNNNNNNNNNNNNNNNNNNNNNNNNNNNNNNNNNNNNNNNNNNNNNNNNNNNNNNNNNNNNNNNNNNNNNNNNNNNNNNNNNNNNNNNNNNNNNNNNNNNNNNNNNNNNNNNNNNNNNNNNNNNNNNNNNNNNNNNNNNNNNNNNNNNNNNNNNNNNNNNNNNNNNNNNNNNNNNNNNNNNNNNNNNNNNNNNNNNNNNNNNNNNNNNNNNNNNNNNNNNNNNNNNNNNNNNNNNNNNNNNNNNNNNNNNNNNNNNNNNNNNNNNNNNNNNNNNNNNNNNNNNNNNNNNNNNNNNNNNNNNNNNNNNNNNNNNNNNNNNNNNNNNNNNNNNNNNNNNNNNNNNNNNNNNNNNNNNNNNNNNNNNNNNNNNNNNNNNNNNNNNNNNNNNNNNNNNAAAAAAAUGUUGUCGAUGGGUAUGAAAAAAAGGAUUAUGAAUGUAUAUAUCUCAUUGUGGGAAGUCAAAGAUUUGCUUCUUUAUAAUAUCCUCCAUUUUUAGCCAAAAUCUUUUUACAUAUAUUCUAUGUUGUAGUCAAAUAAAAAUAUAAAGAAAAUCUCAAAUUCCAUUUCAGUCUUUUCAUUCUUGUGUUUUUAGCCAAAAUCCUUUUAUAAUAUUAUCUAAAGAAACUCUUGUGUUUUUUAUUCAAGAUGGAAGGAGAAUCCUCUAAUGGCCCUCUCAUGCUUGGUGGAGUUUCUGAAGUGGCCUCGACAUCUGGUCAACUUGGUGAUGGUGCUGACAAGGAUGAAAGAUACGCUUUAAAUAUACAAGAUGCAGAGAGUAUGAAAUCUAGGCAACGACCAAGAAGAAGAAAGAGGAGCUCAAGUUUGAAAAUAGUAGAAGUUGAGCUCAUCUUUCUUCUUGGCUGUUGCAUAGAUUUCAUACUCUCUGCAUCUUGAAUCUUUCGUCCUUCUCAACAUCAUCACCAAGUUGAUCAGAUGUCGAGGCCACUUCAGAAACUCCACCACGCUUGAGAGGAUCAUUAGAUGGAUUCUUCUUCCAUUUUGAAUAAAAACACACAAGAAUUUCUUUAGAAUAAUAUAUAAAAAGAUUUUGGCUAAAACACACAAGAAUAAAAAAAACUGAAAUGGAAUUUGAGAUUUUGUUUAUAUUUUUAUUUGACUACAACGUAGAAUAUAUGUAAAAAGAUUUUGGCUAAAAAUGGAGGGUAUUAUAUAGAAACUAAUCUUUGACUUCCCACAAAGAGAUAUAUACAUUCAUAAUCCUUUUUUUUCAUACCCAACAGCAACAUUUUUUUAUUUUUCAAGCGGAAAAUAAAAUUUCUUUUAAAAAUGAUUUCUCUAAAUUCUACCAAAUCAAAACUACAUUAACUUUUCGUUAAAACAUGAGUUAACAAUUUAAGGUUAAAUUUUUUACUACAUUUUGAUCAAAUAUCUUCAGAGUCUUCCACCAGAAACAAAACUAUAUUGUAUUGCGGAUGUAUCCUGGAAGUCACCAACUGAAAAGAGUUUGAAAAGGAUGGUCCUUAACAAGCAAAGAAGGCAUUCUCAAAAUUCAAGCACUUAAUAAGUGCUACCAUGUCACCUUUGGUAGCACAAUCAAUUGUAACUAGCUGUUCAACAAAUAAAUCGACUUGGAUAUAUACAAGUUGUGUUUCUAGGUGACUGCGUGGAAUUGCUCAAAAAUUUGGAUCAAAUAGCAAUAGCUAGAAGCGGAAAGGAAGCAAAUAUCAUGACGCAACACCUGUAAUACAAGAUAUCUUAGCUCUAGCAGGAUUGAAUAGAUUUAGUUUUCAUCAAGUACCUAGAAAUUUGGUUCAGUAUUGUUGAUCAUCUAGCUAAGAGAGCCAGGUAUAAAAUUCAAGGAUAUGUAAUAACCUGGUUUUAAGUAUAAGCCAUUGUAAAGGAAUGAAAUGGUAGCAAAAAAAAUAAGACUGGGAAAAUAUAUAGCAUAACUAGUGGCGGAGCCAAAAUUUAUUUUUAUUAGGGGUCAAAAUUUAAAUAUUGUUAAAUUUAUUAAUAUUUUCAUAGUAAUAUAAAUUUUAAAAUAUGAGAUUUAAAAUCAAUGAUGAAAAAAUACCAUUGUAAAAUAUAAAUUAUAAUUUGCUAUUAUUUUCUAUAAAAUUAACAAAAUGUAAAAAGUAUAAAAUAUUAUUUUAGUCAUUGUAUUUUGAUUAAUCUUUGACUUCCCACAAAGAGAUAUAUACAUUCAUAAUCCUUUUUUUUCAUACCCAACAGCAACAUUUUUUUAUUUUUCAAGCGGAAAAUAAAAUUUCUUUUAAAAAUGAUUUCUCUAAAUUCUACCAAAUCAAAACUACAUUAACUUUUCGUUAAAACAUGAGUUAACAAUUUAAGGUUAAAUUUUUUACUACAUUUUGAUCAAAUAUCUUCAGAGUCUUCCACCAGAAACAAAACUAUAUUGUAUUGCGGAUGUAUCCUGGAAGUCACCAACUGAAAAGAGUUUGAAAAGGAUGGUCCUUAACAAGCAAAGAAGGCAUUCUCAAAAUUCAAGCACUUAAUAAGUGCUACCAUGUCACCUUUGGUAGCACAAUCAAUUGUAACUAGCUGUUCAACAAAUAAAUCGACUUGGAUAUAUACAAGGUGUGUUUCUAGGUGACUGCGUGGAAUUGCUCAAAAAUUUGGAUCAAAUAGCAAUAGCUAGAAGCGGAAAGGAAGCAAAUAUCAUGACGCAACACCUGUAAUACAAGAUAUCUUAGCUCUAGCAGGAUUGAAUAGAUUUAGUUUUCAUCAAGUACCUAGAAAUUUGGUUCAGUAUUGUUGAUCAUCUAGCUAAGAGAGCCAGGUAUAAAAUUCAAGGAUAUGUAAUAACCUGGUUUUAAGUAUAAGCCAUUGUAAAGGAAUGAAAUGGUAGCAAAAAAAAUAAGACUGGGAAAAUAUAUAGCAUAACUAGUGGCGGAGCCAAAAUUUAUUUUUAUUGGGGUCAAAAUUUAAAUAUUGUUAAAUUUAUUAAUAUUUUCAUAGUAAUAUAAAUUUUAAAAUAUGAGAUUUAAAAUCAAUGAUGAAAAAAUACCAUUGUAAAAUAUAAAUUAUAAUUUGCUAUUAUUUUCUAUAAAAUUAACAAAAUGUAAAAAGUAUAAAAUAUUAUUUUAGUCAUUGUAUUUUGAUUAUUUAGUUAUAUGUUUAUCAAACAAACAAUAUUAUACUAAAUAUGAUGAAUUGUGUAAAAAUAUUUUAACUUUUUGAUGUAAUAUAAAAAAAAUGUUAGUAUAUCACUUCAAAACAAUUAAUUCUGCAAAAACAAAAUUAUAAAUUUAAUUGCUGCAAUCUAUUUGAAGUUUAGAAUUAAAAUUUUAUAAGCUUUCUACGUAAAAAAUGAAAUGUAUUAUUACAAGUCUUUAAGAUACCGUAAAAUAUCAUAUGGGUCCGUAUGUAUCACAUUUAUUAAUUAGUGUAUAAAGUAAAAUUAUACAAAUGAUCUCUUUUUAAACAAAGAAAAUUAGUAAAUUUACUUGAAUACACAAAACUCAUUUAAGAAAAAAGAAAACCGAGAAAAGAGAAAAUGUACUGGGGGCAAGUAAGAUUUUUGAUAUGGGAGCAAAAACUAUUUUACUCUAUAAUAUGUAUUAAAUUAAAAAAAAAUAUUGGGGGGCAAACUGCCUCCCCUCUCAACGUACGUGCCAAACGUUGAAUAGAUUUUUCUAAUUAGUGAUAAAUGUAUUGUUCCUAACUCUUUAUAUAUUAGUUAAUAUCUCACUAAAACGAUGUGGGAUACUUUAUUUCUAAUACAUACUAUAUCAACAUGGUUAAAAGCUUUUGUAUCAUAUUCAAUAAGAAAUUAAACUUGAGGUUGAUACUUUUCAUUCAUACAUAGCAAAAGCCUGAACCUUUUUCUCUCGUAAGAGUAGCAAAUUUAUGAAGCAUUAAGCUUCUUUAGUUUCAGUGGAUUUUUGUUGCCUAAUUGCACAAAAAUUUAGUGGUUCAUUCAUCUUAAUCUCUACCUAUCUGUAAAUUUAGUGUGACGUAGGAAAAAUAUAUUUGUAGAUUCUUCGAGAUAUGAUCAUGUGGUUAGAUUGAUGUUUUGAUACUUGCCACCCAAGUGUCACGUCCCAACUUUUGAAGAAAUAAUGGGCCGAGACCGAGAGGUUUCAAACCGACCAUACUUAAUAUUUUUCUUAAGUGUUAAGCUUGUAAAAUAUCUAAGUAAGGAUAAUAUAAAAUAAUGAUGGAAGUGUGUAGAAUAUUUUAGAAUAAAGUAGCUUAAGGGUGAAGUACUUCAUAGGAAGGAAAAGAUCUGAGCCGUUAGAUCGGUUUGAUCUCCACCAUCCGCUGAGGAGGUGAUUUUAUAUAAAUAGGGGGUGAAGCCUCAUCUGUAAAAUCAUUCACCACGUUAUAAAACAAAUACUUACGAAAGCUCUGACUUGUCUCUAAAAGUAUUCACAUUUUCUCUCUGUAAGUGCUGAUCGAGUUUAUCCGAAAGGAUGACUUAGUAACCACAAGGGUGAAAAGGUACUAAGGCCGUACAUCCUGAUUGCUGCGAUAAAUCAGUCCGUGACACAUGGCUGCUCAAUAUUUCCGUUUUAAUGUAAGAGAGUAAGAUGCACCAAACAUUCUAAUUGGUGAUUAGUUUCAUGAGAGGAAAAAAAGAGGAAACUUUGCCAAAACGGAAUAAAAAAAUAUAGUUGUCCAUUUGAUAUAUAUCCAUCGUUAAUUAUCCUUUGAGUAUAUUUUUCAUAAUUUCAAAACUAUUAAUUGAUUAAUAAAACUAAACACAAUAAACACUAUUUAAAGAUUUAAUUGAAUUGUGAAAAGUUUAAUGAAAAAAAUGUUUGAAAAACGUUAAAAUUUAAAAGUUUAAUUUUUUUAUUAAAAAGUUUAUAAAUGUUUUAAACUUUUUACAAAAAUAAUUUUUUUAAAAAGGUUUACGAAGUUUUAUUUUUAUUUCUGUACAAACGUUUUAGAAGUGUUAAAAUUAAAGAAAAAUAUUUCUUUUUAUUAAAAAGUUUAAUAAAAAAUUAAGAAACGUUUUUAAAUAAUCUUUUUGAUAAAAAGUCUAAUAAAAUGAAAAAAAAUGCAUACACGUUUUAGGGAAGUUAUAAUAUUACAAUUUUUUUUUUGAUAUUUAUGACAAGAUAAAUCAACCUAUACACGUUUUAGGGAACUUAGAAUAUUAUAAAUACUUUUAGAAUGUUUUCUUAACUGAAACUUCCAUAAUUUUCGCCAAAAUCAGGUUUUCUUAUCCGUAGAAUACACUUUCUACACUGCGUAAAACCAAAACAGAAAUCCCAUUAGAAGAUUCUAUUUCAUGUAGCCAUUUGAGUAGUGUAUAGAUUUUGCAUUUUUAGAAUGUUAGAAUACCUCAUAAAAGUAGAAACUGCAUUCGUAGAAAAAAUAGUUAACUUUACAAUUAGUAGAAUUCGUAUUCCCCAUAUUUAAAAGUUUAAUUAAAAGUAGAUUGCUCGUUCUAAAAAAAUUAGAUGAACAUGUUUAGUCUCGAAUUCAAUUUCUACUAACUCAUUUUCCGUAGAAGACAAAAUAUACUUUUAGUAGAACGUAAUUUAAAAUUUCAAUUUAUCAAGUUUAAAAAAAAAAAAAUAGUUUGUGUAUAUGAGUGUUUUAUCAAUUUUUUGUAUUUUGUAUAAUUUUUUGAUUUAUUUCAUUAAUUUUUAGAAAUAUAAAGGGUAAAAAAGAAAAAAAAUGGACAAAAUUGUUUUUAUAGCAAAGAAGGCAUUCUCAAAAUUCAAGCACUUAAUAAGUGCUACCAUGUCACCUUUGGUAGCACAAUGAAUUGUAACUAGCUGUUCAACAAAUAAAUCGACUUGGAUAUAAACAAGUUGUGUUUCUAGGUGACUGCAUGGAAUUGCUCAAAAAUUUGGAUCAAAUAGCGAUAGCUAGAAGCGGAAAGAAAGCAAAUAUCAUGACGCAACACCUGUAAUACAAGAUAUCUUAGCUCUAGCAGGAUUGAAUAGAUUUAGUUUUCAUCAAGUACCUAGAAAUUUGGUUCAGUAUUGUUGAUCAUCUAGCUAAGAGAGCCAGGUAUAAAAUUCAAGGAUAUGUAAUAACCUAGUUUUAAGUAUAAGCCAUUGUAAAGGAAUAAAAUGGUAGCAAAAAAAAACGACUGGGAAAAUAUAUAGCAUAACUAGUGGCGGAGCCAAAAUUUAUUUUUAUUGGGGUCAAAAUUUAAAUAUUGUUAAAUUUAUUUAUAUUUUAAUAGUAAUAUAAAUUUUAAAAUAUGAGAUUUAAAAUCAAUGAUGAAAAAAUACCAUUGUAAAAUAUAUAUCAUAAUUUGCUAUUAUUUUCUAUAAAAUUAACAAAAUGUAAAAAGUAUAAAAAUAUUAUUUUAGUCAUUGUAUUUUGAUUAUUUAGUUAUAUGUUUAUCAAACAAACAAUAUUAUACUAAAUAUGAUGAAUUGCGUAAAAAUAUUUUAACUUUUUGAUGUAAUAUAAAAAAAUGUUAGUAUAUCACUUCAAAACAAUUAAUUCUGCAAAAAAAAAUUAUAAAUUUAAUUGCUGCAAUCUAUUUGAAGAUUAGAAUUAAAAUUUUAUAAGCUUUCUACGUAAAAAAUGAAAUGUAUUAGUACAAGUCUUUAAGAUACCGUAAAAUAUCAUAUGGGUCCGUAUGUAUCACAUUUAUUAAUUAGUGUAUAAAGUAAAAUUAUACAAAUGAUCUCAUUAAACAAAGAAAAUUGGUAAAUAUAUUUGAAUUAGGGCUAUUCAAUAUGGUAAAACCGAACCGUACCGAACCGAACCGAACCGAAAUAGACAAUAUGGUUUGGUUUUGGUAAUACCAUAUAAACCGAAUGGAUAUAAUAUUAUAAAAACCGUAGGAUUUGGAUAUGGUUUGGUAUAUAACCGAUUAAACCGAAUAAACCGAACAAAACCGAUUAAAAGUAGAAACACGUAAAUAUGUAUCUAUUUUAUAAUAAUACAUAAAAAUCUAUUUGUUACAUAAGUUAAAUUUGUGUUAAUAACUAUUACUAUAAUUUUAUAGUAAUAAAGAGCCUUAAUUUGUAAAACACUUGAACUAUAAUUAAAUAACAAUACAUCGCAAUUUAGACAUCUUAUUUUCUAAGUCUUCUUUUGAUCUUUUUGGUUUAUUUUAGUCUUCACUAAAUUAAUAUGAAGAUUAUAAAUUUGAUGGACAAUAAUUAAUGGAAAAUUUUUACAACUUUUUUCUUAUCUGUAAACAAACAGAAUUUCAUGUUCAAUUGAAAAAGCAUGACUUUAAUGAAAAAUAAAUAAGAAAGAGUGAAAAAAACUUUUCUUUCAUAUUUCUGUUUUGUUUCAUAUUUUUAUUUUCAAAAUUUCAAGCUUUGAUUUUAGUUAUAGAUUUGAUUAUUUUAUUUGAUGGUAGAAGCAUUUUUACUUUUUUGUUCAUUUAUUUGAACAUGUAAUAUAUUUUUAAUAAAUGACUGUGUUGACAAUAUGACUCUAAAAUUCGAUUGAACACCCCUAAUUUGAAUACACAAAAAUUAGUUAAGAAAAAAGAAAACCGAACAAAGAGAAAAUGUACUGGGGCAAAUAAGAUAUUUGAUAUGGAGGCAACAACUAUUUUACUCAAUAAUCCCCUAUAUAUUAUUUGAGAAGCGUUGCAACAUUUUUUGUAGCCAUAUAUCAUCACAAGAAUGAUUCUUAGAAUCCUUAGAGAAAUAUGUUGGUCCAUCUAAAUAUAUAAUAAAUUUUUUAUUAAACCACAAUAAAUACUUUAUUAAUGUGCUUCAUUAUUUCCUUAAAUAAGAUUACGGAAUUGCCUAAUGUGGCUAAAGUAUAUAUGACAAUUAAUGAUUUUAAAUAAUAAAGAUUUGAUAAAAAUAAGUGUGUAUUAUAAUUAUAUAUGUUUAAUUUUAAGCCAUUAAAAUAAAUUAAACAAUCAUAGUAACCAUAUAAUAAAAAUUUAAAAAAUAAUUUAUAUAUUAUAUUUUGAAUUUUUAAAAAUGAGUAUAAAUUACUAAAACUGUUAAAAGUUUCACAUUCAAAUUUUGUGAUCUAUGAUUUAAAACUUUUGUUAUGACAUGAUACAAAUAAUUAAAAAAUAUAAGUUGAAAGUCUCAUUUAAUAAGUAUCAAAAAUAAAAGAUAUAUAAAUAUAUGUAUCAUUUUAAAUUAAACUAUAUGCUAUAUAAAAAUACAUAAAUAUCUUAAUUUUGAAAUUUACUUUGAACAUUUUUUGAUAAAAAAUUGAAAAAAUAUUGACAACUAAAAUUUUUAAAAUAUUAUAAAUUACUUAAACAAUUAAUCUCACAGUGAAAAUUUUGUUAUCGAGACUUUUUGCUAUAACAGAUACAAAUGAUAAAAAAAAAUAUGAGCAAAAAACAUCAUCUAAUAAAUAUUAAUAUUAAAUAUAUCAUAUAUAUGUUACUAUCAUUUAAACUUAAUUAUAUAUCAUAUCAAAUAGAAAAAAUAUUUUUUCGAAUUAUAAAAUUUAUUUAUAUGUCCGUACCAAUUUAUUUAUAUAAGUAGUAGAUAAUGACUUUUUAAUUAUUCAAUAUAUAUUUAUUAUUUCAUAAUAUGUUAUAAAUACAUAAUAUAUAAAAUAAUUUAUAUAUAUAAUGUUCAUUCCGCGCAAGGCGCGGAUAACCUAGUAUGUACUAAACUAAAAAAAAUUUUGGGGGCAACUGCCCACACUUCUCAACGUACGUGUCUCCAGAUAACAUCUUCCAAAAUAUUUGAAAAACACUUCACUUUGAUAAAAUAAAAGUGUCGUGGUUUUUUUUUGGUAAAAAGGUGUCAUUGUUAUUUUCUUAAACAUGGUGUUUCUGUUGUCAUUUUCUCUAAUUACUCUUAACAUGUUGCAGAAGAACAUCAUGAUCUAGAUAGCUUUCAAAGGUGUAGUGGCUCAACAGAAGAGCCAAGGAUCGCAUAAGAAUGUGAGAAAAAAUCGGUUGUCCUUCACCAGCUUCAGAAGAACAAGAAGCUGACCAGAAUCCAAAUGAAGAAAGUGACCACAAUCCAAACGAAGAAGAUGAUGAACAAGAAACCAACAACACCGAGCCUCCAUGUAGUGGGUGGGUGUUUUGUUUCACACCUGAUUAAAGUUGUUCGGUGGGACCCAUUAUUUAUCAGUAAUGGAAGUUCCUGCUAUUUCAGAUUAUUUGAUUAAUGAAAAGAUUUGUUGAUUAAAUGUUUCAGUGUAAUUUGCAAAAUAUCUUUUAGUAUCUUCCAGUAUUUUUGUAAGUAACUUAAUAAAUGCAUAAUAACAAAUUAGCAACACAUAAAUAAAAAAUCACGGAAAUUAAGUAAAUUAAAAAAUAUUUAUUGUAUUACUUCAACCAAAAAAUAGACAUGAUUAUUCCAGUACAUUACUAACACAAGAAACUUCAAAUCAUGUUGUAUAAACAAAUUAAAUGAAUAAUCAAAGAAUAAUUUCAUGAUAUAAUAAAAGUAUGUUUUAAAAGUAUAUAUUAUUAUAUGCCUUCUUCUUCUUCUUUAGCUCCAUCACUGCCGGAUCCAAUCGUCGUCGUCUCCGUCUCCGGCCUGAUCUCCUCCAACUGAUUGACCACCUGAAUCGCUUCUGGCCUCGCCGCAGGCGACGGAUCAACACAAUGCAAAGCCAAUUUCAACGUAUUGAGAAGCUCGUCACCAACGGUUUGGGUCUCCCUCAUAAGCUCAAGAUCGAACACUUCAUUGGUCCACUCCUCCUUCACGAUCGACGCCACCCACUGAGGCAAAUCCAUCCCGCUCGUCGGCUCUCCCGGAGAUUUCCCCGUCAAGAGCUCCAGUAUGAUGAUCCCUAAGCUGUACACGUCCGUCUUCGUGCUCGCGUUCUUGAUUUUCGAGAACUCCGGCGCUCUGUAUCCGAGAGUUCCGGCGGUUGCGAUCACGUUGGUGGCGGCGGCGGCUGUCAUGAGGCGGGAGAGGCCGUAGUCGGCGAUGUGUGCGUUGGUCUUCUCGUCGAGGAGGAUGUUGCUGGCCGUGAGAUUCUCGUGGAUCAUGUUCUCGUUCUUGUGAAGGUGAGCUAAGCCGCGGCUGAUCCCUUUCGCUAUCUUCAUCCUUGUUUGCCAUGGAAUUAGGGUUUCUGGUCCUCGUGCUGUUGAUUUUCAAUUCCCAAAUUCAAAAUCAGAAUAAUUCCCCAAAUCAAAUCAAAGUUAAGGUUUUUUUUUUUUAUGUUGUUGUGCUUACCGUGAAGAAACGCAGAGAGGGAGCCUUUAGACAUGUAAUCGAAGACGAGGAGCUUCUCUCCUUUAGGUCCUAAGUAGUAAGCUCUUAGUGCAAGUAGAUUGGCGUGUCGAAUCUUGCCUAAAGCUGUGACCUCUGCUUCGAACUCUUUGACCCCUUUGGUUGUUUUCUCUCUCAGCCGUUUCACAGCGACCUCGUUUCCGUCUUCCAGUGUCGCCUUGUAUGCUGUGCCGUAAGUGCUUUUCCCCAUGAUCUCAGCCGUGGCGCAGAGGAGGUCGUCGGCAGUGAACACAAACGGACCAUCGAAAUGGACUAGCUUUCCUCCCAUCUCACCUCCUGCUGUUGCUGCAGCAGUUGCGGUUGCUGUCUUUGCGGUGAUCUUGUCCUUGCCGUCUUUUUGUUUCAAGGCUGCACGUUUCUUGAUCAGACAGCAGAGUAAUAUGCAGCACAAGAGAAGGAGAAGGGCUAGAAGAGCUCCUAUGGUGAUUAGGAUUAUAUCUUUGACCGAGAGUUUUCUGUGGUGUUUUCUUGGUUUUUGUGGUGAGGUAGGUGAAAGGGUGGGAGGGUGAUGAGGUUUAGGAGAAGGGCAGGGAGUCGAGGAACUGUAGCCACAGAGCUGAAUGUUUCCCACGAAAGAGCUUGAGUUGAACUUUCUGGAGAGGAUAGGCGGGACAGGACCAGAGAGCGUGUUGAAGGAGACGUUGAAUGAAGAAAGAUUCGCCAGGUUGGCUAGAGAGGGAGGGAUUAGACCUGUGAAGUUGUUUUCAGACAGAUCAAGUUGUCUGAUUCCAGAUAUGUUCCCGAUUCUCUCUGGGAUGGGACCAUUGAUCUUGUUUCUCUUGAGGUUAAGCACUGUCAGGUUGUGCAGUCUAUCGAUGGCAUCUGGGAUGGUUCCGUUGAUUGAGUUGUAAGACAAAUCAAGGCUCUGAAGGUGUAGAAGAGCCCCACAUUCCUUGGGAAUGGAACCAAAGAGCUGGUUAUGGCUUAAUGAAACCUCUUCCAGCAUGCUCUGCUUGCAGAGGGACAAGGGAACAGCUCCAGAGAAGAGAUUGUGGUCUAGGUUCAGCUUUUUGAGAGGGUGAGAGCCAUUAACUAAAAAGUCUGGUAUGGAGCCAGAGAGGUUGUUAUGCCCAAGGUCAAGAAAAGUGAGGGUAUGUGAUCUGGGUAUCAUAACCGGAAGGGGGCCGGAGAGUAAAUUGAAGCUGAGAUUGAGCCUAUAGAGCCUGGUGGACUCAGCAAGACUAGCCGGGAUCAUACCAGAUAGCUGGUUGUUGCUAAGAUCAAGAUUCUGGAGAAGAGGACAGUUUCCAAGUGAAGCUGGGACUGAACCAGAGAGACGGUUGUUGAAGAGAUAGACUCCAUGGAGGUUCUUGAGAUAGCCAAGGGAACGGGGAACCGAACCGGCGAUGACGUUGUCGUGGAGGCUAAGUUUUCUGAGAUUCUGAAGCUGUCCGAUCUUCUCAGAGAUAGUGCCACCGAGUCCUUUCCAUGGGAGCUGAAUGGCUACCACUUGGCCUCGAAGGCAUUUGAUUCCAGCCCAUCCGCCGGAGCAAACACUGGUGGUGGAAGAGUCGUUCCAGCUUCUGAGAACUCCGGUGAAGUCGAUGAGUUCGUGUUUGAUUGCUUGGAGCGCCUGAUAGUUUCCCUGAGUCACCACGAUCCCAUCCCAGGAGUGACCACCACCUCCACCACCUGCAACAGCUUGAGCAGACAAGAGUAAGAGACACAAGAAGAUACUCGUGCAAAAAUGGAAACUAAUUUCAUAAAUCCGAAAUGGGUUUUUGUGAAGCUGAUUCAUUUCUAAACUAUCAAAGUAAAAAGAAAAAAGAAGGAAAAAAUGAAAACAGAAGAAGAAAGAUGAAGAAGAGCAGCAGAGUUAUAGUUCUUUGUUGUCUUCUUCUUUUCGUUUGUUUUUGGAUGACAGCAAAGAAUGAGAGUUAGAGAGAAAGAAGUUUGAUUUUUAGUGAGAGAGGGAAAUGAAUUUGUGAAUGAGUGAGGUGUUGAGGCCAAGAGUAAUUAUGGUGAGAGUGGAGGAAGAAGAAGACAAAGACAUAAGUUUUGUUUAUGUUUAUUGUAACGGCUAGUUUUACUUCUUCGGCCAAACAAAAAGAAACGGGAAGCGAGAGAAACAUGACCAACGGCUAUAAAGCCAUUUCGACCGUUUUAAUCUUAAUGAUUUAAUUAAAAUGUCUCGAUAGUCGUUGGAUGGUACAGAGAUUGUGACCGUGGGGGUCGUCCUAAUAAUAAUUGUUCCAAACUCGCUAAUCUAUAAUUCUAUUUUUAUGUUCAGACAACAACAAACUAAAAAGAUUCUAUCCUAUGACUCGGUCAAAAGUUUGACACUUUUUCGGCCACAUCAACACUACCAGCAAUAGUAAACACAUAUGUAUACACGGUAACAUUCCAAAAUCCAUAACGUGGCCCAAUUCAAGCCCAACUCCAUCGGCUUGAAAAUUCGGUGAUUCGGAAUAGGAUGUCAAAUUGGAUUUUCCGGAGUAUAUCCAGUUGAUUUGUUCGAGUGAAAGGUUUAUGGUUGUAUAGUAAAAGAUUGAAAAAUUUAUACUUACAGACACAUUCUCACUUUUCAUUUACACAUAAAGACACUUUCUGCAUGACACACAUUUUUUUUAGAUGGUUUGUCAUUUCUACCCUCAACUAAGCUACCAAAAUACAUUUCUAUUUUCCUAACUAAACACAAAUUGUCCGGUUACCAAACAAAUAAAGUAAAAAUAUACAAAAAGAUUUAUUCUCUCUCCUCUUUCGAUUUACGAUUGACUUUCAAAAUCACUUUCCCAAUUUUAUGAACCCUAAUCGUGACAAUUUCUUUUCUUCCUCUCCUUCCUCUCUAUGCGCUCUAUUGACGUCACUGGUAACGGAGGCGUCGUCGCCGUCAGGAUCUGUUCUCUCGAAUCCUAUCUUCAUCAACAAGCUCUUCUUACCUCUCGUUCCAUCUCUCAGCCAUGGAGUUACCAAAUCUCGUUCGUCGAAUCAAAAGUGACGUCUCCAAAGUCACUGAACUCACCUCCAUCAAACCCUUUGAGCUCCUCCGUGGAUACUGAAGCCAGUUUGGGUAAGUGAUUUUCAUCGAAAUCGGUGGCCAAAUCCCCUCCUCACACUACACCUUCAGCUACAAAGGUUUUGGGUUCUUUGGCUUUCAAUUUUUACGUAUCAGUCGCUGAAGCUUUCACUUUGAACAUCUUCCCCAUAUUCUUCUUCUUUUUUUCAUCCAUAAAAUCCAAAGCACAAUGGGGUUGUGAUUCUGUUUUGUGAUUCUGUUUGCUUUAAAAAACACCAGAUUCUUCUUCUUCUUUUUUUCACACAAUGAGUUUAUGGAUAUGCUCUGUGAUGUUUCUAUUAGAGAUUUUACGGAUGAUGUAAACUCUUGUUUGUUGACUAUUAUAAAUCCUUCAUGAUUUUUAAGUGUUUACAUAAGAGCUUCGUAAUACAAUCGGCCCUUCUCUGUUUACUGAACAUGCUAUUUUUGUUUGGUUAAUUGGAUUUAGGAUGUGUUUUCACUCAUGAAAACAGAGGAGAAGAGACAAAAGUUCACAAACUCUAGAAUUUUUUGUAAGUAAAUCCGGAGAGAUGUUGCAUCCACAUAUUAAAACAGAUAUUGUGUUGCUUUGUUCUAAGGACACAACAACUCUGCAGAUGUCCGUUCAUACUUUUUUGUAUCAAUGUCCACAAAUUUAGUCAUACUGACUAAGGAAAGAAAAACCAUUAAAAGCUUUGUUGGACAAAGUUAUAACCUCCAACCUCUUAAAACAAGUUCUCAACUACGAACACAAACAAUUUUUGUGUUUGAGUUUUUCAAAGUUUUUCACAUUUUUUAUCCAUCAAUGUCCACAUCUUUUUUUUGUUUAUAUAUUUUUCCUAUAUGUUUAGAUUUUUCUCAUCCACACUUUUUAUGUCCAUGCAUUUAUUUAUAUAUAUUCUAAAAUAUAUAAAAAAUAUGUAUGAAAAUAGAUCUUAAAAUAUAGAAAAAAAGAAAAUAUAAUUUAUUGUAACAAUUAUAUUUGUUUUGUGUAUCGUAAAAUCUGAGAAAAAUCAAAUCAAAAAUAGAUAAGGAAAUGAAUAAUAAUAAAAAUAUAAAGCAAUGGUCGUAAAUUGACACUUUAUCCUGUACAUCAACGUUAAUAAUUUCAGACGCCUAACUAGAUAGAAAACUCCAGAUGUCUAACUAAACAAAAUAAAACAAUUACACUCAUUUGUUUUCUGUCGCUGAGAAAAUGGUAUUCAUGUCAAAAAGACAUCUAGAAAACCGUGAAUGUGUGCCUCCAGCACAUUGUGUCUUAUAGUGUCAAAAAAGAUAAAAAUGUGUCUUAAAGAGAAAUCAACUAGAUUUAAGGACUCUUCUUGCCAGAUAAUAAAUGGAAGAAACAUCUUAUGUGACCAAGGAUCAUGGUUGCUUGGUCCACAAUUAAUCUGGCUAAAUACGCCGCUUCGGUGAUCAUGCAAACUCAUAGUUGGAAUCAAACCGUUUGUAAGUAGGAGAACCAACCUAGUGUUCAAGAACAAUCUCAGAAAUGAGAAGCAAAUCUGAUAGGGACAUAAGUAGAAAGUGAAUAACAAAAGGGAAGCUCCUAUCAAAGCUAAUACUUAUUAGACAUUGCUACUACAAGCAAGCAUAUGACGGGCGGAUUUAAAAACGUUUCUAAUCGGGGGCACAAUAUUAGAGACAGUAAGAAAAAGCUGUGAUGAGGGCACAUUUUCAAUUUUCUUCAGUAAACUAACAGUAGUUCAUCAAAUUAAUUUAUGUUACUUAAGAAAAAAUAAAAAUUAGUAGGGGCACGUGACCCGUGCCCUUGUUAGUGCAUCCACCUGCAUAUCUCCAAAAACAAUUCUAAGGUUUUAAAAAGAGAAAAUGACUAGGAUAAAUAUAGCCUCUAAGAAUAAAAAUGACCAAAAUAGCACUUAAUGUUUUAUCAAAAGAAAUAAAUAUACACUUAUACUCCAAUGGUAAAUUAAUUUAGACGUUAGGGUUUAGAGUUAAGGGGUGGGGUUUAGGGCUUAGGGUUUAGAGUUUAGUGUUUACGGUUUACGGUUUAGAGUUUAGGUUUUAGGGUUUAGAGUUGGGUUUUGGGGAUAAGAUUUCAAAUUUUGAAAAAUAAAAUAAAAUUAAAUUUUUCAGAAGAUAAAAUGUUAUUUUGGUCAUUUUAGUUUUUGAGAGCUAUUUUUGUGACAUAAACUUAGAAAGGUGUUAUUUUGGAGAUUUUCCCUUUUAAAAACCUAUGGCCAUGCUUUGGAUUAAUCAUCGACGUUGAUUCGGAUUUGAACAUAAAAAAAGGAAUCAAGAAUCAAAUUUUUUUUAAGCUCCUCCCUCUUUGUUGAAUAAUUGUGUUACAAGUCAAACGAGAUGGAUUAAAGUUAAAAUGGUCUGCUUAACCGAUGAUUGCAUAAUGGUUAAUUUACUCGGGAAUAAUGGUCAGAUCGACUAACUCCGCCAAAUGUAAACACAUUUUGCUCAACUUUUUAUUUACCAAAUAUUUACACCCAAAAAUUUAAUACAAUCUAUAUCCUCAUCACUGAGAAGAAUAAAUCAACUCGGAAGGCAUCAACGUGAAAAACCAUGAGUUAUGACAAUAAAACAGGGAACGUUGGAAAAACAGAUCCUAUAAUACACUCACAAACCUGUCUAAGUAUAAAAUACAAAGCUCUUCAAAGGUUUUGUCCACGGAGUUUGAGACUUCGAUGAUAAAGUUACAUAUAGAUAAAUUCUACAGCAAAAAUAACAUACAAGAAGGAAAGAAAAAAACACAGCCCAAAACAAACAAGUUCCAUAUAUAUUUUUCUUCUGUGGGAGAGAGCGUAGGAGAUAAAACAAGUUAGAAAAGCUAUACUUGUUCCUAUAACGAUCUAAAGAGCAUGUGUUUUUGCGAGAUCAGAUCAGAGCUACAAGGGAGGGAACUCGUGAUCAUCCGCCAAAUAGUAUGACUGCAAAGGUGUUCCCCUAAAUAUACAUAUACCCACAAUGAGUUAGACACAAUGAAGUGGAUUUGAUGAAUAGCCAAAUAAAGGUAAUAAGAGAUUGUACCGAUCUUCCUCCGUGGAGGAGGGUAUAGAUGUUGGGCGAUGUGACUGAUUAUAAUAACCUUCAACGCUCAGGUCACUCUGACUACUGCCCUCGGGAGGGGAGCGUAGCUCAGCCUCCGUAGAUCUAAAAUCUGGAGCCAUCUCAUGUUGAUGAUUUACAGACCCAUUGGUAUCAGAGAAGCUUUCAAACGAAUCAACUUGACUCAUAUCACUAGAACCAUUUGCUUGGUUGGAAUGAUGUUGAUGAUGAAGCUGUUGACGACGAUGGUCAGAGUGAAAAUGUGCCAUGCUACGGCCAUUGUUACGUGGCGACCUAGUUUGGUUUGAGUUUCUUCUUGGAGGGAACGGUCUAUCUCUGUAAAAGUUCUGCACAAAAGAGACAUUAAGAGGCUUGUUCUGACAUUGUCAAAAACGGAAGCAUAAGUAAUUUACCGCAUUGGGAAAGUACGUCCCAGUUCCUCGUGGCUUGGGCAAUUCCUCGAUACCAAAAUUAGCAUUUGGAAUCAUCUGAGGGUUCAUAUGAAAGAAAACUUGUCUCGGAACAACUCCGUUAACGUUUACUGGUCCUCCGGGGGCAUUCCGUCCGAAUGGCAAUGCGUGUCGAACUACUUCCCAUGAAUUGUUGUUCGGAAGUCCAUGAGGAGAUAGUGGAGACAAAGGACCGUUUUGGACAUAUUCAAACCACCAACGCCCAUACCGUAAACUGUUAAGCUGGCUCUCAUAAUCUCCUGUGAGGUCAGACAACAAACUUGGGGUGUCCGAAACAGAAUGACCAGAAUAUUGAAGAUGCAUAUCCUCUUGUAUCACAGCUACUGGAUCCAUGAGUGAGGUGUUAUGCACUGAACCUUCAUGACCAACAUGGUCGUUCACGUUCUCAUUACUAUGCACCCUUUUGGAAAAAUUCUCCACCCCUUUUCCAUUUAAUACUUCACCAUUACUGAUGUGAUGAUGUUUACCAUUCAAAGGAGAGACACUUUCCAUAGCAUCUUCGGAAAUUUCAAGCUUUUGAAAGCUCACACUAGCCAACUCUUCUUUUGCAUCUCCAGAAGGGGUUGUUUCAACAUGUAAUCCGCUUACAUCAAGCCUAGAUGUACUCAAUACAUUGGGUCCUCCUGCACACAACAAGUCUUCCUGGUCAUGUCUACCAUUCCCAGCAGCAGCAGCAGCACCAGAUGAACUAGAAGAUUCCGAUUCAUAAGCCAUUUGACCAUCUUGGAAAUGGUUGGCAGCAGAAGCAUGCGACCUAUGGAACCUUACGUAGGGAACAACAUCAGGCCUCUGGCCACUUCCAUGUCGGUGUAGCAUGUUUGAGAAGAACUUACGAAGCUCAAAACUUAUGUCUUCUUCUGACUGCAAAAAGAUUUGCCCAAGCUUUCGAGCACCAUAUGUGAAUGCACUUCUUAUGCGAUAGAAGUUACCUGAAGUAAGACAAAGUAAUAACCAUCCACCUUACAAUUUUACCGAAACAGAGUAUUCUAGAUCAUAAAACUCCACGGACAGAACAUACUAAGUUUAACGAUUAAAAAAUCUAGUGAUGGUUGGAGAAAAAGAAUUAGCAGUAAACCUUUGCUAACGCUGCGGCCAAGAUUGUUAUUUUCCUUAAGUGGAUCAAUUAUAUUGAGAUGCCUCACUGGAAACACACGUGGGUUUGUCUCAAAUCCUCUUGAAGGUACAGAGUACAACUCCAAACAUUCCUUGAGGAACUCACUUGUCAGCAGUAGAUCUUUCCCGCCAUUUUCUGGAGUCUCAACUACAAUAAGAAAAAAGAAAGAAAUGCAGACACUGAAAUUAAAAAAUAAUAAUCUCAGUUUAUAAUAACUUGUGGAAAUGCUUACCAACGAUUUCUGGUAGUGAUAGUGAGGAAAGGAUGACUGGACCACUCAGGCUAAUGCAAUAGUUAUCCCAGUCAAACUUGCUGAAGUAGUCCAAAAAUUUGUAUAAAACCUAUAGAAAACAAAAGCUUUUGUAAAUCAAAGAUGAGACUUUAACCAUGAUUCCUCUCUUCAAAAUGUACAUUCUUACAGCCAGUGGGCCAUCCAACGAUGAGUGGAAGAGAUGGAAAAUAUAUAAGACCAACGUCUCCAGAGCAUAUGUUGAGAUCAAUCCAUGUAGAGCCCCAAGAAUACGGCUCUCAUAGUAGCACCAAGCUUUGAUGAGUAUGAUACUUUUCUUGAAGAGAUGGUCCUUUCCAAUGAGGUGAUCGAUCUGCGUAAUCAAAUCGUCAACGUCAAUCUUUGCCUUCUACUAUUGCAUCCUAUGAAAAUGCUCUUUAAACAUGUUAUUACACGCAUGUGACAUUGCAAAAAUUUAGAAUAUUUAAGAAAAUCUAUUGAGUUAACAGAAAACAAUUCAUGCAAUUGAUAUAUUGAACAGAUAAUAAAGCAUUAAUAUAUAUAUAUAUAUAUUUAUCAUUAAAAAGGUUAGUUAAAUUUGUUAGACACAGCAUGGUGAUACUGAAGAGGGGCAUAUUACCUUCUCGAGAAAGCACAAAGUACAAAUCCCACCGAGCUGAUUGAAAGAGAUAUCUACCACAAUGUUCUGCACCAGACAUUUAACAAGCUUAACCUGCAAACAAAUAAGAAAAGCUUGCUACUUAAGAGAUUACCAAAAAAAAAGAAAAAAGAUCAACAUGCAUAAACACUUAACUCACGACAGAAACUAGUUUAUAUUUUAAAAUAUAAAUCCUGAAUAAGACAGAGAGUUGAUAAGCGAACCUCAGCUCGUAUUAACUGGACAUCCUUAAUCAUAAACUGAGCACCCACAUUAUGUUCCUCCCUCUCAAGUACAGUGAAAACUUGGUGGGCCAAAUCUUCCUCGUGACACGGUCCACCAAAAGCUGUGAGAUCAAUAUCUCCAUCAGGAAGAUACGUUUUCAAUGGGACUGAUCCAAAAGAAUGUACCUGAAACACACACACAUACUAAAUAAAGUUAUACAAAGAAAGCCAUCAACAUAAGAAUCACAAAACACAGUAUUGAUAAGAAUCCACAUGUCAAUGCAUAGACAAAGGCCAGUGUUAUAAAGAUAUUAACAGAGGAGGUUUCAAGAGAACGAACCUCACAACCAAGAGUCAUUCUGAUUAGUCUUUGCAUAUAAUCAAUUACAUCUCUUCUUCGAUCCUCUGACACAAGUGUUGGAUGAACAUGCUCUAUAAUUUCACGGGUGGCUUCCUCAACUCUGUUCCAGAACUCGGGCUGAACUGGGAGAGACCGAGGAGGCGGCUGAAAUGAGGAUGAAGUCUCUUCCAUUACAGACCAAUCAUCAAGAUCCGCCGCCAUGAAAGAGUAGAACAAAAAAAAAAGAAAACCUGCUACAAAAAUGUACCAAACACAAAAACUAAUCAUUACAGCAUAUGAUCACUUAAACUCAACAUCACAAAAUAGACGAAACUCGAAUAAACACCCAUUGGUUUUUUCUAAACUUGCAUAGAUGAAACCGCUACGAGUUCUAACACGAAAUUAACAAAUAAUUUUGGAAAAGUGUGAUUUGAAAAUUCAAUCCGAUUUAACAUAAGGAUUCAGUUCAGAUAAGCGCAAAGACAAAACUGAUGAUGGCAGUUUACUUUUAGUUUUUUUUUUUUUGGCAAAAAAAAAAGAGUUAACAAGGAGAGGUCACUACCGAAAAGGAGAAGAGAAUCGCUGAAUACGGAGAGUUGCCAAGCAGUACGAGCACACCAAAAAAAAAAAAAGAAGAAAUCGAGGGAUUUAUAUGUCCGGUGAAGAUGAAGGCAUCAAAACGAGAUCUAGGGAUUUAUUGGUCUGAUGAAUUGAUGAACGCUUCGCAGAGAAAGAGGGCAGAAUAUUUUAAUUUUAUUUCUUACUAUUUCUUUGGGCUGGGCCCUUUUAAGCCUCUAAAAAGGAUUCUCUAUUUUGUGUCACAUUUUGUUCAACUUUUUACCUAUCAGAUUAUUAUACACAACAUGAGCAAAUGAGGAGAGAACAGUGACAAUGAAACUAUGUAUAUAAGAACAUACUAACCUAAGUAUAAAUUACAAAAUUCUUAAAGAAAUUGUAAGGAUUACCAAUAUCACAAGUUAAUAGCCCUAUUCUAUAACCCUAGAGUGCAUAUUAUGACAUGCAUGCUUAUUUGUUUUAUUUUUAACUUAGAAUAUCACAAACUCAUCAUAUUUUUUACUUUCGUAAUAGUAUUUAAAGGUAAAAUCAUUUCAGUUCACCUCUAUUUUUGUUUCUAAAACAGAGGUUGGUAUAUUUUCCUUUAUUUGUAAACGAAGAUACAUCAUUCUUCUAUAUUUUACUCUAUAUUUAUAAAUUUGAGUUUUAAAAAAUACAUUAGAGCAAAAUUCAUUCUUAUUAUAAUUUUUUCUAUUUUAAAGAUAAAAAUAUGGGAAUAUAUUGGAGAUUGUCUUAAUGCAUGCUUAUUUGUUGGUGAAGCGUAAUCUAGUAUACAUCUAUUUAAUGAACAUGUAAUGUGAGGAAUUAAUUAGAUACUAGAUGAUAACCCGCGCGUAUGCGUAGAGUGAGUUUUUUAUAUAAAUGUUUGUUCAUUAAAUGGUUUUAACAUUUUGCAACACUAAAUUAUUUAUCUAUUGUAAAAUGACAAAUACAAAUUUUUGUCUCUUAAAUGUAUUAUCGUUGUUGAAGAGUUGACGUAUUACAGCUCUUCUAUAUUAUUAAAACUGAAGUACAUUUUGUUACUUUUGAAAACUUAGAUAGUAGAUUAAAUGAAAGUUGUUUGGAAAUAAAGAUAACAGAUUAAAUAUAUUUUUUUCCAUAUUUAGUCACCGUAUUUUUUUCUCAUUUAUAGAUUCUGUCGUUUGGAAACUUGGAUAACAGAUUAAAUGAGAAUUGUUUGGAAACAAGGAUAGCAGAUUAAAUAUUUCUUUUUAUUAGACGAAUGAUCAAAUCUCUCAUUUUUCGAACAAAAUCAAAAGAAGAUGAUUGGAAUCUUGUCAUGAUAUUUCAUUAAAAGCUUUUUAGGAAUAAAAAUCAAAACUAAAAUAUUUAAUUUGAAUAAAACAAUAUAUAUAUAUUGUUUCCAAUAUUAAAAACCACUUCAAUUUGAAAAAGUGUAUUUUUGGGAUUAUUAAGAUCAAAUAACAUAUUAGAAAUCAUCUAUUUAAAAAUAAUUUACAUGCAUAAAACUAUAUACAUUAGAGUAAACACAUAAAUCAAAACCAAUAUAUUUUGUUUAUUUACAAUCAUGUUUUUCGUAAAUAAAUCAAAACAGUUAUUUUACUUACUUUAUAUGGUAAAUAAUUAAACUUUAGUGAUAUUGACAUAGAUAUAUAUAUAGUUUUUAAUAUAAAUAUUUAUUAUUGACACUUCCUAUUCAUAUGAUUUUAUUAACAUUUGUAUAUUUGUUGUAACAAAAAUUUAAAUUAUUAAUCACAAAUUUUUUAAUGUGAGAUUUUUUAAUAGAAAUUUCAAAAAUUAACAUAUUAAGAUCACAAUUAUUUUUCAAUGGAAACUUUAAAAUUAACAUAGUAAUAUAUUUUUAUAUAGUAUAUAAUUUAAUUUAAAUUAUAUUAAUAUAAAUAUAUGAAUAUUUAUUAAUGAGACUUCAUAUUCAUACGAUUUAUGAUCAUUUGUAUCUUACUUGAACAAAAAACAAUUAAACCUCUUAUCACAAAAGUUUCAAUGUGAGACUUUUUACCAUUUUUAGUAAUUUAUAGUCGUGUUUAAAAAUUCAAAAUAUAACAUAUAAGAAAAAAUCUAAUUUUUUAUUAUAUGUUUAAUGUGAUUGUUUAAAUUUCUUUUGAUAACAUAAUUUUUUUUAUCAGAUAUUUUUUAUUCAUAAUCAUUUAUUCUGAUAUAUAUGUUAUAAUCAUAUUAGGUAAUUCCACAACUUUUAUUUAAAAAAGAAUUGAGAAUAUUCUUUUGUACACUACAAAUCAUUUUGAUAGUUAGUUUAACAAAAAAUAUAAUAUAUAUUUAUAUGUACCAACUUAUUUUUCUAAUGAUUUUAAGAAUCAUCAUAGUGAUGACGCGUAGCUAUGAAUACAUGUUGUAAUGCUCUAGAAUUAAUAUAUAAGGGAUAUGAAUGUUCAUAUUUUCAAUUUCUGAAUUUUAGGAACGUCUAAUCUAUGGAUGAGAGAUCCUUGUCGACUUUGCGUUAUAGUGGUUUAGAUAAAAAAAAAUAUUUUAUAGACGACAGAAAAGUGAUAAGAGUUUAUUUUUAUAGAAAUUAUAUCAACAGCUCAAUUAGAUUAUAUGAUAUGCAAUGUGGGUUUAUAUCAUUGCUGUGUGUACUCAAUUAUCUUCUAUCUAUCUAUCUAUACUAUUAUUUGUGAAGUAAAGUUUCGAAAUCGAGCUCUCACGUUAAAAGUUAGAGUGGUUAAUAACGUUUAUACCCUUAAUGAAUAAAAUGUAUAACUAAAUUAAAAAUAAAAACGAAAUUUUAAUUUAUUUGAUUAGAUAAUUGAUUAAAAUUAAUAAUAGUAAGAAUUAUCCAAAAUCUGAAAAUAUAAUUUAAAAAGAGAGAUAAUUUUUGUAUAUAUUGUAUUGUUAUCUGAAAAAGUCUUUUAGAAAAAAGUUAAAAACAAGAAUUAUAUAACUAAAUAUUAAUCAAAUAAAAUGUAUAACUAAAUUAAAAAAUAAAAACAAAAUUUUAAUUUUAAUUUAUUUGAUUAGAUAAUUGAUUAAAAUUAAUAAUAGUAAGAAUUAUCCAAAAUAUGAAAAUAUUAUUUUAAAAAGAGAUAAUUUAUGUAUAUAUUGUAUUGUUAUCUGAAAAAUCUUUUAGUAAAACGUUAAAAACAUGAAUUAUAUAACUAAAUAUUAAUCAAAUAAAAUUCUUAAUUAUAUAAUUAAAAAUAGAAUAUUGAAUUAUCCAAAAUCUAAAAAUAUAAUUAAAAAAAAAAGAGAUAAUUUCUAUAUAUUUAUAUAUAUUGUAUUGUAUCUGAAAAAAGUAUUUUAGUAAGAAGUUAAAAACAUAAAUUACAUAAUUACGUAUUAAUCAAAUACUUUUUUAAUUAUAUAAUUAAAAAUAUAAUAUUAAGUUAUUUUAAAAUUUAUUUUAGUAUAAUGAAUAUAGUGUACAAAGAACUUUUCGAAAAUUAUGAAAAUGUUUAAACCUGCAUCACGGGCAAAACACCUAGUACUAAAUAAACUUGUAAUAGUAGAAACUCGUCAUAUAUGAAUGUUUAUAGAAAUUAUCUUAACUAUAUAUAUUUUAGGAGGUUGAAUCCAAACUAAUGAAGUUUUUCUAACAUAAAUUAUAGCGGUUAUUUAGGAUUUGUUUUUUAAUGGAUUACAUUUAUUUCAGGAGGACAAACAUUGGUGUUGUGAACAGUGACAACUGUCAUAUUUUAAAUUUAAUGAAUUUGUAAUAUGAAUGUAAAUCCAUAUAAUAAAAGCAUCUCCUAAAGAGAGUUUUUUGAUAAGUAUUCAAUGAUUAAAUAAAAAAAUAAAAAUUAAGAAAAAUGUAAGUAUGGAUUUCAUUUGAGCAACUUUCAAAAUUUCAGUAGAACUUUUUCUUCUAUCUGUCAGCAUUUAGCUAUUUAAUAUCUAAAAUAAAUCUAAAAGAGAACUAGCUGUCUGAUUAAUGUUUUAGUUUUCUUUCUUGAGAAUUUUUUUGGAUAUCUGACCGAUAAUCCUUUUCUGACAAAGGAUGGUAACGUGUAGGACAACUGCGGAAUAACUGCGGUAUAGUUCUAAUAGUAAUAAAAAUAUAUAGAUAUAUAAGUAUGUGUAAUUUUUUUUACUAUUAACGCGGAGCGAAGCGGUGCAGUUCGUCACCAUUCAGAGCAUAUAGUUUGAGUGGUUAAUAGGGUGCAAACACUGAUUUGACCACCCUAACCCAAUCCCAAAAAAAAUUAACAAUUCACUGAGGGCUUGACUGAUUUUUCUGAUACCAUCUACAAACGCAUCUUUUGUGGGUUAUUAGUAGCUUUUGGUGUUUUUCAACGAUCAGAAAAACAUUGUAAAUUGUUUCAAACUGUUGUAAACCUCUUAAAAUCAAAAUUUGAUAUCUGCUAUCGUUCGUAGUUGCGAGCGAUUAUGGGUGAAUAAAUAAUUAUAUAUUUUUAAAAAAAAUCUUCUAAAAUUUAAAAUUGAAAUAUUUUUAAAUAAUAUAUAUACAUUUAUAUUUAAAUUUAAAUUCAUUAACAGCAUCAUAAUUUAUAUUAUAAAACCUUUAAACAAUGAAUAUUCACUAUAAUUUUUAAAAAUAAAUAUAUGUAUAUAUAUACAUAUAUAGAGAUAUAUACAUAUAUAUAUAAACGAAACAAAAUAUAUAUUUUAAAGUUCUUAUAUGAAUCUUCAAAAGAAAUUUUAUUGAAAUAAUAAUUUUCAUCUAAACUAAACAAAAAAAUAAAUAUCAAUAUUAAUUAUAUUAUAUCAUAAUAGUAUAUUUUUUUAUAUUUUUAUAUUGUUAUGGUACGUUAAUAUCUAUAAUUCCUUAUAUAUUAAUUGAGUAGGAUUACAACAUGUUUUGGUAGCCACAUGUCAUCACUAGGAUGAUUCGUAGAAUUCUUAGAAAAUAGGUUGGUCCAUCUAAACAUAUAUUAUACAUGUUUAUUAAACUAACUAUCAAAUUGAUUAAUAAUGUACAAAAGAAUAUUCUCCAUUCUUUUCUCAGAUAAAAAUUACGGAAUUGUUGUUAUGAUUAAUACAUAUAAAAUACAUAAAUAUGUUAAUUUUGAAAGUUGCAUUGAAAAAGCAUUGAGACUUUAAUAUUUUAAUUUUGAAAUUUGCAUAAAAAAUCUCAUAUUGAAAAUUUUGUGAUUAAUAUUUUAAUUUUUUUGUUACAACAAAUAUACAAAUUCUAAUAAAAUCAUAUGAGUACGAAAUCUGAAUAAUAAAUAUUUGUUUUAAAAUAUACUAUAUGUUUAUGUCAAUAUCAUUGAAAUUUAAUUAUAUACUAUCUAAAAUAAAUAAAAUGAUUGUUUUGAUUUAUUCCAAAACAAUUAUUGUAAAUAAACAGAAAGUAUUAUUUUUAUUUAUGUGUUUACUCUAAUUUAAUUAUAUACAUAAUACGUAAAUGAAAAAUAAUUAAUAAUAUGUAAAAAUUAUUUAACUUUGUACCAUUCAUACAAAAUAUUUAAUAACUAGAUGGUGGCCCGCACACUUGUGCGGACUAAUAUAUAUCCAACUAAUUCAAAUUUUAACAAAUUUUUAAUUUCAGUCUAAAUUAUUUAAUUAGUUUCAAAUAUUAAAUUAAUUAGAGAUAUAAUUAUCUUUUUUUUUAUUACAAGAUAACAUAGAUAAUGGUUUGGUAUUUGUAAAAUCUUUUAUUUAUUCUAUCACUAAACCAUACAUAUAAAAAGUAUCAUCAUUAUAAUAAGCUAAAAAAGUUUUAUUAUUACUUUAAAAAUAAUAUAAAAGAUAAAUCUAUAAAUAAACCAUAAUUACCAAAUUAUCAGUGAAGCCUAUGAAAUCAAACCCCUCUUCAUCAAAGUCUUAAUUACAUUUUAUAUGAAUUUCUUUUUCAUCGGAGUUCAUAUUAAUACCUAUUAACAAAUUUACAAUAAUUAAAAACAUUCUUCUAUUUAAUAAAAGUAUAUAUCUAGUAUAAGGUGUAUUUUUUUUUUAAUUUUUAACAGCGAGAGAUUGUAUUCUUUGGACUCAUAUUUUGAUUGAUAAGAUAAUUCGGUGGUAUAAAAGAGAAGCAAGCUUCAUUUUAAAAAUAAUAAAUAAAACAUUAUUUAAUAUUAAAAAUUAACAUAAGAUGAACAAAACUAUAAAAUUAAUACUCAUUAAUAAUAUUUAUCCAUGAAUAUAUUGAAAAUAUUCAUUAAAUAAUCACUAAAUACGUUCAAAACUAACAAUUCAAAAAGUUAUUUAUUAAAACUAAUGACUGAGCCUAAAUUAAAUCAUGGAAUAUGACAAAUGAUGUUCUAAAAGUAAAAAGUAAUAAAACAUGAAAAUAAUAAAAAUAGCCUAACUUAUGGAUAACAUGACAAGUAAGCAAAACUAAAAUUACCACCUAAAAUUAUUUUAAAUAUGAUAAAUAAAUAAAAUUACUACAUAAAAUUAUAAAGAACAUAAGAAAUAAUAAAUAAACUAAAUUAUGGAGGAUAUGGAAAAUAAGAAAAAGUAUAAUUAUUGAAAACAUAACAAAUAAACAAAUUAUCUAAAAUUAUAGACAAUAUGACAAAUAAGCAAUAAACAAUGAUAAAUAAAUAAAAAUUAUGUAAAAUCAUGGAGAAGAUGACAACUAAGCAAAAUCACUUCAUAAAUAAUAGUAUAGAUGCUGGAAACGGAAACUACCUAUAUCUGUAAACUUCCACAAUCGCAUCGGCAGUCAUUGUGUUUCAACAGGUCAGGCCUGAGUUAACGUGUGUAGUUGGACCAACUUAGAAAGUGGGCUAAUGCUUGUGGCCCAAUAACAAAUGUGAAGAAAAGACUUGUUACAAUUGCUGCUGGCUCAUCAUCUUUCUUUCCACCUCCGAGCAAAAUCACCGGCGGAGAAACCUCACCGAUGAAGCAAGUUAUGGCGGGCAUGGUUACGCAGGCACCAUUGAAGUCGUUAAUUCAAGCUCUACUUCUGAUAUCAUUAUCAUUUCCGCCUCUCUCCAGCGCUUACCGACCAGGAGAUAUCGUGGCGAUGAGCAAGAUGGGACAGUACCAUUCGGUUCGAAUCUCUCUUUACAUAUUUAGCUGAGAUUAACUUAGAAUUUGACGUAGACUAAGGAUCUGUUGAUUCCAUGUGCAGUCGAGAACGACUUGGCAUGAUGUGAUCGGAAAGCAUUGCCCGAUCUUCGCCGUUAAUCGCGAGGUACUAACUGUCUGUGUAUAUGAUAUGUUCCUGGGAAAUUAGAUUGAAUUUUCAUGCCGAUUUGCAGGUGCUGAUCCCCAUAGCGAAACCAGUUGGCUACACUGGAACAGAUCCUUAUAAGAUGUGAGAGUGUUUGAUUCCUUUAAUUGAGAUUGAUCUGUCUUUAGCUUCUCUGAGGUUGUGAAGAUAGAUUCACAUCUCAUCUUAUCUUCUUUGAUUAGAGUAGGAGCCAUUUUGUUGUUUGUAUGGUGUAGUUAGUUCUACUCUGUUGCACUUUGUUGUGUUCUUCUUACUCUGCUGCUAUGGCAACAUCCUUUCUUUCUUUAGAUAAGUAUCUAGCAGUUUCUCUUGUUGUUGGCUCGAAUAGGAGAUAAUGAAUAUCGAUUCAUAUCUCAUCUAUUUGAUUAGAGUAUGAGUCACUCUUGUACGGUGUAUUUAGUUCUCUUCUGUUGCAGAUUGUGUUCUUCUACUGCGCUGAACAUGAUGUACUAUGCUGAUACAGUGACAUCUUUCCAUUGUUUGUUACAUUAGUCAUAUACUGAUUUUGUGUCUGAUGUGUGGUUAUGGAUCCUCUUACUUGCAGAAAUUUCCAUUCGUGUGUCUUUAGCUUAUCUGCCAAGUUCAUUGCUGCUUUUAAAUCAGUGUCUAGCAGUUUAUAUUGCUGCUGCUUGAAUAAGAGAUGGUGAAGAUAGAUUUACAACUUAACUACUUUGAUUAGAGUAGGAGCCGUUUUUGUAUGGCGUGUUUAGUUCUGUUCUGUUGCAGAUUGUUGUGUACUUCUAUUGUCUUCUCUGCGAUGAAUAUGGUGUGAAAUGCUGAUAGGGCGACAUCUUUUCCUUGUUUGUUACAUUAGUCGUAUGCUUAUUUUGGUGUGGAUAUGGAUUGAUUUUACAUGCAGAAAAUUCCAAGUUGGAAGUGAGAAAUAUCUGAUACACUGGCUUUUGGUGAUAAACCGGAAGAGUUCAGAAGUUCCAAUGAUCGAUGUCAAUUUGGUAUGUAUUGUUAGUUAGCCUUGGGUUUUGAGUCGUUUAUAAGCUUCGACUGAUUAGGUGUGUGUGUGAGUCCUUUUGAGUGUGGGUUGUUUUGCACAGAGAUAUUCUGGAGGAGAUUUGCUUGGAGUAACAGCUCAAGUUGUCGAUAUGCCUCUUAGCUGUACGUAAAACUCCAUAUCUUGUCUCUUUAUUAUCUGGUGAAAGUUAUAAUCUUCUUUGUGGCAUUGGGUGCUAAUAUAUAAAUGUAGGCAGUUUGUUUACUAGUCUUUAUUUGUUCUGCUGUUACCUUUAUGUCAAUUAUACAGUAGGCUGAUACUAUCCAUCAGGAGUUUUUGUAUAAGCUGAGAUUUUAUCCAUGAACAGAUUUGAAUACACACCCGGAGAUCCGCAAGCAGUUCUGGGAUCCUCAACACUGGCCGAAACAUGUUCUUGUUCGAUACACAUGGUACGCUACGUUUCUUGACCACUUUCAACUCUGUUUUACCUCUCUCCUUCCUUUUCUAAAUAAGAUUUUGGAUACGGUCGAGUCGCGAUAUUUAGCUAAGACACUAUAUUGUGAUGCAUGCAGGAAGGAGCAGUCAGAGAUUGAUGUUUCCUCUGGAUUUUAUGUCCUCUUUGGCUCAGGUAAAUCGUUUUUUUUUUUUGGUUCUUGCUGAUUAAAUAAAACGGGAAAAUAAAUUCACACACUUAAUUAUUAUUAUUUUAUGUUGUGCACUUGUGAUCAGCUCUCACGUUCUCUUUCGUACUCUCCAUUUACGUCUUACAAUCUUCACGAGAGAAGCUGGCGAGGUAAAUGAUCUUCAUGUCCUCUCAAGUUCAAGUGUAUAUCUUCCUUAUCUUGAACCUAAUUCUUGAAAAUGUUGUUGUAGGUUUGUAAGAGAGACGGUUGUGGAAAGCAGCUCGAAUGUUGGAGAGUUUGGCAAGGUUGAGUGAGAGUCAUAUAGUCAAAAGCAGAUAUGUAUGUUGUUGCUGCUGCUGCUAUAGAUGCUUGGACUUGGUUGGUUAAAACAAAAAACAAUUCCAGAAAAAGGAGAUUUGAUCGAACUUGAAUUAGUCGAAAGCAAAGAUAUCAUUCUGUUUGUUCCAAACCAAAUCAAUCAACUUGUAGAUCUUGCAAAACAGAAUGAAAACUUAACAUAUAAUAUGACGGCUUACUUUUAUUCGAAGUUUCUCACUAAACAAACAACAAAUGAAAAAUCAUAAACCAAAAUAUAUCUCCAGAUGCCUUCUAUCUUAACAUUGUUGGUGGCGGCAUGGUGUGAUCAUGAGGAUUAUUAAUUUAUAAUAUGGGUUUAUUAAAUAUAUCCAACUCAUAAUCAAUUGAUAAUAAAUGUAUUAGUUUGUACUAUUUAAUAUAUUAUUAUUUUCUUUCAUCAACAUAUCUCAUCUCACAUCUCUCACAUUUCAUGUUCAUACACAGGCUGUGCCUGACUUUUGGGGGCUUAGAUGCAAAAAAAAAAAAAAAUUAUUUCGCCCUUUAGUAUAGCAUUUGGUAAAAUUGGUAUCGAGGAAGAAUCGAAUCUAUCAAUAAAUUGAACAAACUACUAGCCCAAAGCCACUGAAUCAAUCAAUUUUUUUCUCAAAUUAACCCCUAAAAUAUAUUUAACUAUAUCGACUCUGAAGCACAUAUUUGAUGGGAUUGUACUCAGGCACGGCCCUGUAAUCAUACGUAAACAUAUUAUCAUCAACAAAUGGUUCUAACGACUUCUACUAAUAGAUGGGUGGUUCCGAUACUAUGUUUAAUUUUGCAUUUUAGGUCAAAACCAAUUAAGUAGAUUGACUUGUGACCUUUAUAAGUUACUACUAGAUGAUGAUCCGCGUGCAUGUGCAUGGUGAGUUUUUAUAAUAAUGUGUUCAUUAAAUAGUUUUAACAUUUUGCAACACUACAAUCUUUAUCGAUUAUAAAAUGUCAAAUAUAAAUGUUGGUCUCUUAUAUGUAUCAUCGUUGUUGAAGAGUUAACAUAUUACAUCUCAUUUCAAGUAUUUUUAAGAUUUCAUAUGCACAAAAGAAAAUUAAGUUUUGCAGCUGACACAAAUCACCAAAUCCAAAUAGGCAACAUCGAGUAAGAUGACGAAAAUAUUAGGUUUUCUGCUCUCGAUUUAUUUACUAUUGACUCUCCAUAAGUGAUUUCAUUUUCUACCUCUAUAAAAUUGUGAUUUCGUUAUUUUCUGUGUUUCAUUGAUAUAUAUAUAUAUAUAUAUAUAUANNNNNNNNNNNNNNNNNNNNNNNNNNNNNNNNNNNNNNNNNNNNNNNNNNNNNNNNNNNNNNNNNNNNNNNNNNNNNNNNNNNNNNNNNNNNNNNNNNNNNNNNNNNNNNNNNNNNNNNNNNNNNNNNNNNNNNNNNNNNNNNNNNNNNNNNNNNNNNNNNNNNNNNNNNNNNNNNNNNNNNNNNNNNNNNNNNNNNNNNNNNNNNNNNNNNNNNNNNNNNNNNNNNNNNNNNNNNNNNNNNNNNNNNNNNNNNNNNNNNNNNNNNNNNNNNNNNNNNNNNNNNNNNNNNNNNNNNNNNNNNNNNNNNNNNNNNNNNNNNNNNNNNNNNNNNNNNNNNNNNNNNNNNNNNNNNNNNNNNNNNNNNNNNNNNNNNNNNNNNNNNNNNNNNNNNNNNNNNNNNNNNNNNNNNNNNNNNNNNNNNNNNNNNNNNNNNNNNNNGGUUCGCCGGCUCCGGUUGCUUCCACAGAGCCGGAGCCGGUCUUUUUCUUUUCUUUUCCUUUCUUUUUCUUCGGUUAGAUCUGUACAUUAUUCUCGUUUCUCUCAACAGGUCAUUUUCAAAUCUAUAAUCUGAUCUUUUUUCGGAGAGAAUGAGGGUUUUCGUUUGAUCUAUUUUGUCGAUCUCUCUGUUAGAAGUGGUUAUAUCCUUGUCCCCUUCAGUUUUGGUUCUAUCUUGGAACUUAUGUGUGUUUGAUUGAUUUGCAUGUUGAUUUUGAGCUUUUUUUGGCUCAUACCAGGUCUCGAUCUUUGACCUUCUCGGUCUCUCGAGCAAGGUUGUUCCUGGUUAUGAGUUGUUUCACUCCUUGUCAAUUCCCUUAGAGAUUCGAUCGAGAUCUUAUCUUCUGUCUAGCUUCUUUGGCUUGUCGAUUCAACUCAUCCAUCCAGUGACUUCCGGUUGAAGACUUAUGAACAUGACGUGUUCUGUCUCCUGGAGCUUGAAGCUUUGUUCUUUCAUCUGCAUGUGCUAUUCAUCAUAGGAGGAUUCGCAGACCGGAGGUUGUAGCCAUGGAAGGCUUCCUCGCUUUGCCUUGUUCAAAGAAGCUCUGUUCAAGUCAUCAUGUAUUAUUGAUCUCGUUUUGGUGAAGGUGUAUUUUAAGUUGUUAUCCACUUCUUCUAGCUUAGAUUGUUUCAUGUUCUGUUUCUUUGGUCAUCAUAUGUUUGUAUUUUAGUCUCUCCAUCGUUGGAGCUUCUGUUUCCGGAGGUCUGUUGAACCUGCCGGCCAAAGUGUUGCAAAACUGAAUCCCACCCUUGUAAUCUUCUGUUGAUAAUAUAAUCAGUGUUUAAAAAAAAAAAUUUACUUUUUAUAUUUUAAAUUUCAUAAGAAUAAGCGAAAUUAGAUUUAAAAAUAAUAAAAAAGUGUGGAAUUUGAAAAGAGAAAGUGUCACACACGCGUAUAGAUUUGGCCUCCUCACAUUGAUUUUCUAGUUUUGUGCAUAGUAGACUAAUGAAAUCACGUUCACCUAGUUUUAGAAAAUAUGUCUUCUCUGAAUUUUUAUAUGAUUUCGACUAAAAUAAUUAAUCAAGUAAUAAUAAAUCACAGAUGAGUAUUAUUACAUUUUCUUAUUCAUAUGAAAUUUCAAAAUCACACUAGUAAAUUAGUAAUUUUGAUGUUUUCACCAAUUGGAUUUGAAAAUAAGUUUGCGACCGGAAUUGAUGGGCCAGACAGCCUUAUGCAAGGCCCAUUACAUUUAGCUUCUAUGAUUAAUAAAUGUUUUUUAGUUUCUUGUAUACCUAAAAAAAAUCAACCGACAUGAUUGAUUGGCUUUCUCACUUUUUUGCUUUCUUUAGUGGUAUCACAUGACCAAAAUUGCUUAGUUACAUGAUAUUAAUAGAGCUGUUUAGUCAUUUUUAUUGAAGCGCUAUCACUAGUGAUAACUAGGACCUGAUAACUUUUUUUUUUUCGUCAAUUGAUUUAUAUCAAACAUUCGGUGGAAUACAAUCAGAGCCGGCGGAAGAUGUUGAUAUCCCCAGAAACAACAGUCCACAGGAAAGACACUAAAAGCCAUACAAAGACACCAAAGACUACACUGAAACAUAACUUAAGACAAAAGCAAAUUCCUACAACUAGAUCUUCCUACAAUCCUUUAUCAAAACCAUAGAUAGCAUAGCCAAGGUCUAAAACAACCAGAAGUCUAACAAGAGACCACAUUCACCAAGCGGGCAAGCGGCGAGGACUUAAUAGAACCGAAAAUCACCUGAACCUCCUGUCCACGAUGAAAAGCCAGAACCACGCCGAAUAGCACCCCACACACACCGACCCCGAAACAUGGGUCCAAGAACCGAAACACCUGGGACCAAACCUCCUACGAAACCGCAACUUCCUCCGAUUGAACCAAAACCUCAACCUCAUUAUAUUGCUUCAAACAUUCAAGAAGAAGCCACCGAGGAAUUAAGAGAUCAGCGAACCAACCAGGACAGGACGAACUCUUAUUAUAAGCUGCAGCGAGGACUCCAUCUCGAAAUGGAGAGGUGACACCAACCAACUUCUUCACAACAAAGAUGCUAAACCUGUUCUGCUCACGGACUCGCUAAAACACCACCGCCGUCCCAAUUCCAAUGUAAAAAAAGACUAGAGCGAGCAAUCUAUAAGCCAACCAAGGAUUCAGAGAAUACAUCCUCUCCGUUGAGUGGAUAAGUAGACAAAGCAAAGGAGAGGAGCCAAGAUGGAGAGGAGCAUCUAACACAAUAACUUCAAAUCACCGUAUGGAAAGAAACGCAGGUCCAAGAGUUAGCAAAGAAGUCUGUUCAACAACGGACGAAAACUAUCCAGAGCACAUCUGAACCUUUAAGACCCAACGAUUCAACACCACCACACGAAAGAGAUGCUUUCCACACGCUUCCACUCGUCUCCAGGUCAAAGAACUAAUCAACCCCGGAAUAAGGAGGAUCUAAAACGCAGGAGAGAGUAAGUGACAUAUAAGCAUAAAACAAGACACAAAUCACCAGAUCGAAAUUACUCUCAUAUAGAGCCCCUCCCUUCCGACUCCUUGCAGCAUCUCGCUGCUACUCCAGCAAUUUGACAGACAGUGUCUCACCGUUGUAGAUCCACAAGAGAAUCCAUUAAAAUCCGGAGUAGCUCGCAUUUUGACGUCGUACGAAAAAGAAGAAAACUAAAGGAGAGUAACAGAGAAACAUACAACAUAAUAACAAGAAUAGGAGGAGGAGAAGUCUCUCACGGCGACGAAUCACCAGAUUCCACCCCUCCUCCGAGCUCGAGUUGAUGGCGGCUUACUAGGGUUUCGUUAUUCCCUUUCUCUUUUCUCUCUCAACUGGGACCUGAUAACUAUAAUCAGUGUUAUUGUGUUAAUCCCAGCAAUAAAGUGUCCAACGAAAUUCAAUGCAACUGACCGGUGAACUCACAGGGAAAGUGCAUUACACAAAAAUUACAGAUGAAGAUUCAGUGCACUAUUUUUUAUUUUAUUUUGGUUGUUGAGGCAUUUAUACUUUUGAUUCCGUUCGUAAAUUCAAGCAAAGAUUAAAAGGAUAAACAAACACAAGCUCAUUCAUUAUUUAUGGAACUAGCUACUAAUUAGGGUGACAUGAGAACGAACACACACCAAGCUUUUAUGAUUACACCAAAUGAAAAGUAACACAAAAGCAAAAGCAUAGGAGAGACACACGACGAGGAGGACCAACACCACUCACUAGACGACGACGAUAACGCUAAUUUGAACCGAGGACAGAACUCAUGUGAUCUAAGAGAGCUGACCACAGUCAGCCACAACCACCGGCUUCGACGGCUUUCCAGAAGCCGACCCCACCUUCUCAAUCGCCUUCACCACGUCCAACCCUUCCACCACCUGUCCGAACACCACGUGCUUGCCAUCAAGCCAAUCGGUCUUAACAGUGCAGAUAAAGAACUGAGACCCGUUGGUGUUUGGACCAGCGUUGGCCAUAGAGAGGAUCCCAGGACCGGUGUGCUUCCUCUCGAAAUUCUCGUCAGCGAACUUCUCACCGUAGAUGGACUCGCCUCCCGUCCCGUUCCCGGCCGUGAAAUCGCCUCCCUGGCACAUGAAGUUAGGGAUCACACGGUGGAAGGAAGAUCCCUUGAAGUGAAGAGGCUUGCCUUUGCUUCCGACACCCUUCUCACCCGUGCAGAGAGCUCUGAAAUUCUCGGCAGUCUUGGGAGUCUUGUCGGUGUACAGCUCCAUCACGAUCCUUCCCGCGGGCUUGCCGUCAACGGUCAUGUCGAAGAAAACUUUAGGAAACGCCAUCGUUUUGAUUGGUAUGAGAGAGCUUUGAAGGAAUGGUGUUGGAUCAGUCGUGGAUGAAAUGAGGAUCUUUAUAGAUUUGGCCUCCUCACAUUGAUUUUCUAGUUUUGUGCAUAGUGGGAUGUUUUCAAGAUCAUAUCUAGUCUCUACAAAGUGGAGAAGCGUGUUUCUGCCUCGAGUAAUAACCAAACACUCGGACACCUCUAGCUGACGGUUCCAGAUAAUCCUCCUAUUGUUAAUCUUCCGAUGGAUUCUCUUUCUGUUCAGUACUUGUGACAUAAAUAACAUGUUUAACAACCACGCCUUUGCUGCCAACGCCUUCCCUGCCAUCCUCACCACUAAGGCAAAUUCCAUAGAUUCCAUGGCUCCAUUCAGCUCUCCUCGAAUGUCCCUACGGAGUCUCGCCUUAUAACACCGGCACUACCCCUCCGCAGGCUUCGACUUGCAUUUCUCGGCCAUGUCUAAGAACUCCUUAGUGUACUCUUGGACCAGGCGUGGCCUACACACUAUCUCAACAAGGAUCUCACACUUGCACGGCUCGGUACAUCCUCCUGAGGUUCUUUCAUCCAUAAUCAAUGUCUUCCGCAGAUCCUCUUCCACUUCCACUUCUCCCUUAGAUCUCUAGUUAGCGACGACCCGACAGUAAGUGUUCGCUCUGCCUCUAUCGCUUGACCGAAUAUCCGGUUCUCCAGAGCGAAUUCCAUGGUUCGAACACACCCAUCAGCUUGCCCUGAAUUUCCCCACAGAGCCCUGCCAUAUACCAUCGGUACCAAUCCUCCAAUGUCUUUGGCUUGCAUCUUUUGGCUGUCUCCCGGAAUUCCUCGGUGUACUCCUGGACUGAGCGUGGUUCUUGCUUGGCAUGCAUCAGUGUCCCACACUGACAUACUCCGGUUAUGCUCCUCAGACGGUCCGCAUAAAUGCUAGGAAUUUUCCUUGCUCGUCCAUGCUCCCUUGUUGGCACACUGACCUCCAUCCUAAACGGUCCAAGACCUUCCCCGGUCAAUCCGAACUUCCUUGGGUGCCCAUGGCCCAUCUUGGCCGGUGUUGUUUUGACUUCAGGCGCGAACUGGAUAGUCCCAUGGCUUUGGUACAUCCGCCUAUACUCUACUCUGCCGCCUUCUGGAAAUGGGGCAUCAGUACCUGACGCCUCACAGUUGUCUCCUAGAUGUGGGCGUUCGGCUGCUCCACGAAUUCUAUUUCCUCCUCAUCCGGGAAGAGGGCAGGUACCAUGUUACCCACUGCGUCGUAGUGGGGUUUACGGCUUUGUCCCCUUUGGUCUAUCGCGCAGGUGUCUUUCUCGAACUCGUGAUGCACUAGUGAAGACAUCCCUACGAAGAUCCACUAUCCUUAUUAGUAUCCUUUGUUUCCCAAAAAUUGAUCAUCCAUCAAACAUUUUGCCGUAAGACGAUACUUAGUUUACUCCCUGUAAACCGGAGUUAGUCAUCCUCGUUGCGACUUCGAGAAGCUCCUUCCUCUAGCUACUUCGUCUUUAGUCAUUGUGUAGUUUAUUACCAACAAAGCUCUCAUCAUGCCUAUCUUUAAGGACUUGAAUCUUUGACAUUGAGUUGAGACACUUUGUUUCCCCUUAUAUUUUUCAUCUGCUUAGCCAAUUACUCUAGGGUAAUUUUCCCAAAUCGAAGUGCUACUCCCUGUCGUGCCCGCUCCUUUUUCCCAGCCUCCAUGUCGCCUUUGGUUCCGACCUUGCUGAUGUUGGAAGAGUCUGUGCUAGCAUUUCCCCCUUGCUCAGUACUUGGCGCCUUUUUCCAUUUUUUUUUAUAUAGAAAACGAGCUUGACUGUAAUAUCAGAACGAUGCAUCGCUAUUUCCUGUAGAGAUGUCUCUUCCGUGAAGCGGCGCUUGUCUCCGCCUUGCAUCCGUCUCUCCUCUCCCGGCCUUCCCGGACCGGUGUGGGGCGGUGUCGCUGGCGGGACGCUUCCCUCCAGCUCGUAUGUCCGGCUUUCCAUUCCCCCUUAACUUGACGUGCUAGGCGACUAAUCCCUCUGUAUACUUGCCUUACAACUCCUUGUUAAUCCCUUCCUGAACCUCUGAAACUCCACUACACUCAGUACGAGGACUUUUUGGUUGAUCGGAUCUUGGCCGGAGACUCUGAGCUGUUCGAAUUCUCCUUCAACAUUAACUAUGGCGGUCUAUCAGAACCAUAAGGGAAAUGGGCAAUAGUGGAAAUGCUGAUCCCUUAAGUUAGUAUUAAGGGACCUUAACAUGGCUCUGAUACCAAUUGAAACACCCGCCCCUUCCCAUUUCCAACCGGGGUUCCUGGGCACGGGGUUUAGGACACACAUGUCUACUUUUCCGACAUCUCCGUGUGUCCCGUUUCUGGUCCCAUGAGUUUCAGGUGCAUUUCCUUCCCGCUGGAUCUUUAUCUGGUUUUUGGUUUUAACUAAAUACAGAACAAUACUCUGGAACCGAAAAUCCAACUACGAUUUGUAACCCAAAAUUAUAUUUGGUUCAACCGGUUUUGGAAAUAUUACUAAACCCAAACCGAACCGACUAAAUCCGAACAAAAUAUAAACUGAAAUUUUACAAUAUCUAAAGGGGGCUGAAAUUCAUAAACAUAAAAACCGAUACCCGAUUGAACCCAAACCGAAACCCGAUUAAACCCGAACCAAACCCCGAUUGGUCCAUCGAAUGUCAAGCCUUAUUAGUUACACAAGACUUAUUAGUUAUACGAGCUGCAUCAAACACAUCUACAGCAUAUUACCUUUGAACGAUCUUUAUUUGUGUAUUGAUUCUUAUCUUCAGUGUUUCCUACUUGAUGUUGAUUAUUUAUACAUCCUCGUCCUAUAGCUCUUCUUUUCCAUCCUCUAACUCUUUGACGAAAAACUCCAUAGUUUCCAUGACUAAUUUGGUCAAUAUUUGAAAACAUAAGCUUCCCUUGGUCUUCUUUAUGCGUUUCUUCCCCUACAUGUUCUUCAUAUACCUUAGCCUUCCAACUAUGUCCUUUAAACCCAUAGAUUUUAGGUCUAGUAAUUUCUCAAGAGACGCUACAAUUUGAAUUUAUUUGUAUCUAGGAAGUCCCUUCAAGAACUUCUUCACCAUCUUGGAUUCUUCUAUGUUUUCUCCUAACAAGGCUGCUUUAUAUGAUAGGCCUGAUAUAUUUUCCGCAAAGUCAUCAACCGUAUUCGUAUCAUCCAUCUUUAACCUGCUAAACUCUAUCAUCAACGUCUAAAGUCUUGCCUCUCAUUCACGAUCAGCUCUAGGUGUCGUCAUGACUUAAUGGCCUCCCAGAUGUCUUUAAAUACGAGUUGUUCUCCCACUUGGAGAAUCAAGGUUUCAAGAAGAGAUUGGAAUAGAAGUGAUGUCGUCGCCACAUCAUUCUUCUUUUGAUCAUCCGAACCCGGUUCUACUGUCUCCCAUACUUCAUGAACUCUCAAUAGAACUUUCAUCUUCAUUGACCAAAUCGUAUAGUCCUUCGUGGCAGCAUGUUCUAGUCAGGUCUGCCAUGCUUGUUUAUGUGAUAUCUCCUCCGUCUCCUAGAUCUAGUCUUCAACUUAAGCUCUGUUACCAAUUAGAGUUGAAUAUCUUAUUAAAUAUUAAAAAUUAUUUAUUUAAACUUCCACUGUGAAACUUGAAUUAACGUCUCUCAAGAUACACUGCUAUAUAUAAACUAGAUGAUAAUGCGCGCGGGUGAGUAUUUUAUACUAAUGUUUUUGUUCAUUAAAUGGUUUUAACAUUUUGCAACACUACAAUCUUUAUCGGUUGUAAAAUGAGGAAUAAAAAUGUUGGUCUCUUAAAUGUAUUCAUCGUUGUUGAAGAGUUAAUGUAUUACAGCUUAUUUUAGUUAUUUUAAGACUUCAUAUGCACAAAAAAAGUUUUGUGCCUGACACAAAUCACAAAAACCAGAUAUGAACAUCAAUUUUAAAAUGACGAAAGGGGAUUAGGUUUUCUGCUCUCGAUUUGUUUAUUAUUGACUCUCCAUAAAUGAUUUUAUUUUCUACUUCUAGAAAAUUGUGUUUUCGUUCUCGUUUCUAUUUCACUGAUAUGAGUUUUGUUUAUUUUUUAGACUUUUUCUAUGAAUUUAGUGAGUUACAUAAGUGUCAGUUUAAAAUUUGCACAUCUGUAAAAAUUAGUUCUACUCGAGAUACAUAUCUAAGAGUCAAAUGUUUUUAAAAAUCACCAGCAAACUCUAUUCACAUGUUAGUGUUCAAAUCUGAUAUAUCAAGCUAUUAUAAAAUAUAAGUGCAAGCUCGAAAUUAACAUAUAUUAUAUUUUUAUAUAGUAUAUAAUUUAAUUUAAAUUAUAUUAAUAUAAAUAUAUGAAUAUUUAUUAAUGAGACUUCAUAUUCAUACGAUUUAUGAUCAUUUGUAUCUUACUUGAACAAAAAACAAUUAAACCUCUUAUCACAAAAGUUUCAAUGUGAGACUUUUUACCAUUUUUAGUAAUUUAUAGUCGUGUUUAAAAAUUCAAAAUAUAACAUAUAAGAAAAAAUCUAAUUUUUUAUUAUAUGUUUAAUGUGAUUGUUUAAAUUUCUUUUGAUAACAUAAUUUUUUUUAUCAGAUAUUUUUUAUUCAUAAUCAUUUAUUCUGAUAUAUAUGUUAUAAUCAUAUUAGGUAAUUCCACAACUUUUAUUUAAAAAAGAAUUGAGAAUAUUCUUUUGUACACUACAAAUCAUUUUGAUAGUUAGUUUAACAAAAAAUAUAAUAUAUAUUUAUAUGUACCAACUUAUUUUUCUAAUGAUUUUAAGAAUCAUCAUAGUGAUGACGCGUAGCUAUGAAUACAUGUUGUAAUGCUCUAGAAUUAAUAUAUAAGGGAUAUGAAUGUUCAUAUUUUCAAUUUCUGAAUUUUAGGAACGUCUAAUCUAUGGAUGAGAGAUCCUUGUCGACUUUGCGUUAUAGUGGUUUAGAUAAAAAAAAAUAUUUUAUAGACGACAGAAAAGUGAUAAGAGUUUAUUUUUAUAGAAAUUAUAUCAACAGCUCAAUUAGAUUAUAUGAUAUGCAAUGUGGGUUUAUAUCAUUGCUGUGUGUACUCAAUUAUCUUCUAUCUAUCUAUCUAUACUAUUAUUUGUGAAGUAAAGUUUCGAAAUCGAGCUCUCACGUUAAAAGUUAGAGUGGUUAAUAACGUUUAUACCCUUAAUGAAUAAAAUGUAUAACUAAAUUAAAAAUAAAAACGAAAUUUUAAUUUAUUUGAUUAGAUAAUUGAUUAAAAUUAAUAAUAGUAAGAAUUAUCCAAAAUCUGAAAAUAUAAUUUAAAAAGAGAGAUAAUUUUUGUAUAUAUUGUAUUGUUAUCUGAAAAAGUCUUUUAGAAAAAAGUUAAAAACAAGAAUUAUAUAACUAAAUAUUAAUCAAAUAAAAUGUAUAACUAAAUUAAAAAAUAAAAACAAAAUUUUAAUUUUAAUUUAUUUGAUUAGAUAAUUGAUUAAAAUUAAUAAUAGUAAGAAUUAUCCAAAAUAUGAAAAUAUUAUUUUAAAAAGAGAUAAUUUAUGUAUAUAUUGUAUUGUUAUCUGAAAAAUCUUUUAGUAAAACGUUAAAAACAUGAAUUAUAUAACUAAAUAUUAAUCAAAUAAAAUUCUUAAUUAUAUAAUUAAAAAUAGAAUAUUGAAUUAUCCAAAAUCUAAAAAUAUAAUUAAAAAAAAAAGAGAUAAUUUCUAUAUAUUUAUAUAUAUUGUAUUGUAUCUGAAAAAAGUAUUUUAGUAAGAAGUUAAAAACAUAAAUUACAUAAUUACGUAUUAAUCAAAUACUUUUUUAAUUAUAUAAUUAAAAAUAUAAUAUUAAGUUAUUUUAAAAUUUAUUUUAGUAUAAUGAAUAUAGUGUACAAAGAACUUUUCGAAAAUUAUGAAAAUGUUUAAACCUGCAUCACGGGCAAAACACCUAGUACUAAAUAAACUUGUAAUAGUAGAAACUCGUCAUAUAUGAAUGUUUAUAGAAAUUAUCUUAACUAUAUAUAUUUUAGGAGGUUGAAUCCAAACUAAUGAAGUUUUUCUAACAUAAAUUAUAGCGGUUAUUUAGGAUUUGUUUUUUAAUGGAUUACAUUUAUUUCAGGAGGACAAACAUUGGUGUUGUGAACAGUGACAACUGUCAUAUUUUAAAUUUAAUGAAUUUGUAAUAUGAAUGUAAAUCCAUAUAAUAAAAGCAUCUCCUAAAGAGAGUUUUUUGAUAAGUAUUCAAUGAUUAAAUAAAAAAAUAAAAAUUAAGAAAAAUGUAAGUAUGGAUUUCAUUUGAGCAACUUUCAAAAUUUCAGUAGAACUUUUUCUUCUAUCUGUCAGCAUUUAGCUAUUUAAUAUCUAAAAUAAAUCUAAAAGAGAACUAGCUGUCUGAUUAAUGUUUUAGUUUUCUUUCUUGAGAAUUUUUUUGGAUAUCUGACCGAUAAUCCUUUUCUGACAAAGGAUGGUAACGUGUAGGACAACUGCGGAAUAACUGCGGUAUAGUUCUAAUAGUAAUAAAAAUAUAUAGAUAUAUAAGUAUGUGUAAUUUUUUUUACUAUUAACGCGGAGCGAAGCGGUGCAGUUCGUCACCAUUCAGAGCAUAUAGUUUGAGUGGUUAAUAGGGUGCAAACACUGAUUUGACCACCCUAACCCAAUCCCAAAAAAAAUUAACAAUUCACUGAGGGCUUGACUGAUUUUUCUGAUACCAUCUACAAACGCAUCUUUUGUGGGUUAUUAGUAGCUUUUGGUGUUUUUCAACGAUCAGAAAAACAUUGUAAAUUGUUUCAAACUGUUGUAAACCUCUUAAAAUCAAAAUUUGAUAUCUGCUAUCGUUCGUAGUUGCGAGCGAUUAUGGGUGAAUAAAUAAUUAUAUAUUUUUAAAAAAAAUCUUCUAAAAUUUAAAAUUGAAAUAUUUUUAAAUAAUAUAUAUACAUUUAUAUUUAAAUUUAAAUUCAUUAACAGCAUCAUAAUUUAUAUUAUAAAACCUUUAAACAAUGAAUAUUCACUAUAAUUUUUAAAAAUAAAUAUAUGUAUAUAUAUACAUAUAUAGAGAUAUAUACAUAUAUAUAUAAACGAAACAAAAUAUAUAUUUUAAAGUUCUUAUAUGAAUCUUCAAAAGAAAUUUUAUUGAAAUAAUAAUUUUCAUCUAAACUAAACAAAAAAAUAAAUAUCAAUAUUAAUUAUAUUAUAUCAUAAUAGUAUAUUUUUUUAUAUUUUUAUAUUGUUAUGGUACGUUAAUAUCUAUAAUUCCUUAUAUAUUAAUUGAGUAGGAUUACAACAUGUUUUGGUAGCCACAUGUCAUCACUAGGAUGAUUCGUAGAAUUCUUAGAAAAUAGGUUGGUCCAUCUAAACAUAUAUUAUACAUGUUUAUUAAACUAACUAUCAAAUUGAUUAAUAAUGUACAAAAGAAUAUUCUCCAUUCUUUUCUCAGAUAAAAAUUACGGAAUUGUUGUUAUGAUUAAUACAUAUAAAAUACAUAAAUAUGUUAAUUUUGAAAGUUGCAUUGAAAAAGCAUUGAGACUUUAAUAUUUUAAUUUUGAAAUUUGCAUAAAAAAUCUCAUAUUGAAAAUUUUGUGAUUAAUAUUUUAAUUUUUUUGUUACAACAAAUAUACAAAUUCUAAUAAAAUCAUAUGAGUACGAAAUCUGAAUAAUAAAUAUUUGUUUUAAAAUAUACUAUAUGUUUAUGUCAAUAUCAUUGAAAUUUAAUUAUAUACUAUCUAAAAUAAAUAAAAUGAUUGUUUUGAUUUAUUCCAAAACAAUUAUUGUAAAUAAACAGAAAGUAUUAUUUUUAUUUAUGUGUUUACUCUAAUUUAAUUAUAUACAUAAUACGUAAAUGAAAAAUAAUUAAUAAUAUGUAAAAAUUAUUUAACUUUGUACCAUUCAUACAAAAUAUUUAAUAACUAGAUGGUGGCCCGCACACUUGUGCGGACUAAUAUAUAUCCAACUAAUUCAAAUUUUAACAAAUUUUUAAUUUCAGUCUAAAUUAUUUAAUUAGUUUCAAAUAUUAAAUUAAUUAGAGAUAUAAUUAUCUUUUUUUUUAUUACAAGAUAACAUAGAUAAUGGUUUGGUAUUUGUAAAAUCUUUUAUUUAUUCUAUCACUAAACCAUACAUAUAAAAAGUAUCAUCAUUAUAAUAAGCUAAAAAAGUUUUAUUAUUACUUUAAAAAUAAUAUAAAAGAUAAAUCUAUAAAUAAACCAUAAUUACCAAAUUAUCAGUGAAGCCUAUGAAAUCAAACCCCUCUUCAUCAAAGUCUUAAUUACAUUUUAUAUGAAUUUCUUUUUCAUCGGAGUUCAUAUUAAUACCUAUUAACAAAUUUACAAUAAUUAAAAACAUUCUUCUAUUUAAUAAAAGUAUAUAUCUAGUAUAAGGUGUAUUUUUUUUUUAAUUUUUAACAGCGAGAGAUUGUAUUCUUUGGACUCAUAUUUUGAUUGAUAAGAUAAUUCGGUGGUAUAAAAGAGAAGCAAGCUUCAUUUUAAAAAUAAUAAAUAAAACAUUAUUUAAUAUUAAAAAUUAACAUAAGAUGAACAAAACUAUAAAAUUAAUACUCAUUAAUAAUAUUUAUCCAUGAAUAUAUUGAAAAUAUUCAUUAAAUAAUCACUAAAUACGUUCAAAACUAACAAUUCAAAAAGUUAUUUAUUAAAACUAAUGACUGAGCCUAAAUUAAAUCAUGGAAUAUGACAAAUGAUGUUCUAAAAGUAAAAAGUAAUAAAACAUGAAAAUAAUAAAAAUAGCCUAACUUAUGGAUAACAUGACAAGUAAGCAAAACUAAAAUUACCACCUAAAAUUAUUUUAAAUAUGAUAAAUAAAUAAAAUUACUACAUAAAAUUAUAAAGAACAUAAGAAAUAAUAAAUAAACUAAAUUAUGGAGGAUAUGGAAAAUAAGAAAAAGUAUAAUUAUUGAAAACAUAACAAAUAAACAAAUUAUCUAAAAUUAUAGACAAUAUGACAAAUAAGCAAUAAACAAUGAUAAAUAAAUAAAAAUUAUGUAAAAUCAUGGAGAAGAUGACAACUAAGCAAAAUCACUUCAUAAAUAAUAGUAUAGAUGCUGGAAACGGAAACUACCUAUAUCUGUAAACUUCCACAAUCGCAUCGGCAGUCAUUGUGUUUCAACAGGUCAGGCCUGAGUUAACGUGUGUAGUUGGACCAACUUAGAAAGUGGGCUAAUGCUUGUGGCCCAAUAACAAAUGUGAAGAAAAGACUUGUUACAAUUGCUGCUGGCUCAUCAUCUUUCUUUCCACCUCCGAGCAAAAUCACCGGCGGAGAAACCUCACCGAUGAAGCAAGUUAUGGCGGGCAUGGUUACGCAGGCACCAUUGAAGUCGUUAAUUCAAGCUCUACUUCUGAUAUCAUUAUCAUUUCCGCCUCUCUCCAGCGCUUACCGACCAGGAGAUAUCGUGGCGAUGAGCAAGAUGGGACAGUACCAUUCGGUUCGAAUCUCUCUUUACAUAUUUAGCUGAGAUUAACUUAGAAUUUGACGUAGACUAAGGAUCUGUUGAUUCCAUGUGCAGUCGAGAACGACUUGGCAUGAUGUGAUCGGAAAGCAUUGCCCGAUCUUCGCCGUUAAUCGCGAGGUACUAACUGUCUGUGUAUAUGAUAUGUUCCUGGGAAAUUAGAUUGAAUUUUCAUGCCGAUUUGCAGGUGCUGAUCCCCAUAGCGAAACCAGUUGGCUACACUGGAACAGAUCCUUAUAAGAUGUGAGAGUGUUUGAUUCCUUUAAUUGAGAUUGAUCUGUCUUUAGCUUCUCUGAGGUUGUGAAGAUAGAUUCACAUCUCAUCUUAUCUUCUUUGAUUAGAGUAGGAGCCAUUUUGUUGUUUGUAUGGUGUAGUUAGUUCUACUCUGUUGCACUUUGUUGUGUUCUUCUUACUCUGCUGCUAUGGCAACAUCCUUUCUUUCUUUAGAUAAGUAUCUAGCAGUUUCUCUUGUUGUUGGCUCGAAUAGGAGAUAAUGAAUAUCGAUUCAUAUCUCAUCUAUUUGAUUAGAGUAUGAGUCACUCUUGUACGGUGUAUUUAGUUCUCUUCUGUUGCAGAUUGUGUUCUUCUACUGCGCUGAACAUGAUGUACUAUGCUGAUACAGUGACAUCUUUCCAUUGUUUGUUACAUUAGUCAUAUACUGAUUUUGUGUCUGAUGUGUGGUUAUGGAUCCUCUUACUUGCAGAAAUUUCCAUUCGUGUGUCUUUAGCUUAUCUGCCAAGUUCAUUGCUGCUUUUAAAUCAGUGUCUAGCAGUUUAUAUUGCUGCUGCUUGAAUAAGAGAUGGUGAAGAUAGAUUUACAACUUAACUACUUUGAUUAGAGUAGGAGCCGUUUUUGUAUGGCGUGUUUAGUUCUGUUCUGUUGCAGAUUGUUGUGUACUUCUAUUGUCUUCUCUGCGAUGAAUAUGGUGUGAAAUGCUGAUAGGGCGACAUCUUUUCCUUGUUUGUUACAUUAGUCGUAUGCUUAUUUUGGUGUGGAUAUGGAUUGAUUUUACAUGCAGAAAAUUCCAAGUUGGAAGUGAGAAAUAUCUGAUACACUGGCUUUUGGUGAUAAACCGGAAGAGUUCAGAAGUUCCAAUGAUCGAUGUCAAUUUGGUAUGUAUUGUUAGUUAGCCUUGGGUUUUGAGUCGUUUAUAAGCUUCGACUGAUUAGGUGUGUGUGUGAGUCCUUUUGAGUGUGGGUUGUUUUGCACAGAGAUAUUCUGGAGGAGAUUUGCUUGGAGUAACAGCUCAAGUUGUCGAUAUGCCUCUUAGCUGUACGUAAAACUCCAUAUCUUGUCUCUUUAUUAUCUGGUGAAAGUUAUAAUCUUCUUUGUGGCAUUGGGUGCUAAUAUAUAAAUGUAGGCAGUUUGUUUACUAGUCUUUAUUUGUUCUGCUGUUACCUUUAUGUCAAUUAUACAGUAGGCUGAUACUAUCCAUCAGGAGUUUUUGUAUAAGCUGAGAUUUUAUCCAUGAACAGAUUUGAAUACACACCCGGAGAUCCGCAAGCAGUUCUGGGAUCCUCAACACUGGCCGAAACAUGUUCUUGUUCGAUACACAUGGUACGCUACGUUUCUUGACCACUUUCAACUCUGUUUUACCUCUCUCCUUCCUUUUCUAAAUAAGAUUUUGGAUACGGUCGAGUCGCGAUAUUUAGCUAAGACACUAUAUUGUGAUGCAUGCAGGAAGGAGCAGUCAGAGAUUGAUGUUUCCUCUGGAUUUUAUGUCCUCUUUGGCUCAGGUAAAUCGUUUUUUUUUUUUGGUUCUUGCUGAUUAAAUAAAACGGGAAAAUAAAUUCACACACUUAAUUAUUAUUAUUUUAUGUUGUGCACUUGUGAUCAGCUCUCACGUUCUCUUUCGUACUCUCCAUUUACGUCUUACAAUCUUCACGAGAGAAGCUGGCGAGGUAAAUGAUCUUCAUGUCCUCUCAAGUUCAAGUGUAUAUCUUCCUUAUCUUGAACCUAAUUCUUGAAAAUGUUGUUGUAGGUUUGUAAGAGAGACGGUUGUGGAAAGCAGCUCGAAUGUUGGAGAGUUUGGCAAGGUUGAGUGAGAGUCAUAUAGUCAAAAGCAGAUAUGUAUGUUGUUGCUGCUGCUGCUAUAGAUGCUUGGACUUGGUUGGUUAAAACAAAAAACAAUUCCAGAAAAAGGAGAUUUGAUCGAACUUGAAUUAGUCGAAAGCAAAGAUAUCAUUCUGUUUGUUCCAAACCAAAUCAAUCAACUUGUAGAUCUUGCAAAACAGAAUGAAAACUUAACAUAUAAUAUGACGGCUUACUUUUAUUCGAAGUUUCUCACUAAACAAACAACAAAUGAAAAAUCAUAAACCAAAAUAUAUCUCCAGAUGCCUUCUAUCUUAACAUUGUUGGUGGCGGCAUGGUGUGAUCAUGAGGAUUAUUAAUUUAUAAUAUGGGUUUAUUAAAUAUAUCCAACUCAUAAUCAAUUGAUAAUAAAUGUAUUAGUUUGUACUAUUUAAUAUAUUAUUAUUUUCUUUCAUCAACAUAUCUCAUCUCACAUCUCUCACAUUUCAUGUUCAUACACAGGCUGUGCCUGACUUUUGGGGGCUUAGAUGCAAAAAAAAAAAAAAAUUAUUUCGCCCUUUAGUAUAGCAUUUGGUAAAAUUGGUAUCGAGGAAGAAUCGAAUCUAUCAAUAAAUUGAACAAACUACUAGCCCAAAGCCACUGAAUCAAUCAAUUUUUUUCUCAAAUUAACCCCUAAAAUAUAUUUAACUAUAUCGACUCUGAAGCACAUAUUUGAUGGGAUUGUACUCAGGCACGGCCCUGUAAUCAUACGUAAACAUAUUAUCAUCAACAAAUGGUUCUAACGACUUCUACUAAUAGAUGGGUGGUUCCGAUACUAUGUUUAAUUUUGCAUUUUAGGUCAAAACCAAUUAAGUAGAUUGACUUGUGACCUUUAUAAGUUACUACUAGAUGAUGAUCCGCGUGCAUGUGCAUGGUGAGUUUUUAUAAUAAUGUGUUCAUUAAAUAGUUUUAACAUUUUGCAACACUACAAUCUUUAUCGAUUAUAAAAUGUCAAAUAUAAAUGUUGGUCUCUUAUAUGUAUCAUCGUUGUUGAAGAGUUAACAUAUUACAUCUCAUUUCAAGUAUUUUUAAGAUUUCAUAUGCACAAAAGAAAAUUAAGUUUUGCAGCUGACACAAAUCACCAAAUCCAAAUAGGCAACAUCGAGUAAGAUGACGAAAAUAUUAGGUUUUCUGCUCUCGAUUUAUUUACUAUUGACUCUCCAUAAGUGAUUUCAUUUUCUACCUCUAUAAAAUUGUGAUUUCGUUAUUUUCUGUGUUUCAUUGAUAUAUAUAUAUAUAUAUAUAUAUAUACAUAUCAAGCUCUUGUUUUUUGCAUUAACAAAAGUUGCAUCUAAAAUGUCAAAAUAACAACUAAAUUAGUGUCUUUCUAUAAAGUUUUAUCUUCAAACCUAUUAAUAGUUUAAUCUUUUAAAAAUUAAAAAACCAGUUAAGUUAAAAAUAUAUUUAACUACAAAAAAACUUAAAAAUGAAUAAUUUAUUUAUUUUUUCUUCAAAAUUUAAAUAUCUGAACCCAACCAAAAAUAUAUGAACCCAAACAUAAAAUACCCGAACCCGACCCAAAGUGUAGAAAUCCGAACGGUUUCUAUACCUUUAUACUGAAAUACCCAAAAAUCUUAAAUACCCGAUACGAACCCGAACGUGUAUCCGAACGUCCAUCCCUACAAUAUAUGAUCAUUUGUAUCUUUCUUGAAAAAAAGAAGUUAGACCAUUGAUCAUAAAAUUUGCAAUGUGAGAUUUUUACCAUAUUUAGUAAUUUAUAGUCAUUUUUAAAAAUUUCAAAAUAUAGCAUAUAAGAAAAAAUAUAAUUUUUUUAUUAUAUGUUUAAUUUGAUUAUUUAAUUUUUUAAUAUAAUAUAAAAUUAAACAAAAAGAGAGAAGAUACAAAAAUUGUUAUCAAAUAUGCAUUAUUCAUAAUCACUAAUUGUCAUAUAUAUGUUAAUCAUAUUAGGUAAUUCCGUAGCUUUUAUUUAAGGAAAUAAAAAAUAUUAUUUUGUAUACUACUAAUUAGUUUGAUAGUUAGUUUAAUAAAAAGCAUAGUAUAUGUUUAUAAGGACCAACAUAUUUUUCUAAGAAUUUUAAAAAUCAUCCUCGUGAUAAGACGUGACUACAAAAAUAUGUUGUAAUGCUCCAUAAUUAAUAUAUAAGCGAUAUCAUUAUUGAUUUUUUUUUCAUUAACAACUAGAGUUUUUGUUUACAUGGCUAAGAUAUCCAGUAUCAACAAUCUAAAUUCAAAAAUGAACUCAGAAUGUUUCAUGGUUUUAUUGUCUUUAUAAGGUUUUUUCUUCGGAAUACAAAAUAUAAUCAUCUAACCGAGUGAUCAUCGAAUGGAUGUGUUUUGCUCCGUUUGAAAUAACAUCGUUAGUUAGAAUAUGUUGAGUUUUAAAUGAACACUCCAAAUUUCUAGGUGACACAAUUAUGAAUUCUACUUUUAUCUUCCAGUUUUUCUUACCUUCAUGACGUAGUUUAUAGUAUACCAACGUUGACAAGUCAUUGAAUUGUAUAAAUGUGGAGCAAUGACUGGUCUUUUAUGUGCAUACAAGAAUGAACUACAGUUUUUUUUAUAAGAGGCAAUGCAUUAAAUGAAACCUACCACCAACUAACCUAACACAGUCUACUCUUACUUUAUGCAUUUGCCCUUUUGGCUCUUUCUAUAUAAACACAAACUCUAUCAGCUCUCUUCAUCAUAAAAAAUUAAACCCAUUACUUACUUAAGCAAAAGAAAAAGAAAAAAGUUUAAGAUUAUGGAGGGCUUCAUAAAGCUGUCAACAUUGUUGAUUGUGUGCAUGUUAGUGUCAGCUCCAAUGGCAGAGGCAGCAAUCUCGUGUGGCGCCGUCGCCAGCAACUUGGGGCAAUGCAUUAACUACCUGACCAGGGGCGGAUUCGUUCCUCGAGGAUGUUGUUCGGGUGUUCAGAGGCUCCACAGCAUGGCUCGGACCACACGUGAUCGGCAACAAGCUUGUCGCUGCAUUCAAGGAGCAGCUAGAGCCUUGGGUUCCAGACUUAACCCAGGCCGUGCUGCUCGUCUUCCUGGUGCUUGCCGUGUUAGGAUCUCUUACCCCAUCAGCGCAAGAACCAACUGUAACAAGUAAUCUAACUCUCACUCUAUUUAUCUCAUUUUACUUUAGGUUGUAAUAAUUUUAUUUGGAUUUUAAUGAAGUGUUACUAACCAUAUAUGAUAAUGUGUUUAAUGUAUUUGGUUGGUUUCAGCAUCCGGUGAGCAUGAGAGCAUAUAUACGUUGAAGUGUUUUAAUUUCCAUAAAAAUAAUGUCACUAGUAUAAUUGUGUAUCCUUUCAAUGUUAUGUGUUGUUUUCAGAAUUGGUGUGUUUCAUUUCUUUCUUUAUAUACGACCGUCCAUUUAAGUGGCCAUCUCUGUUAUGUAUUCCUCUAAGGCGCUAAUGAUGUAUGGAAUUACUAUAUGUAUUGUUUCCCUGCUCUUGCCACGGUCUGCUUUUAGUGCAUCACUUAUUCGGCGCGGUGUAAAUAAACUAGGACCGACACUAGAUUUUGUAAUACAGAUAUGAUCAAACUGACUACUACUUACGUAUUGUGGUAGAAAUAUUUUUUUUUUAAUUUAUAAUCAUUAUUAAGAUAGUCCAAUAAACUGAUAAGUAUGCUUUAAGAAAAUAACCAUAAUUGGACUUCUGAUAAUCAUUUGAUGUCCCCGACUCUUUACCAUUUGAUGUUUUUGUCCAUUGGUUUCUUAAUUGAACCAUUUCCAUUUUCUUUUCUCUUUUUCUUUAUAUCCUUGAACUAUCGCUUGACCACAUAAAUUUCGGACUCGCACGAGUGUCCUCAUAUAUCGUGCUUGGCCCCCUUGUUUGACAUGUCCAAGUAAUGUAGGCCGAAUACAUUAAUCAUAUUGUACACUAGCUUAAGACCCGCGCAAGAUGAAUGUUAUAUAUAAAAAUAAUUUUAUCUGUUAUUAUUAUUUGUAUUCAUUUACGUAUUAUGUAUAUAAUUAAAUUAGACUAAACACAUAAAUCAAAACAAGACAUCUUGUUUAUUUACGAUAUUUUUUUAAUAAAUAAUUCAAAACAAUCAUUUUAUUUAUUUUAUAUGGUAUAUAACUAAAUUUAAAUGACAUGGACAUAGAUAUAUAUACUUUAGGCAAUUAUCAAUAAUAGCACCUUUUGAGUUUUUGUUUCAAAAAUAGCACUAGAAGGAGAAGUCACAAAAAUGACAUUCAUUAAAAGGUAAAAUAUCCCUAAUACCCUUGGUUUAAAAUUAAAUAAACAAACAAAAACAAAUAAAAACAAAUAAAAAAAUGAAAAAAAAAUUAUAGUUUCAGAUUAUAUGUUUUUAGAUUCGAAAUUUUUUAUAAUUUUAUUUUUGAAUUUUUUAUUUUUGAAUUUUUUUUUUAUUUUUUGAAUUUUUUUUUAAUAAUUCAAAAAUACUUUUUGAAACUUUUUUAAUUUUUAAUUUUUAAUUUUUUAGUAUUUAUUUUUUAUUUUAUAAAAUUUUAAACCCUAAUUCCAAAACCCCACCCCUUAACUCUAAACCCUAAGGUUUGGAUUAAUUAACCCAAAUGUAUAAGUGUAUAUUUACCUCUUUAAUGAAACCUAUUUUUGUGACUUUGAACCUUGAGUGCUAGUUUGGGAACAAAAACUUGGUUUGGUGCUAUCCUAGUCUUUUUCUCUAUAUUUUAAUAUAAAUAUUUAUUAUUGAGAAUUCAUACUCAUGUGACAAAAUUUCUAAUGUGCGAUUUUCUGAAUGCAAAUUUCAAAAUUUAAAUAUUAAGGUUACAAUACUUUUUCAAUACAAAUUUAGAAAUUAUCAUAUCUAAGUAUUUUUCUAUGUCAUAUAGUUUAAUAUAAACUAUAUUAAUAUAUAAUAUGAAUGUCUAGUAAAUGAGACUUCAUAUUCAUACGAUUUAUUAUCAUUUGUAUCUUGUUAUUACCAAAAAAGUUAAACCAUUGAUCACAAAAUUUUAGUGUGAGACAUUUAACGUUUUUAGUAAUUUAUAGUCAUUUUAAAAAUUCAAAAUAUAAUAUAUAAGAAAAAAUAUAUUUUAUUAUUAUAUGGUUAAUGUGGUUGCUUAAUAUCUUUUAAUAAUAUAAAAUUAAACAAAAAAGAGCUAAGAUACAAAAAUUAUCCUCAAAUAUUUAUUAUUUAUGAUCAUUAAUUGUCAUAUAUAUGUUAACCAUAUUAGGCACUUCCGUAGAUUUUAUUUAAAAAAUGUGCGAAAAUAUUUUUUUGUACACUAUUUAUCAAAUUAAUAGUUAGUUUAAUAAAAAGUAUAAUAUAAGUUAAGAUGGAUCAACCUAUUUCUCUAAGAAUUCUGAAUUUCAUUCUCAUGGUGACACAUGACUACAAAACAAUGUUGUAAUGUUUCUCAAUUAAUAUAUAAGGGAUUUCUAACUGAAUAAUUUUACUUUUUCUAAAAAUGAUCUUUUGAAAUUUUGUUUGAUACAUAAUCUUUGGAAUAUUCAUAUGGUUUAUUCCCUUGUUUAUUAUUACUGAAAAGUUUAUAAUAGAAAAAAAAGAAGAAAUGUUUAUAGUCUCUAAUAUGUCGAAAUAUAUUUUAGUUCCUAUUUAAAUCGAGGGGUUUGAUGUUAAAUCAGCAUUUUUAAUCAUUACUAGAUGAUAAUCCGCGCGGAGUGAGUUUUUAUAAUAAUGUUUGUUUAUUAAAUGGUUUUAAAAUUUUACAACAUUACAAUCUUUGUCGAUUAUAAAAUAACGAAUACAAAUGUUGGUUUUUUAAAUAUAUCAUCGUUGUUGAAGAGUUAACAUAUUACAACUCAUUUAAAUUAUUUAUAAGAUUUCAGAUGCACAAAAAAAAAUUAAGUUUUGCGACUGACACAAAUCACUAAAACCAAAUAGGCAACAUCGAUUGUAUAAUGGCGAAAGAGAAUAAGGUUUCUGCUCUCGAUUUGUUUACUAUUGACUGUCCAUAAGUGAUUUCAUUUUCUACGUCUAUAAAAUUGUGCUUUCGUUCUCGUCUCUGUUUCAUUGAUAUGAAUUUAGUUUAUUUUUAACAUCUUCUAUGAAUUUGGUGAAUUACAUAAGUAUCAAUUUAAAAAAAAAAUGGACAUCUCUAAAAAUUAGUUCUACUCUAUAUACAUAUCUAAGAAUAAAAAAAUUGAAGAAAAUCACCGGCAGACUCUAUUAACAUGUUAGUUUUCAAAUCAAAUAUAUCAAGUUGUAAUAGUAUAUAUGUAGAGACUCUAAAUAUAAAUGUAUGUCAGUAUAUAUUCACUAGUUCGGUAUAAAAAUCGUCUAAAUUCUAGAACAACAAACUACUUAUAUUAUUAGCCAACACUUUUGAGGUUUAGUUACUUAAGAGUAUGCAAAAAAAAUAAUAUAUAUUACUUUACCAUUCUAGUAUAGGUAAAUUAUGUAUAAACUAAGAACCGUUUGAUUUAUUAAAUGAUAAACUAGAAAACAUAUAAUAAAUAGCUCAUAUCUCUCAUUCUUACAAUUAUAAUAGCUAGAUAGGGUAUUAAGGAGAAACAAAUAUUAGAUGAAUGAUCAAAUCUCUCAUUAUUCGAAUAAACUCAAAAAGAAGUGAUUGAAAUCUUUCAUUAAAAUCUUUUUAGAAAUAAAAAUCAAAACUAAAUUAUUUAAUCUGAAUGAAAUAAUAUAUAUAGUGUUUCCAAUAUUAAAAAUCAAUUAGAUUUGAAAAAGUGUGUUUCUCGGAUUGUUAGGAUUAAAUAAGAUAUUAGAAACCAGCUAUUUAAAAAAUAAUUUAUAUACAUUAGAGUAAUCACAUAAAUCAAAACUAAUAUUUUUUGUUAAUUUACAAUCACGUUUUUGUAAAUAAAUUAAAACAAUAAUUUUAUUUAAUUUAUAUGGUAUAAAAUAAAGUUUAGUGAUAUUGACAUAGAUACAUAAUAUAUUUUAAUAUAAAUAUUUAUUAUUGACACUUUCUACUCAUAUGAUUUUUUAACAUUUGUAUAUUUGUUGUAAUAAAAAUUAGCUGUAUAUUUGUACAUUUGUAUAUUUGUUGUAUGCAUAAAAGCAUAUAUAUUAGAGUGGGCACAUAAAUUAAAACCAAUACUUUUUGUUAAUUUACAAUCAUGUUUUUGGUAAAUAAAUCAAAACAAUUAUUUUAUUUACUUUAUAUGGUAUAAAUUAAACUUUAGUGAUAUUGACAUAGAUACAUAGUAUAUUUUAAUAUAAAUAUUUAUUAUUGACACUUCCCACUCAUAUGAUUUUUUAACAUUUGUAUAUUUGUUGUAAUAAAAAUUUAAACCAUUAAUCACAAACUUUUAAUGUGAGAUUUUUUAACACAAAUUUCAUAAUUAAAAUAUUAAGAUCUCAAUAAUUUUUCACUACAAAUUUUGAAAUUAACAUAUUAAUUUUUGAAAUUAACAUAUUAAUUUAUAUACUUUUAUAUUGUAUAUAAUUUAUUUCAAAUGUUAUUAAUAUAUAUAUAUAAGAUGAAUAUCUAUUAAUAAGACUUAAUAUUUAUACGAUUUAUUAGGUCUGUGAAUUUUAUCUGAUACCCGAACCCGUGUCUGAAUUCCAGCCAAAAAUACAAACCGAAAUAGCAAAAUACACGAACGGUUAUUGAAUUCGGAUAGAUUGGAUAUCCGAAUGGGUAAUAUCCAAAUCGGAAUGUAUAUCCAAAAAUAACCAAACAUAAGUAUACUUAACCCUAUAUUUUUAGUUUACUUCUCUCAUUUUAUUCAAAAUAUUUAUAUUAAUGAUGUACAUUGCUCAAAAUUAGAUUAUAUACAAAUAAUUAUGAACAAAAUCAUUUACUACUCACUUAAAAUACACAUCGAGCUCUUGUUUUUUGCAUUAACAAAAGUUUCAUCUGAAAUUUCAAAACAACAACUAAAUUGGUGUCUUUCUAUUUUUAAAGUUUUAUCUCCAAACUUAUUAAUAGUUUAAUCUUUUAAAAAUUAGAAAGCCAAUAAAGUUAAAAUUAUAUUUGAAAUACAAAGAAAAAACUUAAACAAUGAAUAAGUUAUUUAUUUUUCUUCAAAAUUUAAAUAUCGAAACCCGACCAAAAUAUCUUAACCUGAACAUAAAACACCCGAAUCCGACCCGAAGUGUAGAAAUACCCGAACGGUUUCUAUACCUUUAUACUGAAAUACCCAAAAAUCCUAAAUACCUGAUAUGAACCCGAACGGAUAUCCGAACGCCCACCCCUACGAUAUAUGAUCAUUUGUAUCUUGCUUGAACAAAAAAAAGUUAAACCAUUGAUCACAAAAUUUUCAAUGUGGGACUUUUACCAUUUUUAGUAAUUUAUAGUAUUUUUAGAAAAAUCAAACUAAAAAUUCGAAUUUUUUUUAUUACAUGCAUAAUGUAAUUGUUUAAGUUCUCUUAAUAAUAUAAAAUUAAACCAAAAAAAAGAGGAUACACAAAUUAUUAUCAAAUAUGUAUUAUUGAUAAUCAUUAAUUAUCGUAUCUAUACUAUUAAAGUAGAAUUCAUGACUUCUUUCAUGUGUGAUAUUUUAAAUGGGCCAUCCCCAGAAAGUUACUUAUACUUUUUUUCUUUAUAUUUUCAUGAUAAAAUCCUAACAACCUAUUUAAUUCUCUUUUUAUUACAGCAAUAUAUUAUUAGAUGUACAUAAUUUUAAAAAUAUAAUAUUCCAUCAAUAUAUAAUUAUAUUUGCAUAUAACCAGUUAUAAUCUACUUAAUAAUAAUAAAAUUUAAUUAUUCUAGAGUUUAUACUUUUAUAUGAUUUAAUUAAUAUUAAUAAUAAAAUUUAUUAUGCAAAUACAAUAAUGUUAGAAUUUUACCUUGCAAAUAAUAAAUCGAAUCAAAUGUUAAAAAUCCUAACACUAUUGUAUUUGCAUAAUAAAUGUUAUUAUUAUUAAUUAUAUUUUACAAGUAUCAAUAUUUAUAUAGGUACUGUAUUAACAAACAUGUAUUAAAAUAUAUUAUAUUUUAAAAUACAAUACUAUAGAUUCAAUCAUAUACUGUUUUUAUAAUAAAUUGCUUAAUAUAUAUAUAUAUAUAUAUAUAUAUAUAUAUACUGUUGUGAUUGAAAUUUUCAUGCGUGAUUUCAUAAAUUUUAAAUAUGUAUAAAUUUAAAAUUUAAAAUAAAAAUAUGUAAAGUAGUAUUGUUACAUAAUAAUGUUUUCAAAAUAAUUGUUUGUACAAAAAUACAAAUUUAUAGUAAUAAUAUAUAAGCCACAUAAACAUAGCUAUUAUAAAAAUACAUAAUAUAAAACACUUAAUUGCAUUAAGUUAUUUGUAAAUUUUGUUAUACUCCCUCUGUAUACAAAUAUAGAUGUUUUAGUUUUUUUUCUUUGUAUACAAAUGUAUGAUGUUUUACUUUUAACUAAUGAAAUUUUCUUUAAAAAUAAAAUAUUAAUCAAAAUGUAAAAAUUUAAGUGGUUGAAUUUUUAUUGGAAAUCAAAUAAAACUUUAAACUAACUAAAAUAAAAACCAAAAAGUAAUAGAUAAAAAUAAAUAUUUAAUUUCUCUUAAUAUGUGUUAACAACCUUACACAUCCUAUAUUUGUAUCAAGAGGGAGUAUAAACUAAAAUAUUUAAGUAUAGAAAUAAAAAACCGCACUAAUUCCGUAGCUUUUAUUUAAGGAAAUAAAAAAAUAUUAUUUUGUAAACUAUUAAUUAAUUUGAUAGUUAUUUUAGUUAAAAACAUAGUAUAUAUUUAUAUGGACCAACUUAUUUUUUUAAGAAUUCUAAGAAUCACGCUCUUGAUGACACGUGGCUACGAAUAUGUUGUAAUGCUCAAUGAUUUAUAUAUAGGGGAUUUUUCCCAUAAGCAAUUUUACUUAGGUUUGACCAUUUUGUCAACAACUUAUUAUAACACAUUAACUUUAGUUUCUGGAAAUAUUUACAUUCUUAGGAAAAAAACUCAAGUAACCGAAGAUCGGGGAAGCAUUGCAUUAACAUGGGAAUAUGUGUAUUUUUGAUGUUUAAUUCAUAGUAAAUCCCGUUAUUCAUCAAAUUUGCAUGCAUGCGAAGCUAAGCAUAAUUUACGGGUACACAUGACAUUGAUGGAGCUUUCCCAAUUAUAAAAACCGCACCGACGACCUCAACAAAGUAAAACAAUCAAUUAAACACAAUUAAAAAAAAAAUGACGUUUGCUUCAAAGAUCAUCACAUGCCUCCUCGUCCUUACGAUCUACAUUGCAGCUCCAACAGAGUCACACAUAACGUGUGGGACAGUGACAAGCACAAUGACACAAUGCAUCAGCUACUUGACCAACGGUGGUCCAUUGCCGUCAAGCUGCUGUGUGGCAGUCAAAUCAUUGAACCAAAUGGCUCAGACCACACCAGAUCGCCGACAAGUAUGUGAGUGCCUUAAAUCAGCCGGUAAGGAAAUUAAAGGCCUCAAUAUCGACCUUGUGGCCGCACUCCCUACCACUUGUGGUGUUUCACUUUCCUACCCCAUUGGUUUCAACACCAAUUGUGACAGGUACUUGUCCAUAUAUAACUUUGUUUUUGGUUUUAUAUUAGAUCGUUUUGCUUCUUUCUAGAUUAUCGAUAUAAUUUUCACAGCUGUUUCCACAGUAUAUCUUGAAAGCUAGUUCUCGAUCUACUUGACUCCAAAAUAUAUAAAAGAAAAUGGAUUUGGACUAAUUAAACUACCAGAUAAACACAUAGUUCACUAUAGUCGAUAGUAUAUUGUUGUAUGGUUUGUUACCAGUGACAUGAUACAUUAUUGUUUUGUUUUUUGGAAUGUUACAGUAUAUCGAUUGCCGUGUGAAGGAGACUAGAGACGUACGAACGAAUAAGAAGAGUUGGCCCAACUUUAACCUAAACAAUAAUUAUCCCGCUGCUAUUUUCUAUUUUAUGACUUGAGUUUCUUAUUAUGUAAUCAUCCAUUUCAUAUGGUAAUAAGUAAUAACGAUAAAGGAGCUCUCUCUCUCUUUAUCGGCGCUUUGAUGUAUGUACGCCUAACAUACCAUCAGGAAUAACACUUUGUCUUUCUCUUACAUGUAAUAUAUAUGAUCAAGAGGUUGCAUGAACUAAUGAGCUUUUACCUAACCGCAUAUAUAUAAAGUUAUAGCAUCCAUGAAAAAGGUUUGGCAUAUAAACAUGUUUUGCAAGGUCAAUACAAAGGAUAUCGUUUUAGUCUUCUAAGAAUGUAAAUUUCAUUACUAUUGUAUUGUAUGUUUGAUACAAGAGAACCUGAAUCCAAAGGAUAUCAGACAAAAUGGGUAUUCGAUAUCAGACCACCGGUUCUACAUGUAUGUCAAAUAUUUGUUGUGAGUGUACGUUGUUUGGAUUAAUUUAUAUAUAUAUACUAGUGGUAUUCCGGCGCUACGCGCCGGGUUCAUAUUUUUUUAUUCUUUAAUGAAUUCAAUCAUUUGCUUAUAGAAAUAACAGUUUUUGCAUAUCUUCUUGAUGUUUAGUAAUUAAGUUUGGGGGAUCAACUUGGGGUUCCGUUUGCCAAACUAAAUUAUCAAUACGUUUGUGCUGUUUAUUAAUUUAACAAUUUUAUUUGUUUUGUUUGGUUAUUUGUAGGUUUUAUUUAAAAAUUAAGCUACUGUUUUAUGCAUUUGUAUUUAGCUGGAUUUUUCUAUGUUAUGUGCAUGUGAUACUAAGAAUGUUGCACUCAGACAGUUUGUACCGGCUACUUAUGUAUUAUAGCUACUAUAUGUGGCUUCGUAUGUCAUUUGGGGGUCUUAGUUAUGGCUUAGCUUAGGUUGGGUUUUUUUUGACAGACACAAUGAAAAAAGAGUUGUCCAAAAAAAAACACAAUGAAAAAAUUUGCGAUAGUAGUUAAAGUGAAAACAGAAGCAAAAGCUCAAGUAAAAAAAAACAGAAAAAUUUCUAGGGAAAACUGAAACAAUAGCAAUGUACCAACAAUCCCAAAGAAAAGUAAAAAUUUAUAAAUAUUAAUUAGAAUCUAUAUAUUCGAUUUGAAAAUGAGUAAAAUUUAAUUAGACUUGUAAAUAUAUAUAAGAUUUGCAAAUCAAUUAAAUUGCAUAAAUGAUUGACACCCUUAAACUUUUGAUAAAAAUAAAGUAAAAAUCAAAACUGAGCAGCAAACCAACAUAUGCUGAGUCGCUCAAAUAAGAUAAUUCUUAUAUAUAUAUAUAUAUAUAUAUAUAUAUAUACUGUUGUGAUUGAAAUUUUCAUGCGUGAUUUCAUAAAUUUUAAAUAUGUAUAAAUUUAAAAUUUAAAAUAAAAAUAUGUAAAGUAGUAUUGUUACAUAAUAAUGUUUUCAAAAUAAUUGUUUGUACAAAAAUACAAAUUUAUAGUAAUAAUAUAUAAGCCACAUAAACAUAGCUAUUAUAAAAAUACAUAAUAUAAAACACUUAAUUGCAUUAAGUUAUUUGUAAAUUUUGUUAUACUCCCUCUGUAUACAAAUAUAGAUGUUUUAGUUUUUUUUCUUUGUAUACAAAUGUAUGAUGUUUUACUUUUAACUAAUGAAAUUUUCUUUAAAAAUAAAAUAUUAAUCAAAAUGUAAAAAUUUAAGUGGUUGAAUUUUUAUUGGAAAUCAAAUAAAACUUUAAACUAACUAAAAUAAAAACCAAAAAGUAAUAGAUAAAAAUAAAUAUUUAAUUUCUCUUAAUAUGUGUUAACAACCUUACACAUCCUAUAUUUGUAUCAAGAGGGAGUAUAAACUAAAAUAUUUAAGUAUAGAAAUAAAAAACCGCACUAAUUCCGUAGCUUUUAUUUAAGGAAAUAAAAAAAUAUUAUUUUGUAAACUAUUAAUUAAUUUGAUAGUUAUUUUAGUUAAAAACAUAGUAUAUAUUUAUAUGGACCAACUUAUUUUUUUAAGAAUUCUAAGAAUCACGCUCUUGAUGACACGUGGCUACGAAUAUGUUGUAAUGCUCAAUGAUUUAUAUAUAGGGGAUUUUUCCCAUAAGCAAUUUUACUUAGGUUUGACCAUUUUGUCAACAACUUAUUAUAACACAUUAACUUUAGUUUCUGGAAAUAUUUACAUUCUUAGGAAAAAAACUCAAGUAACCGAAGAUCGGGGAAGCAUUGCAUUAACAUGGGAAUAUGUGUAUUUUUGAUGUUUAAUUCAUAGUAAAUCCCGUUAUUCAUCAAAUUUGCAUGCAUGCGAAGCUAAGCAUAAUUUACGGGUACACAUGACAUUGAUGGAGCUUUCCCAAUUAUAAAAACCGCACCGACGACCUCAACAAAGUAAAACAAUCAAUUAAACACAAUUAAAAAAAAAAUGACGUUUGCUUCAAAGAUCAUCACAUGCCUCCUCGUCCUUACGAUCUACAUUGCAGCUCCAACAGAGUCACACAUAACGUGUGGGACAGUGACAAGCACAAUGACACAAUGCAUCAGCUACUUGACCAACGGUGGUCCAUUGCCGUCAAGCUGCUGUGUGGCAGUCAAAUCAUUGAACCAAAUGGCUCAGACCACACCAGAUCGCCGACAAGUAUGUGAGUGCCUUAAAUCAGCCGGUAAGGAAAUUAAAGGCCUCAAUAUCGACCUUGUGGCCGCACUCCCUACCACUUGUGGUGUUUCACUUUCCUACCCCAUUGGUUUCAACACCAAUUGUGACAGGUACUUGUCCAUAUAUAACUUUGUUUUUGGUUUUAUAUUAGAUCGUUUUGCUUCUUUCUAGAUUAUCGAUAUAAUUUUCACAGCUGUUUCCACAGUAUAUCUUGAAAGCUAGUUCUCGAUCUACUUGACUCC
RNAcentral lists this long non-coding RNA (97607 nucleotides) under Brassica napus (rape). Its description in RNAcentral is "long non-coding RNA (BNAP_LNC000429)". The record is from RNAcentral. Lineage: Eukaryota; Viridiplantae; Streptophyta; Magnoliopsida; Brassicales; Brassicaceae.